Molecule: long non-coding RNA, 138803 nt
Filed under: Triticum aestivum (bread wheat)
Lineage: Eukaryota; Viridiplantae; Streptophyta; Magnoliopsida; Poales; Poaceae
Description: long non-coding RNA (TAES_LNC009630)
Rfam family: MIR1120/MIR1122 microRNA precursor family (bases 79828-79953)
Source: RNAcentral
CCGCCGCCACCUCCACGAGUGGGAGGCGCGCCUCCUUUUUGAGGCCGACUACCCGGCUCCUCCGGACAUGAGGGUGCCGGGCGCGUAGCGCUUGAGCGCCGGCGGCGUGCUGGUGCCACCCGCUCCCACCGGGGCGGACAGGCGGGCAGAGAUCGCCCGCGUUAGGUCGUCGCUGACGGAGGAGCAGCGGCGAACGCCGUCGUACUCCCCCGACAACGACGCAUUAUGGACGAUCUACUUCGACCGUCGCCGUGACGGCCUGAUCGCCUCCACCAACGGCGUCGUGCCUCGCGGCCGCCACAACGCCGGAGGGCGGCGCGAGUGGUGGGGGGUGCCCAGCCGCACCCUCGAGAACGUUGUCAGGACCCCGAUUCUAAGCCACAUCGAUCUAGCCGGUAACACCUCAUAUCACUUUGCGGCCUCACGCACGGUAUCCCACGGGUGUCGCCUUACCAUGGCCCGGGACCGUUUGCGCCUUUUGGCUCACGUAUAUGACAAUGUCGCUAGCAUCCAUAUGACCGAGAACCCGGGCCGACAUGGCUAGUCGUGAACCCAAAGCGGCACAGACCUAUGGAGACAGGCAUACAUGAAUCACAACGAACAUGUCGGUCAUCAACGAGUGAUUCCGGGCUGUAGCACUGGGCUAGCAGGACUCCGGGGAAUCCCGGGCUGUAGCAGGCUAGACAGGACUCCGGAGAUCACCGCGUGACAUUUCCCCGAAGGGACAGACAUAGGGACGAAGUGAAACACAUGCCGGCCAGUCAAGUGUCCUGAACAGUAGUGCUGGGCUAGCAGGACUCCGGUGAACCGGGCUGUAGCGGACUACUAUGGCUCGAGGAGCACUAGACUACAUUUCCCCAUAAGAAAGGCUGCGAAGGGCAAACAACUAGAUUGUCGGAUCCCACUCAUACCAAGCAUUUCAAACAUACAUACAAUAUGCUCGAUAUGGGUACAUACAACAUGGUAUCACAACAAAACUCUACAACUCAAGUACUUUAUUUAAAGGCUCCAGGGAGCCAUACAUAACAUAUCCAUACAGGUAGGGGUCACAUGACCCGACACUCAAGUCAUACAGUCAUACAAGCACAUGCGGAAGCAACUAGUCUGAGUACAGACUCUAGAAAGAAAGAAGGCUUCUCGAAGCCUGUCUAUCUACAUAGGGCCCUCCAUGGCCUGGAUCACCACCUGGGUGUCUAGUCACUCGUCGACGUCAAGAUCUACGUAAAACCCAUCGGAGGGGGGCAGUGUUGUCGUCUGAAAACAAUAAAUAAGCAAACAUGAGUACAAAGGUACUCAGCAAGUCUUACAUCAGAACCUACUGUACAUGCUCAUUCUCAAGAAGGUGGUGGGGUUUAUGCAGCAAGCCAGCUUUGACUCUUGGCUAAGCUAUCCUACGGAAUCUUUUAGCAAAAUAGUUUUCGCACACGAGUCCACUACUCACCAUCACAAUACUCCACCGAGGAUCCUCCCUCGUAUCCUGUGAAGGGGGCCAUCCCCGGUACUCACACUUAUCUUGAGUCUUUUAGUAGUAUCCAUUAACUUGUCUAUGAACUGUAUAUGCAAUCAAGUAGUCCUUUACCGCGGACGCGGCUAUUCGAAUAGUUUUAUACCCUGCAGGGGUGUACUUCGUCAUACACGCUUUCACCGCUUACCGUCGUCUACAUGACAUGUACUCGGCUACCUUCAAGCGGAAGCCCAGCGAGGGUGUCGGCCAUGGCCUACCUAAUCACCUAAGCCCCUAGUCCAGGUUAUCGCCUAUCCAGGUUCCAUCCGCAGGGAGUCCGGCCGAGGUUUCCACAUACGGCCCCGAACGAUGUGAACAGGGUUCCCGAGACACCAAACGGGUGACUCGGUACACCGUGCCACGGUGUAUCUACCGCAACAUAGCCCACCCCUAGGGUCAGCGCUACGCACGGCCGCCAACACAUAUCCUACAAGCACGAGAAACUAUUUGCAACUCCUGGACAGAGUACUAGGGUAGCUAAGAAGCCGAGAGGGUCCAUUUGUUUCGGGCCCAAUGUACGGUAGUAACUGCAUCUUAAAUCACACAUUCAGAUCUCGGUUCUUAUGGACGGCCUCAAUGAAACAACCCACCAUGUACUCCUACAUGGCCUCUCAUCGAUACCUUUACCAAAACAUGUUCAACACAUCCCUCAUAUUACUGGCACAAGCAUUUCACUCUAGCCCAUCACCCAGAUGAACCAGACCUGACACAACUCUAGGCAUAGCAGGCAUAGCAAGGUAGGAAUCACAAAACAUGGCUCAAUCAACUCCUACACAUGCUAGUGGGUUUCAUCUAGUUACUGUGGCAAUGACAGGUCAUGCAGAGGAUAAGGGUUCAACUACCGUAGCACACAGCAGUUUGAAACGUGUUGACUUAAUGCAGUAAACAAGAGCAGGAGCGAGAACAUGGGUUGUAUCGGAAUGAUCAAUGGUUGCUUGCCUGAUGGAGUGGUGACGGGAUACUGCCCUUCAGUUGGAUACUCGUGAAUAUCCUCGGAGGCAGAACCUACCACGAAGAACACAACCGAGCACAAUCAACACAUGACGAUAUGCAACAAUAUGAUGCAUGCUAUGACAUGGCAAUAUGGAUCUGUCUUGAGCUAAUGCAACUAGCUAUAAUUUAAAUGGAGUUGGUUUGAGUGCAAGAUUCAAAUUCCAACCCCAUAUAUGAUUAUUUAAAUGCCCUUUAUUUGUUUUGUCCAAAACAGGGGACAAACAUUGUUCAAACAUGCAUGAAAAUGGUACAGAUGAAUUCCUUGAAUUUUUCUGAUAAUUUUACAUAUAUAAUUUGUCUCAUUUGGAGUUAUGGUUGAAUUUCUAUGAAUUUUUGAAGUUUGAACUAUUUUCUGGAAUUUCCUGAAUAAAAAUAAUUCUAGUAAAUCAAUUACUGCGUCAGCAAUGCGUCAGGGUGACGUCAGGGUCAACGGGGACGUCCAGGUCAAACCUGACUGGUGGGUCCCGCGUGUCAGUAGUUAAUUAAACUAACUAAUUUUAGUUAGGAACUAAUCUGGAUAAUUAGCAGAGGGGGGCCCACUUGUCAUUGACUCAGGGGAGUCAACUGGGCCCACCCAGUCCACGUCAGUGGUCAAACUCGCCGGCGUUUAGCCGCCGGCGAGGCCAGACGCGGCGGCGUGCUGCGGGAUUUGCCCACAGGGCUCCGUUUGCCACACGGAGAGCAGCUACGGGCAGCUGGUGCUCGCCCGCAUCCAGCCGUGGUGAUGGCUUGGCCGGGGAGUGGCCGGAGCAUCGCCGGCGAUGAGGUUAGGCGGAGGCCGAAGCUCGGGCCAGCUCGUGCGCGUGGCUGCAGUGGCCUAGGCGAUGUGGCGCUAGCACCUACAGCCUCUACGCGGCGCGAGGAGUGUGACGGACACAAGCCCGUGACCAGAUGGUCACCGGAGCAACGCCGGCGACGUGGUCAGGCGGCGGCGCGUUCGGGCACAAGAGAUGCGGCGUCUACGGUGUUCCAGGGGUGAAACAGAAAGCACGGGGAGGUUCAACAGCUCACAGAGAAGCCGCAGGGAGGGUCAGCGUGCUCGGGGAAGGCUCGGUGCGGUCGGAACGGCGACGGUGAUCUGGGCGGCCCGAGGUUGAAGACGAGCUCGGUGGAGUCGUUUGCGGGCCUCCGGCGGGGCGUGGCUUGGUGGAGCGAUCGAGGAGGAAGUGGCGGAGCUUCAGGACACGGUGGAGCAGCGCGGGGACGGCGGUGGACACGACUACGCUGGCGGAACGACGACGGCUGCGUCGGCCAUGGCUAAGGGGAGCGAGGGAGUGAGGCAGGGGGCGAGUGAGCAUGUCCAGGGGGUCGAGGCGGCGACGUGGAGCCUGUCUAGGCCAGCAGGGCGGCGAGGGGAGGAAGCAGGGCGGCAGCCAGCUGCGUGGCGCGCGCGGGUGCCGCCGUCGAGCACCUGCCUGCCUGCCUGGCCGAGCCAAGCUGCUCGCUGGCGCGGUGGCUGGGCUGGGCCGGCAGGUGGGCCUGGUGGGCGGCGCCAGGUAAGGCCCAGGUGGGCUUCUCCCUCUCCUCUUUUUUCUGUUUUCUAUUUUCUGUAACUGUUGGGCUUUAUUAAAAAUACUAAAAUAUUUCCAAAAUUCAUGAAAAUAAAUGUGAGCUCUGUUUAGAAUAUUUCCAACAGAAAACAUUUAUUCCCAAAAUUAUUUGAGCAUUUAAAUUAUUUUAUAGCAUUUAAAUGCCCAAAUUCAAAUACUUAUGAAUUAAAUCAAUGCCCCUUUUGAUGACCUAAAAUUAUAUUCACCAUUUUUCCCAAGGGUUCUAACCCAAGGCAAAGAGGGUGAACAUUUCUGAAGGGCAUUUCAGGUUCAUUGAAUUUAUUUUUAGUAAACCCUAGUUGAUUUCAGGGGGGGUGCUGGGGGUUCUGCUUUCCCCAUUUCCAUUUCUGAUGAAAGUAGACAUGAUGCACACUCUAAUGCAUAACCUAGUUAGGAUGUGACAACUCACCCCCACUCAAUAGAAUCUCGUCCCGAGAUUUAGGAUCAUCUGGGAAGAAGGCGGGGUACUCGAGUCGAAGACGAUCCUCCCUUUCCCAAGUGGCUUCUUCCUCGGAAUGGUGUGACCAUUGAACCUUGAGAAACUUGAUAUUAUGACGUCGAGUGGUACGCUCGGCUUGAUCAAGGAUACGAACGGGGUAUUCCCGAUAAGAAAGGUUAUCUUGUAAAUCAAGCGUUUCGUGGUCCACUCCACGGAUAGGAUCCGCGAAGCAACGCCUGAGUUGCGAAACGUGGAAGACGUCGUGAACUCUGGAAAGAUGCGGAGGUAGUUCCAAUUGGUAGGCAACUUCUCCUCGUUUGGCAAUAAUGCGAAAGGGUCCAAUGUAACGAGGAGCCAAUUUGCCUUUGAUAUCGAAGCGAUGGGUUCCUUUUAACGGGGUAACCCGAAGGUAAGCUUUCUCGUCAAUUUCAAAUGUCAUAGGCUUAUGCUUACGAUCAUAUUGACUCUUUUGGCGAGAUUGGGCCGUUUUCAAUUUCUCACGAAUAACGCGAACCUGCUCUUCUGCUUCUUGAAUCAUAUCCGGGCCAAAGAGUUGUCUUUCCCCGGUUUCUGACCAGUUAAGAGGCGUUCGACAUUUUCGUCCAUAGAGAACUUCGAAGGGAGCCUUGCCCAAACUAGCUUGAUAGCUAUUGUUAUAGGCAAACUCCGCGAAUGGAAGGCAUUUCUCCCAACUUAUUCCGAACGAGAUAACAGAAGCUCGGAGCAUAUCUUCCAGAAUUUGAUUUACUCGCUCUACUUGACCACUUGAUUGAGGAUGGAAGGCGGUGCUAAAGGAGAGAUGAGUUCCCAUAGCAUUUUGGAAACUUUCCCAAAAUCGAGAGGUGAAGAGACUUCCACGGUCUGAGUUAAUUUCCAACGGGACGCCAUGAAGAGACACUAUUCGGGAGAUGUAUAAGUCAGCCAGCUGGCUAGCGGUGAUACUCUCUCGAACAGGUAGAAAAUGGGCUACUUUGGAAAGACGGUCGAUCACGACGAAGAUGGCAUUAUUUCCCCUCUUGGUCCUGGGAAAUCCAGUGAUGAAAUCCAUACUGAUUUUGUCCCACUUCCAUUCAGGAAUAGCCAAAGGUUGAAGGGUGCCAGCAGGCCGUUGAUGCUCUGCUUUAACACGACGACAAACGUCGCAAUUAGCAAUGUAUUGAGCAAUUUCCCUCUUCAUCCUAGUCCACCAAAACCUCUGGCGUAGGUCUUGAUACAUUUUGGUACUACCGGGAUGAAUGGUGAGAGGGGAUUCAUGAGCUUCCUUAAGGAUCAGUCGCCUCAGGUUUCGCGCCUUCGGAACCACUAGGCGAUCCCCAAAGUAUACAACACCUUGGUCAUCAAUGGAGAAACAAUUCACGACUCCUUUUAUAACGUUUCUCUUGAUACGGGAAAUUCCCGGAUCUAUCUUCUGCGCCUUGAUGACCUGAUCCGUAAGGGUAGGUUUCGCCACCAGGGUAGACAGGAAUCCACGAGGAACAAUGUGAAGAUUAAGCUUACGAAAUUCCUCAUGGAGAAGUGGUUGACUUUGUUGUAACAUCAGGUUGUUACAGUAGGACUUACGACUUAGUGCAUCAGCCAUGACAUUGGCUUUGCCAGGGGUGUAAGUUAUUCCUAAGUCGUAAUCCGAGAUCAACUCGACCCAACGUCUUUGCCUGAGAUUCAAAUCUGGUUGGGUGAAGAUAUAUUUCAAGCUUUGGUGAUCGGUGAAGAUCUCGCAACGAUUACCGAGAAGGUAAUGUCGCCAGGUUUUGAGUGCAUGGACUACAGCUGCAAGCUCUAGAUCAUGUGUGGGAUAAUUUUCCUCAUGUGGGUGUAAUUGCCGUGAGGCAUAGGCAAUUACCUGACGAUCCUGCAUGAGUAUGCAACCUAGUCCUUGUCGCGAGGCGUCGCAAUAGAUAAUAAAGUCCUUGGAGAAAUCUGGUGGUACCAGUACGGGAGCAGAUGUCAGGCGUCUUUUCAGUUCCUGAAAACUGAACUCGCACUGUGGAGUCCACUCGAACUUUUUAUCUUUCUUGAGGAGUUCAGUUAGAGGUUUAGCAACCUUGGAGAAAUUCUCGACGAAGCGGCGGCAAUAGCUCGCUAGGCCAAGGAAACUCCGAACUUGCUUGACCGAAACAGGUGGAGUCCAAUCAAGGACGGCUUGAACUCGCUCGGGAUUGACAGCAAUACCCUUACCAGAGAUUACAUGGCCUAGAUAGGUCACUUCUGACAACCAAAAUUCACACUUGGAGAAUUUGGCAUAAAGGCGAUGCUCUCGAAGUUUCAUCAAUACCAGCCUUAGAUGUUCGGCAUGUUCCUCUUCAUUUUUGGAGUAGAUGAGUAUGUCAUCGAGGUAUACUACGACGAAUUUGUCCAAGUACUCCAUGAAAACCGAGUUCAUUAACCGGGAGAAAGUGGCCGGGGCAUUGGUUAAACCGAAGGACAUGACGGUGUACUCGUAUUGGCCAUAACGAGUGACAAAAGCCGUUUUGGGAAUGUCCCCGUUUCUGAUUUUGAUUUGAUGGUAGCCCAACCUCAAAUCCAUCUUGGAGAAGACUGAGGAUCCAGCGAGCUGAUCGUACAGGUCGUUGAUCCUGGGAAGCGGGUAUUUGUUCUUGAUGGUGACCAGAUUGACAGGUCGGUAAUCCACAACCAUUCGAUCCGUUCCAUCCUUCUUCUUGACGAAGAGGACGGGGCAAGCCCAAGGAGAGGAGCUAGGACGGAUGAACCCUUUGUUCAAGGACUCAUCGAGUUGGUUCUUAAGCUCGGCUAGUUCUAAGGGUGCCAUCUUGUAGGGUCUUCUAGCAAUUGGAACGGUUCCUGGAACAAGGUCUAUCACAAACUCGACAUCCCGGUCAGGUGGAACACCUGGCAGUUCUUCCGGAAACACAUCCGGGAAGUCUCGGACUACCGGAACGUCCUCAAGGUCUGGAAGGGGGUUGGCAUUGAGAGAGUAAAGUUGGCGCUUGGCCACUCGAGUUAAGACAUUAACUGUCUUGCCCGAGGGAUGAGUAAGUUGAACGGUUCUAGUGGCACAAUCGAUCUUGGCAUAGUGAGCCGACAUCCAGUCCAUACCCAAGAUGAUAUUUAUGUCGGAGGACUUGAGAGCUAUUAAAGAUGCAAGGAAGACAAGCCUAUCGACAAGAAUUUCGUUCCCAUGGCUUACCCUAGAAGUUUGCCAUUUGGAACCCGGAGUUUGAAUUACCAUGGAAGUGGGCAUGUCACAGAAUGUCGUGUUAUGCAACCGAGCAUAAUUCUCGGAUAUGAAUGAAUGAGAUGCUCCAGUAUCGAAAAGAACAGAUGCCGGAUGGCAGUUAACAAGGAGCGUACCAAGGACGACGUUGGGAUCCUCAUGAGCCUCUUCGGCUGAGAUGUAGUUGACAUGGCCACGUGCAGUAGUGGCCGGCUUGGCGUAGAAAGUCUUUCCCGCGGGCUUACCACGGCCAACGGACUUUCCCGCUUGAUUGGGGUUGUUCUGGGGACACUCUCGACUAUAGUGACCCGGUUCUCCACACUUGAAGCAUGUUACCACAGUGGGGCGUGGAGCAACAUUAGCAGCGGGGCCACCAUAGGGCUUGGAUGGUGCAAUUUGCUGGUUGGGACGAGGCGCCUCAAAGGAUGGCCUCGGGGUGAAUCUGGGUGGCAGUGCGGUGCUUGGAAUCCACACCCGGCGCUUCUGAGCUCCAGAGCCGGAUGAAGACCCAAAAUCACGAGAAUGCUUGCGUGAAGCGUCAUAAUCAGUCUGGCCUGUCUCAGCACUGAUAGCUUUAUUGACCAACUUCUGGAAGGAUGUGCACUCGUGCAGACGGAGAUCGCGGCGAAGCUCAGGGCUAAGUCCCUUACGGAACCUUGCCUGCUUCUUGGCGUCAGUAGAAACCUCUUCAGGAGCAUAGUGUGCCAGGUUCCCAAAUUCUCGGCUAUAUGCAUCCACAGUCAGCCUUCCUUGGGUGAAGUUGCAGAACUCCUCCCUCUUGCGAUCCAUGAGACCUUCCGGAAUGUGAUGCUCACGGAAAGCCUCGCUGAACUCAGCCCAGGUAGUGAUUUGACCGACCGGGCGCAUAGCUUCGUAGUUUUCCCACCAAUGGCUAGCGGGGCCCUCAAGAUGAUAAGCAGCAUAGGUAACCUUGUCGGCUUCAGCUACGUUGGCAGAACGUAGCUUGUGGGUGAUGCUGCGAAGCCAAUCAUCCGCGUCGAGGGGCUCGACGGAAUGGUUAAACUUUGGUGGGUACAGCUUGAUGAAGUCGUUGAUUGACACCAAGGCAUUUCGUGGGUGGCGUGCAGUGUUCUGCUCAAUCCGCUCCAGCAGGCGGUUGGUCUCACGCUUGUUCCUUUCCGCCUCCAGCAUCACUUCGGCCAGGGAAGGCGGGUGGGGCAAAUUUUCACCUCUAGCUGCAUUGGCUUCCCCCUGCUCCGGGGCAGCAGGGUUUCCGCGGGUGUUGACCAUCCUAGGAGGGAAAACAAAACAACGGUUUAGACGAGGAUGGCUCAAACUUAACAGGGAAGUGCAGAAUGUAAAGGAUAACGCGGAAUGCAGAGAUGCUCAUUCGUAUGCCAUGGUAAUAUAAAACUGCCAUAUAUACACCGACGGUCAUACUCGUCAUACAUAGUUUAGUACAAGCCCAUGCUACAGUACAACUAUGAAGGUAGACGUUACAUCUCAUCGGAGGCAUUCCGAGUCCCUAUACAUUAUUUGUCUACACCUCCGGAAUCGAUUACACACCAAGUCGUAUUCCACAAGUCACACAGGACAGUGGAGAUACAACUACUACAAUACUAGUGGUACUACUACUAACUCAGAUAGCUCCGUAGUAGUCCUCAUAGAAGUCACCUCCAUAGCCUGGAAGUUCAACGUGAUCAUCCGGAAACAGACGGUCCUGAGGAGCCUGUGGACCAUAGGGGCUAGGAUAAGGUCUUGGACCAACAAACGGUGGCCUGCGGGGACCAAGGGGUGGGGUGAUGCCUCCCACAUCACGCCAAUCCACCAUGUCUGGCAGAGCUGCUCUCACAGGAUACAGAUCCCUGGUAUCCAUACAUCCAGCUUGCACCGCGGGUGCAAACCGAGUCAAUGUGGCCCAAUGAUCAGCACGGGUAUUGAAGAGCUCCAGCCUCAAGGCCCGAUUCUCUCGGUCCUUAUCUUCGAGCAUCUCAGCGGUGGUACGAGUUAAUGAGUCCUCCUGAGUGGAGUCAGCAUAGAUAGCCUGAAGAUACCCCUGCGCUCCCGGAAGUGAAGCUGGCAUGUAACGGAAGCCAGUGUUCCGAAGCAGGCCAGUCCGGACUCGCAAGAUGGUCAUCAUGGAAUAGGCAGCAUCCUGCACAGCCAUCUCAAUGGUAACUCCGAGUCCAUAGGAACAGUGAAGGGGCUCGGUAGAUCCAGGAUAGGAAGGAAAUAUCCUGACGGUGCAUAAAUACUGGCUUUGAUUAAAGUCGCGGAACUGCUCUUCAACAGUGUAUUCGGGAUACCAACGGUAUCCUGUCUCGAUCAUUACCCGGACCAACAUAGCAGUAUGACCGGGCACGUCGAGGCACCUGGUCAGGCGAACCACUUGGUUUUGAGACUGGUUGUCCAUCUGAAAGCAUAGCCACAAGACAAAGACAUCAGAAUUCCUAGGGAAAAUUGGGCAGCAUAACGGCUGUAAAUGCUCAGAAAAAGAUUUGAGACAUCCACAACAGUUCACAAUACCGCUCAACAGCAUCAUAUCAAGGUUCUGAUUCAAAUAGCCACAUACUAAAAUAGUAGAAACUGGACUGAAACUCGUAGCAAAAAUCCUAUGAGCUACUACGGAUUAGUAACACGUGAACCUGAUAGAAGAAGAGAGCCUAGUCCUUAACCCACGUUGAAUGAGAAGAGAAUAACUCAGAUCAGAAGCAUAGGGUAAAGGAGUAAAAGAACCUUACGUUCCCUCCCACAAUCAAUUCCCUUACAUAUAACUAAAGCAUUUCUAGACUCGACAUCGACCAGUUUGGCUGAACGAACCUACAGGCAGUCCGGCUCUGAUGCCAACGCUGUCAGGACCCCGAUUCUAAGCCACAUCGAUCUAGCCGGUAACACCUCAUAUCACUUUGCGGCCUCACGCACGGUAUCCCACGGGUGUCGCCUUACCAUGGCCCGGGACCGUUUGCGCCUUUUGGCUCACGUAUAUGACAAUGUCGCUAGCAUCCAUAUGACCGAGAACCUGGGCCGACAUGGCUAGUCGUGAACCCAAAGCGGCACAGACCUAUGGAGACAGGCAUACAUGAAUCACAACGAACAUGUCGGUCAUCAACGAGUGAUUCCGGGCUGUAGCACUGGGCUAGCAGGACUCCGGGGAAUCCCGGGCUGUAGCAGGCUAGACAGGACUCCGGAGAUCACCGCGUGACAUUUCCCCGAAGGGACAGACAUAGGGACGAAGUGAAACACAUGCCGGCCAGUCAAGUGUCCUGAACAGUAGUGCUGGGCUAGCAGGACUCCGGUGAACCGGGCUGUAGCGGACUACUAUGGCUCGAGGAGCACUAGACUACAUUUCCCCAUAAGAAAGGCUGCGAAGGGCAAACAACUAGAUUGUCAGAUCCCACUCAUACCAAGCAUUUCAAACAUACAUACAAUAUGCUCGAUAUGGGUACAUACAACAUGGCAUCACAACAAAACUCUACAACUCAAGUACUUUAUUUAAAGGCUCCAGGGAGCCAUACAUAACAUAUCCAUACAGGUAGGGGUCACAUGACCCGACACUCAAGUCAUACAGUCAUACAAGCACAUGCGGAAGCAACUAGUCUGAGUACAGACUCUAGAAAGAAAGAAGGCUUCUCGAAGCCUGUCUAUCUACAUAGGGCCCUCCAUGGCCUGGAUCACCACCUGGGUGUCUAGUCACUCGUCGACGUCAAGAUCUACGUAAAACCCAUCGGAGGGGGGCAGUGUUGUCGUCUGAAAACAAUAAAUAAGCAAACAUGAGUACAAAGGUACUCAGCAAGUCUUACAUCAGAACCUACUGUACAUGCUCAUUCUCAAGAAGGUGGUGGGGUUUAUGCAGCAAGCCAGCUUUGACUCUUGGCUAAGCUAUCCUACGGAAUCUUUUAGCAAAAUAGUUUUCGCACACGAGUCCACUACUCACCAUCACAAUACUCCACCGAGGAUCCUCCCUCGUAUCCUGUGAAGGGGGCCAUCCCCGGUACUCACACUUAUCUUGAGUCUUUUAGUAGUAUCCAUUAACUUGUCUAUGAACUGUAUAUGCAAUCAAGUAGUCCUUUACCGCGGACGCGGCUAUUCGAAUAGUUUUAUACCCUGCAGGGGUGUACUUCGUCAUACACGCUUUCACCGCUUACCGCCGUCUACACGACAUGUACUCGGCUACCUUCAAGCGGAAGCCCAGCGAGGGUGUCGGCCACGGCCUACCUAAUCACCUAAGCCCCUAGUCCAGGUUAUCGCCUAUCCAGGUUCCAUCCGCAGGGAGUCCGGCCGAGGUUUCCACAUACGGCCCCGAACGAUGUGAACAGGGUUCCCGAGACACCAAACGGGUGACUCGGUACACCGUGCCACGGUGUAUCUACCGCAACAUAGCCCACCCCUAGGGUCAGCGCUACGCACGGCCGCCAACACAUAUCCUACAAGCACGAGAAACUAUUUGCAACUCCUGGACAGAGUACUAGGGUGGCUAAGAAGCCGAGAGGGUCCAUUUGUUUCGGGCCCAAUGUACGGUAGUAACUGCAUCUUAAAUCACACAUUCAGAUCUCAGUUCUUAUGGACGGCCUCAAUGAAACAACCCACCAUGUACUCCUACAUGGCCUCUCAUUGAUACCUUUACCAAAACAUGUUCAACACAUCCCUCAUAUUACUGGCACAAGCAUUUCACUCUAGCCCAUCACCCAGAUGAACCAGACCUGACACAACUCUAGGCAUAGCAGGCAUAGCAAGGUAGGAAUCACAAAACAUGGCUCAAUCAACUCCUACACAUGCUAGUGGGUUUCAUCUAGUUACUGUGGCAAUGACAGGUCAUGCAGAGGAUAAGGGUUCAACUACCGUAGCACACAGCAGUUUGAAACGUGUUGACUUAAUGCAGUAAACAAGAGCAGGAGCGAGAACAUGGGUUGUAUCGGAAUGAUCAAUGGUUGCUUGCCUGAUGGAGUGGUGACGGGAUACUGCCCUUCAGUUGGAUACUCGUGAAUAUCCUCGGAGGCAGAACCUACCACGAAGAACACAACCGAGCACAAUCAACACAUGACGAUAUGCAACAAUAUGAUGCAUGCUAUGACAUGGCAAUAUGGAUGUGUCUUGAGCUAAUGCAACUAGCUAUAAUUUAAAUGGAGUUGGUUUGAGUGCAAGAUUCAAAUUCCAACCCCAUAUAUGAUUAUUUAAAUGCCCUUUAUUUGUUUUGUCCAAAACAGGGGACAAACAUUGUUCAAACAUGCAUGAAAAUGGUACAGAUGAAUUCCUUGAAUUUUUCUGAUAAUUUUACAUAUAUAAUUUGUCUCAUUUGGAGUUAUGGUUGAAUUUCUAUGAAUUUUUGAAGUUUGAACUAUUUUCUGGAAUUUCCUGAAUAAAAAUAAUUCUAGUAAAUCAAUUACUGCGUCAGCAAUGCGUCAGGGUGACGUCAGGGUCAACGGGGACGUCCAGGUCAAACCUGACUGGUGGGUCCCGCGUGUCAGUAGUUAAUUAAACUAACUAAUUUUAGUUAGGAACUAUUCUGGAUAAUUAGCAGAGGGGGGCCCACUUGUCAUUGACUCAGGGGAGUCAACUGGGCCCACCCAGUCCACGUCAGUGGUCAAACUCGCCGGCGUUUAGCCGCCGGCGAGGCCAGACGCGGCGGCGUGCUGCGGGAUUUGCCCACAGGGCUCCGUUUGCCACACGGAGAGCAGCUACGGGCAGCUGGUGCUCGCCCGCAUCCAGCCGUGGUGAUGGCUUGGCCGGGGAGUGGCCGGAGCAUCGCCGGCGAUGAGGUUAGGCGGAGGCCGAAGCUCGGGCCAGCUCGUGCGUGUGGCUGCAGUGGCCUAGGCGAUGUGGCGCUAGCACCUACAGCCUCUACGCGGCGCGAGGAGUGUGACGGACACAAGCCCGUGACCAGAUGGUCACCGGAGCAACGCCGGCGACGUGGUCAGGCGGCGGCGCGUUCGGGCACAAGAGAUGCGGCGUCUACGGUGUUCCAGGGGUGAAACAGAAAGCACGGGGAGGUUCAACAGCUCACAGAGAAGCCGCAGGGAGGGUCAGCGUGCUCGGGGAAGGCUCGGUGCGGUCGGAACGGCGACGGUGAUCUGGGCGGCCCGAGGUUGAAGACGAGCUCGGUGGAGUUGUUUGCGGGCCUCCGGCGGGGCGUGGCUUGGUGGAGCGAUCGAGGAGGAAGUGGCGGAGCUUCAGGACACGGUGGAGCAGCGCGGGGACGGCGGUGGACACGACUACGCUGGCGGAACGACGACGGCUGCGUCGGCCAUGGCUAAGGGGAGCGAGGGAGUGAGGCAGGGGGCGAGUGAGCAUGUCCAGGGGGUCGAGGCGGCGACGUGGAGCCUGUCUAGGCCAGCAGGGCGGCGAGGGGAGGAAGCAGGGCGGCAGCCAGCUGCGUGGCGCGCGCGGGUGCCGCCGUCGAGCACCUGCCUGCCUGCCUGGCCGAGCCAAGCUGCUCGCUGGCGCGGUGGCUGGGCUGGGCCGGCAGGUGGGCCUGGUGGGCGGCGCCAGGUAAGGCCCAGGUGGGCUUCUCCCUCUCCUCUUUUUUCUGUUUUCUAUUUUCUGUAACUGUUGGGCUUUAUUAAAAAUACUAAAAUAUUUCCAAAAUUCAUGAAAAUAAAUGUGAGCUCUGUUUAGAAUAUUUCCAACAGAAAACAUUUAUUCCCAAAAUUAUUUGAGCAUUUAAAUUAUUUUAUAGCAUUUAAAUGCCCAAAUUCAAAUACUUAUGAAUUAAAUCAAUGCCCCUUUUGAUGACCUAAAAUUAUAUUCACCAUUUUUCCCAAGGGUUCUAACCCAAGGCAAAGAGGGUGAACAUUUCUGAAGGGCAUUUCAGGUUCAUUGAAUUUAUUUUUAGUAAACCCUAGUUGAUUUCAGGGGGGGGGUGCUGGGGGUUCUGCUUUCCCCAUUUCCAUUUCUGAUGAAAGUAGACAUGAUGCACACUCUAAUGCAUAACCUAGUUAGGAUGUGACAAACGUCCUCGACUACAUCGAGGCCGGCAACACGCCGCGCCUCGAGUACCCCGCCCCCGCUCCCUCGUCCUUCUCUCGCCGUCGUGGCAGCUCGCGGAUGCCGCGGCGGUUGUCAUACGCGACGACCUCCUCCUCCUCGGGUGGCUCGCCGGCGGCCUUCGCCGUCAAGCCCGAGCCGCAGGACACGGCGGGGGAGUCCCCGCUAGGGCGCCACACCCGCAGCGGUGCCCUGACCAUCCGCGAGGAAGGCCACGGCGGUCGCCUGCGCCUCGUCCGACCGAAAACCGAGCCGGAGCCUCCCCUGCUCCCGGUGAAGCCAGAGCACCUCGCGAUGGCCGCCGCCGACGAGACGGCCCAUGAAGUGGGUGAGGGAGGACUACGUCCGUGAGAAGGUGGCUCGCCAGCGCCGCGCCAUCGAGGAACUCAAGGCGUGCCACCACCGCCCCGUCCGCGAGGUGGACGGCGUCGUCUACCUCGACAGCGACGAGGAGGAGGCCGGGCCAUCCCGCGUCGGCGACCAUGGACAGGGCUGCAGCAGGGACGGCGGCGGGUCGCAGGGCGAGGACGACGAGGAAGACGACGACGAUGAUGACGAUGACGGAGACUACACCGACUUCUACAAGCACCUAGGCAUGUAGAAGCCGGACGGCGGCGAGGACGGCGUAGCUAGGCCGUGUUUAUUUUUUUUGUACAAAUUUGAAUGAAGGUCGCCGAGUUUGUGCCAAAAAACGCCGAAUAGAUUUAGCCCUGGGGCCGACCUGGGGCAACGAGUAGGAACGCAUUCGCCCCCACGCCGGAAAUCUCGCCGGCUCGCUCUUAGGACGCGUUUUUUUCGUCCGGCUGGGGCUGCACCGGCGCAAAUUUUAGGUUUGGGGGGAAAUUUUUUCCAGCCGUCUCCACCCCCAAGCAUCCCUGCACCUCGACGAGGAGGACGCGUGGCGCGCAGCGAGGAAGCGGCCGGGCCGGUGACGAUGUCGAGGAGGGCCCGGAGCAGAGGAGGAGGUCCAGGCCGCCGUCCUUGUGUCGGAGCGACGCCAUGAAGAAGAAGAGGAGCAAGAGGUCCGGGCUCUCCGCCACGCUGCGGGAGCUCAGGCUGGCGGCCAAGGCAAGGGACAAGGAAGGGCUCCUUCAGAUUUCUCGUCAUCGUACACCGCACCAGGGCAGCAGUCUUGGUGGCCGGCUGGCUGUAGAGCCCGACGCCGCCGUCCUCCAUGAUCUGGAAAGCGAGCGUGACGACGAGCUCCCCACCCUUGGCCUUGCCGGCGAGCAGGAACGCCAUCUGCCACUGCCGGACGCGCUCCCCUUGCUGGCUCUUCUCCGUGGACUCCUUCACGAGGGCGCCCAAGUCCACCGUGCUCUGGUCAAGGUCCAGCUCCGGCGCGUCCACGGCGACCACGGACAGCAGAAACGGGCGGGGCUCGAACUGGAGCGCCCUCGUGCGACUCCUUCUUGUGCAUGGCCACGGCGAGGCCCUGCGGAGAACGCGUGGUGUGCACGACUCCUUCUGGCCGAAGAGCACGCGUGGUGUGCUCGAACCGCCCUGGAUCCGUGGUUGCACCACCGUGUGGUGCUCUUCGACCUCGUCUGCACGACGGCACGACGACGAGUAGGCGGCGAGCGGGGAGGCAGGUGCUCCGCCCGGCCACGAGCUCGGCCCCGGCCACGCUCCGCCCGGCCGCGAGCUCGCCCGGCCACGCUCCGUCCGGCCGCGAACUCGCCGGCCAUGCUCCGCCCCGCCCGGCCUCGGAGUUGCUCGCCCCUUCCCGUCCACGCCCGGAGUCUAUCGCCCUCGCCUCGUCCACGCCCGGCCACGAGCUCCGCCCCGCUGGUGGAGAAGGACGACGGGAAGAGGCGUAGCUGGUGGAGAAGGAAGUCGUGGAGGAGGACGACAGGGAGAGGAUGGACGAGAUGGCGCUCCUCGCCGACGCCGCUGGCGUCUUGCUCGCGGAGGAAGGCUUGAGGGGGGCGGGCGGCAGCCAGGCAAGCGGACUUCUCCAUGGCCGAUCUCGGGAGAGGGGAGAGGAAAAGAGAGGACAGAGGGUGAGGCCACAGGAUGGGUCCCAGAUGAAAAGAGAUGAGAGAGGGAGGUGGGAGGCUGAGGGUGGGCCAGCAGCGAGGAAAAGAAGCCGCCGGCACGCCCAGCUGCCCCCCAGGGGGCUGGGUUCGGGGUGAGACUACCGGCGCUGUUUUUCUUCAAAUUCAGCGAAAAAUGACGCUUUGAAAGCGUGAGUGAGAGGAUUUUUUGUCGCGGACAUUAAAAAAAUGACCUGGGGGCGUUUCUGAAGACGUGGGUGGAGAUGCUCUAAGGAAUAGCACCUUGAGAGGAAGAUGCAAGGCGGCGAGGAAGCAAAUCCUGUGGUCGAGGGAGCGCGUGCCAGGAGGGCUCGCGCCAUCGCUUCUGCUGCGAUGCGGGGCUUGGCAGGUGGCACUGCAACGACUGCAGCGCUUGUGAGCACCCGCGGCAGGAUGCUCCCCGCUGACGUCGAGGCCGGCGUGCUCUCCUCGAUCCUGCACGUGCGUAGGGAUUUGGGCCGAUCAUGUCAGUCAAAUUCGAGUUCAUUUUGAGCCUGUUUGCUUUUUUUUUUUACUUUUCCAGUCCCCUGGCUGCAGGGCAUGGUACAUGUGACCUUCGGCGAGAUCGCCGGCGGACCGUCCGACGUGUCUUUCAAUUUUUUUUGAGCAUCAGUACAAACACAAACGCUCAUAUACACGCGCAUACACUCAUUCCUAUGAACGCACACACGCACACCCUACCCCUAUGAGCACCUCCGAGAGACUGAGCCGGCAUAUCAUUUUGAGAUUUACGAAGUCACUGUAGGCGCCUCGUCGUCGACGGGAACGUCUCCUUCCACUGAAAGCGCAUCGUCGAAAAUCCUGAAAUAAAUCCAGGAUUAAUGCGAGCACCAGAAUUUGAACCCUGGUGAGUUGGGAAUACCACUGUCCACCCAACCAACUCAAUCACAGGUUGAUUCGCACGUGUCUUUUAAUUUGGAGUGCUAACUUUAUUGCAUGGAAGAACCGUACUGUAAAAUAAGUUGAUCUGGAUUUUUUUUACGUAUAGAAGUUGAUCCGAGUUUGCAAUGGUGCAUUUCUGCUACUAAAUCCGACAUCUUCAUGAUGCUCUGGCCCUGCCUUAUGUAUCUAGGACGGUUGCAUCAAGGUGUGUAUCUUAACUGUUCUGGACAUGCUCUAAAUGUUGUAGAAGUAGCCUGCAAAAGUAGUGUAUACAUAGCUAAAAAGCUGUGGAAUUCUAGCUGAAUUUCGGGUCAGCCCUGGGGCACCCAAUGGGCCAGCGAGCCACAUGAUUUUGUCGGAAUGGGUCGACCCGUGACCCCUGAAAUUGGCCUUGAGACCAUUGGUCCAGGUCCAGGCCCACACAUUCCCAUCUUGACUCCAAACACUGGCCCCCAGCAGAAUCGGUCUAGCUCUAGCUCCGUCACUGCUUCUGCCAAUGCGAAAGCUUCUAUGCAGGGCCACAGCCUCGAGAGUCCAAGGGUCAGCACCAGUGGCGAAGCCAGAAAUUUAAUAUAGAGAGGGCCAAACUGUGUUAUAUGAUGUUAGACGAGACCAAAUCAUUUAAAUAUUGCUACUUUUGUUUGACAAAUAGAGGAUCAAGAGCACAUGUAGUUGUAUUUCUGAGAGUAUAGAGGGGGGCCUGCCAACACCCCUGCCUCCGCCACUGGUCAACACUAGUAGAAAACAGAGUUUUGGUCCAGGCCUGGCCAGCCCAUUAGUCCCGGUUCAAUCACGAACCGGGACCCAUGGGGGCAUACGUCCCGAUUUGUGAGCCCAGGGGGACGGCCGGGCCUCGUGGGGCAUUGGUCCCGGUUCGUCUGGACCCAUUAGUCCCGGUUCCAGCCACGAGCCGGGACCAAUGAGGUGGCUAUAUAUACCCCUAGCCCGCGAGCAGAGCACUCCACUGCUCUGUUUUUUUCUGGACAGCGAGGGAAGGACUUUGUGGUGCUCUAGCUCACCUCCUAUGCACAUGAGGUGUUCGAUGAAAUGCCUGAGCCACACUACUUAAGCUUUUUCCUCUCUAAACUCGACUUCCAAACUCCAUUUUCCUUAAGAUUUAUUUAGGUUUAGCGGUCUGUCCCGUCCCCGUCUUCACCGUCGUCGAUCGCCCGCGCCGAUCUCGUCGAGUCCUCUCUAUACGUAUAGUACGUAGCGUCGACCAAGCACGGAGGUAAGAGAGGACACUUCUUUCUAUUAGCUAGCUAACACAAUAUAUGAAACCCCUAAAUUAACCCUACAAACCCCCCAACCGCCCCAAAAAACCCAGCCCCUAAAAUGUUGACGUGUUGAUGCUUUUUGGUCCCGGUUGGUGCUACCAACCAGAAUAAAAGACAUAAUAUAUUUUGCAACAAAAUUCAUCACACCUUGCUGCCUUGAGCCGACACUGAGACCUUCAACCUGUUGUCAUCCUAACAUAAAAAGUUGCAAAUUGUUUUGUUUAGCAAGGAUUAAGAUUUAAGAGUUGCUCGACUAGUACUUGUCUUGCAACCAAACUAGUGUCACAGCAUGUCCACGAGUCAGUGCCCUGGGCACUUGUAGUCCUUGGUGUUUACCGAUGUAUAUAUCUGUUCUGAUUGUGUUUAAUGAGCAGCAGGGAUAACUAAUCGUGCUACCGUUACCAUGGCAUUAUAUACAAACAUUUUUCCUGUUGAAACAUGAUCACAAUCAUAUCGAUCUGAAAAAGAAGAGAAAAAUGAGAAAUAUUAUAUAUUCAGUAAAAGCAAAAUAUUAAUUCAUGAAUUAGUAAAGGUUGUACCUCGGUGAUGGAGUGUACAUCAGUGUGGUGACUCCAACUCGCUUGUCAGACAUUGAAUGUAGUGCGCCUCUGUUCUGUUGCUUCUGUAGAGCGUCAGCAGAUCUGGGCUGCUGUUCCUAUUUUUUGUUCUGCUCAGUGACUUGAACUGAGGUGAGUUAACUUGCUUUUCCUGAAUUUCAUGACCAAAACAGAGAAGAGCUUAAGGGAUAUAAAAGGGGGGGAAUGAAACACUAGGAGGGAUGUACAUGCUUGUGUUGACCAGUGCUUUAUAUUUAUGUGGGGACAAAUGCAUUGGAUAUUUUGUUCGAAUAGGAGGGAUAUAUCUAAGCAUAUUGCCACUAGGAAAAAGUCACUCUGCUCUUCAGAUUCAUAACUUCCGUAAGCGGGUUUUACUUGAUCAAAAUUGGAGGUUAAGAUAGCUUGAUUUUUUUCACUGGGAUUAGACUUAUGUGUUUACUCAGAAAUUCCAGCUAACUAUCUCUGAAAUAAAAGAAAAACGGACCUAAUUAGUCUGAUGUAAAUUUUCUGCUGGACAUGUGCACAGAACUUAUUCACCAUACUAUUUCUGAGGAGUAUCUCCAUACUAUUUAACCGUCACAACAACAAAUGCCAAUCUUUCAAGACUCCUCACAGGAAGAAAAAUUGGUAUAGCAAAUUAGGAAUAUUUAUGCAUGGAAGGUGACUGCACGUAGAUAGAGAGCAUUCCUUACUCUAUUUACACAUAUAUUACAUUCCUUCUGCAUGGUUGGCAUAUAUGGUUUGUGGGGUCAGUUCUGUCUGGUUGAGCAUGUUACUGUAUCAGGGGAAGACUGCAUUCUGAGAUCAAUCGACAUGUUAAUCUGGAACAAAAGAAAAUGGCACAAAGCUUCUCAAAAUGGAUAUGCUCGACAGCUAGGUAGUUAUAUAAAAUAUUCUUAUCUAUAUUUACUGAAGUUUAUGUAAAUAAUCUGAUGUGACAUGCAAGCACACCUUGAACAUAAAUUUAAGCAGCAACAAUACUAUUUCUUCAGACUCACACGGCACAACUCUUACUCUCUCCGUUCCUAAAUAUAAGUCUUUAGAGAUUCCACCACAAACUACAUACGGAUGUAUAUAGACAUGUUUUAGAAUGUAGCUUUAUUCAUUUUGCUCCGUAUAUAGUCCAUAGUGAAAUCUCUAAAAAGACUUAUAUUUAGAAACGGAGGGAGUACAUGAUAACAACAUCAUCUAAAACAAAUGAGGAACAGCUCCCGUACCCAAAGAUGGCGAAUGGUGAAUGCUUCUUGCCAAUACACGUAACUUACAAUUUAUAUAUCCAUAUAAUUAAGUGUACAUAAACAUAGAGAAAUGAAUCAUUAGAAAAAACGUUGCACCUCCACAAAAUUGGUGGCUUCGUGAUCCCAAAUUACAAGUGUAGUAGUACUACAAAGAAAAAUUACCUAGUGUAGUAUAAACACAAUAGAGGAAAAACUCACAUGUCUCAAUACUCUAUAGCAUCAACAGCAAACAUUCUGUUUGCCAUCCUAAAAAGAUGAUGGUUGCAUCUGUCGUGUUCCUUGACUCUACACCAUGGGUGCAUUGCCUCUAAUUUAUCGCUUCUUUUUUUGGCGAAAAGUAGCCUCUAAUUUAUCUCAAGAAGCUAAUCUGAAUCUAAUGCAUUCUGAAUUUCUGAACACUAGUUGGCAAGCUGUUCCUGGCUUCUUGCCGUAUGGUUGACAAGUCCACUCAGGAAAAAACUUGGAAUGUUCCGUCAGAAAAUAACAAGGCUCGCCAACUUCAGUCUUACUGAAAUGGCAGCAAAAGUAAAUAGGUUAAGAAAACUUACGCAGCACCAAAAGAGGGAAAGAAAUAACAACACAUAAACAACUGCAAAGUUCAUGAGUUUGCCUACAGAAUUUUGGAACUUCAAAUAGUGUAGUAUUCUACUCCCUCUGUUUCUAAAUAAUUGUCUUUCUAGACAUUUUAAAUGGCUACCACAUACGGAUGGAGUAGAUUUAAAUUUAGAGGUUUCUAUCUGUCAAGCUGGAACAUAAUUAAAUUAUAACAGUAGAUAAACUGGCAGGAAAUUAAGAUUAGAUAAACUAUCACAGUAGAAACUUGCUGACACAAACAAACGGCAGCAAGAAGAGUCUGAAGCGACACUAGCAGACAGGAACAUCGAUUCAAACAGCAACAUCACUAUUUCUUCAGAAACACAAGCAGCACAAUUCUUACAGAGAUUGUAACAUCGUACUACUGCCGACUACGUACACGACGCCUGCCGCCAUCAACUCAUGAAACAACAACGAAGCCAGCCUAGGAUGAGGUGAACUUGGUGACGGCCUUGGUGCCCUCGGAGACGGCGUGCUUGGCGAGCUCGCCGGGGAGGACGAGGCGGACGGAGGUCUGGAUCUCCCGGGACGUGAUGGUGGGCUUCUUGUUGUAGCGGGCCAGCUUGGCGGACUCGCCGGCGAGCUUCUCGAAGAUGUCGUUGAUGAAGGAGUUCAUGAUGGACAUGGCCUUGGAGGAGAUGCCGAUGUCCGGGUGCACCUGUUUGAGCACCUUGAAGAUGUAGAUCUUGUACGUCUCCACGCCCUUCUUGGCCUUGCUGCCCUUCUUCCUGCCCCUCGUCUUCCCCUCGCCGCCGGCCUCCUUGGUCGCCGGCGCCCGCUUCUCCGCCUUGGGCUUCUUCCCCGCGGUGGUCUUCUCGGCCGUGGCCACCGGCUUCUUCUCCGCUGCCUUGGGUGCCAUGGGUGCUGGUGGUGGUGGUGGUUCGAGCGUGGGGCUUGGUGUGGGAUGUGAGGGGGUUGCGGAUGCUGUGGUGUGCAGAGACGGAGGGGGCGGCGAGGUUAUGUAGGGAGCGGCGAGGAGGAGGAAGCAGGCGGGCUGCGGUUGGCGGAGAGGAUGGUGCCUCGGAUCGAUGGCGUGGAGUGGCUCCAGCCGUUCGGUGAUGCUUGGGACGGACGGACUGGAUGCGCUUUGCCGCGGAUCGAUGACGUGGCGAGAUGACUUCCCGCUGGAGCGGCGCGGAUCGAUGACGUCCGCCAAAGCACAGUAGAAAUCAAACUGAAGCCGCUGAAACUGUGGUCUCACCCAAUUGAACAAAAAAACAACUAAAAUCCAAAUGAAAUUCACGGCAAAUCUUAAAUGGCGCCUUAAACGCCUGUUUCUUCUGUUUCCAAAAUUAGCCCCUCCCCCCACGCUGGGCAGCCCGUUUUAGUUUUUUUUUCCUGUUAAACUGCAACAAGAAACACACUCGAGGUGAAUCUAACAUGUGACCUACUGUCUUUCAAUAAACUUCAGUAACCACCUGGGAUCCCAAAGUUGUUGUGUUUUCUUACUCCCUUUUUCUUCUUUAUUUUUUCUUUUUCUUUUUUAUUUCCUUAAAUUCAUGAAAUCUUUUUUCCAAAAUCUAUGAACUUUUUUCUCAGAAUCAAUGUUUUUUUUCAGCAUUCUGAACUUUUUUCAAAACUGAUGAUCUUUUUUCAAAUAUGUGAUUUUUUUCUUUCAAAUUUGAUGAACUUUUCCAAAAUUGAUGUUUUUUCCCAUUUGUGAAAUUUUAAAAAAUAGAUUUGUGGGAAACGAUGCGUAUAUUGGCAUCAAAUUCAGUUUAUACCCUUGUUAGUAUGUUGUGUUGUUUGCCAGGAAACAGAAAACCAAAGUAUAUGGCGUUGAAGGAAGUACCCUAAAGGUGAGGCAGUGACGCAGUGUGGCCAUAUAUGUGAGCCAUGGUCUAAUGCAAGUUAAGAUUCAUUGUGGUCGAGCGAACGACCGAAAACAAAAAAGGCUACACACUGUGAAUAAAGAUAGUGUUUGUUUCAUUUUAUCGUUGUAAACAAUAAAGUGUUUGGAUACCACCUGUAUGAGAACGAAAUGUUAUUUCUUACAGUGCUCGUAAUUAUAGUGCCAUUUUUUUGGUGAAAAUUUUGAAUGUUAUGUUCUCCGGUUUUGUUUUGACAUUUGGCAUUUCAGGUCACCCAAAGAAAACUUAAAAAAAUUGAGGCAAGUUGGCAUCCCAAGGGACUAACGAACCACUGAUACAGCAGCUCCUGGUCGUACCACAACAAACCAAGUUAUCAGAAGGAUAAACGAUUUGUCAUAUGAGCAUGUCUCCUCAUAACGGGCACCCCCAUAGCCUCCACCAAAUCGACAAAAUGUUACCCAAACACCGUGCAAAUGUGCCACUAGUACCGAUGGUCGACCACAAGCCAUAGAUUUAAACCGUCAGAACGCAUGAAAUAAACUAGAGAAGUGGAAGAAACUGAAAAGAAACAUGAUGGUCGGCCUAAAUGCGUCCACGGCUGCAACUAGAAGGACUGGAGGCCCAAUGCCAAGAGAGGAAAUAACACUAAUUGAAAAAGAAAACUCAUUCGUCGAUAAAAAAAAUCAUUAUGCAUUUAACCUGUUAUUGUACUAUUCAUCAAUUUACUGAAAAUCCUUGUUAUUUUUUCCACCAUGAAACAUCAACUGCUUAUUUUUCGUGGAAGCUUUCCGGUGACGAACAUUUUUCUACUGGAUCCUUUGAAGGCCCUGCCUGAUCCUAUUUUAAUUUCUCAAUAUCAGUUUCUGCUUUAGCUCAUUAUUACAAAAAUAGUGCCUCAUCUGGCUAGUAAUUUUAGUUUGCAUCUAGCAGCCAAAACGUUCCCUCAGGUCUGGUCUGUUACGUACAUCAAACUCCGAAGGAAAGAUCAUGGUUAAAUUGUCUGCAAAAUGUUUCAUCUUUCUUGUGAAGCAUCUUCCUUGUCCAAUAUAGCAUCAAUCUAUAAUUUGCACCACUUGGGAAUCAUCAAGUGCUAGUUCUCCAUAAAUUCAUUUUCCCACGGCUUGAGAUCUUCAUACGGAACUAAAGAUGAACCGCUGAAAUCACAGAUAAAUGGAAAAUAUCGGACGUUAGAAGAGAGAAUUUCGUAGUACAGCAAAUCUUCAAACGCAAAGGCAGGCAGCAAGCGUUCGCAAGAUCAAUUGCAGCCAUAAGUAGCAGACUAGAGUAGAACAAGAGAGUUAAGAUUGAAGUGAUUGCAUCUUUCGCCAUUGUCACAGAAAUCACAGGUACAAUGUCACCCAUGCUCGACGAAUCUGAUGGGCACAGAAGACUACAAGACACUACAUACAGGAUCUCAUCGUAGUCCAUGAGAAAUGGAUCUAAGCAACAAUGGCUAGGCUAUGGGGACGACGGCUACUCCUUGGUGGCGGCGGUCUUCUUCUUGGGGGACUUGGCGGCCGUCUUCUUCUUGGGCGACUUGGCCUCCUUCUCGGCGGCGGCGGGGGACUUCUUGGGGAGCAGCACGGAGUUGAUGUUGGGGAUCACGCCACCGUGGGCGAUGGUGACGCCGGCGAGCAGCCUGCGGAGCUCCUGGUCAUUGCGGACGGCGAGGAGCAGGUGGCGCGGGAUGAUGCGGGUCUUCUUGUUGUCCUUGGCAGCAUUGCCGGCGAGCUCCAGGACCUGCGCAUUCAAAAACGAAAUCUGUCAGUUAACUGUCCGAGCACGGGAAGAACAGAGCAGAACAGAUGUUCAAGGACGGGGAAGAUCGGCGCAUACCUCUGCGGCGAGGUACUCGAGGACGGCGGCGAGGUAGACGGGGGCGCCGGAGCCGACGCGCUGCGCGUAGCGGCCCUUCUUGAGGUAGCGCCCGAUGCGGCCGACGGGGAACUGGAGCCCGGCCUUGACGGACCUGGUCACCGCCUUCUUCCUGUCGCCGCCCUUCCUUCCGGCCAUCUUGCUUGCUGCUACUUCUCCGGCGACGAGGACUCUCGAGGUGUGGUGUUUGCGGCGGCGGUGCUAGAUCGGAAUGCUCUGAGCUUGUGUGUUGGAACGCUGGCGUGGGCGCGGGUUUUAUCGGGAGGCGGGAGCGUCGCUGGCGGGGGGAGCGAUCCGCGUGAUGCGGUGCGCCAGCCGUUGGAUCUGAGGGGAGCGUGACGGGCCGGGGGAGUGAUCCGUGGGAGCUCCAGAUCGACCAAUCAGAUAGCAGAGAUUUGCAAUACGUACGUGGAAUUGAAAUUGAGUUCAAAACCAAAAAUCAGCCUAUGUAUUGAAAUGGGCUUGAAUUCCUUUUUUUUUUGCUAUUAGAUGGGCUUCAAUUCUGAUUGUGUUUUUGGUCGUAUAUAAAAUUGCUAAUUGGGAUUAAGUGAUUGUCAAUAGCACCCCUAAAAAAAAGUGAUUGUCAAUAGCAGUUUUUUUUUUGAAAAAAACAUAUAUUAAUUAAUUAAACAGAAGUUUAUUACAAUCAGUCAUUACAACAUAUGCCACACAGGGUGGAACAGAGUUAACGAGCAACCCAUCAGACCUAUUAUUAAAACUAAACUUAGCACUCUCAAAUGCCACCUCAUUGGCAUGACGAUUUAUUUUCGAGAAACUCAAAUUUUGGAACAUCUUGACGAUACUCAGAACCUCUUUCUUUAGAUCAACGAGAGGGAAUUUAUCAAGCUUGUCAUUCGCAAGGAAAUAAUGUACGAAAGCACAGUCAAUCUUCAAAAUAAUAUAUUGGUGAAGGGUAAUACCGAUAUAAAGACAUGCUAGGCAUGCGCGGAGCUCAGCUUCACUGACACUAGUACACUUACCAGUAAAAUCCCACGAGGACAUUAUAAUUUCGCCAAUUCCUAGCGACAACCCCCACACUGGCAGCAUUAAUACUCUCCACAAAACUAGCAUCGACAUUGAUCUUGAUAUAAUCCACAAGAGGCAAUUUCCACACCUCAUGCUCUUUCACCGAUGCCAAAUCCACAAUAACCCCUCCCACCUUUUCCUUACCUUUGUUGCAAGAAUCCAACUGUGUAGCGUCGUUAUUGGCCGUAUAAGAGGACCAAUAUUUUUCCACAAAAUUUGUCGAGUUAGUAAUGGAUUCUUUUCCCUUUCCGAAAAUUAAAUCAUUUCUCAGAUGUCAAGCUCGCCAGAAAAGGAAUAAAAUUUGCUCUCCUUGCUGCAAGUUCAACUGAUCCAGCAAACUCAAAAGCCAGUCUGGUCCUGAGCAUUUGAAGAACUCUUCAUCCAGAAUAUUCCAAGAAUCUCUCAAGGCCAACCGCAGAGCACAAGAUUUAGAACACCUCACCAGAGCAUGGAAAGUGCUUUCAUCUUCCACAUCGCAAAUAGAGCACAUACCUGAGUUAGUCUAAUGGUGUUUAAAUCUAUUCAUCUGGACUGCCAAACUAUUCGUAGCAGCACGCCACACAAAAAUCCCAAAUCUUUUGAGCAAAUACCAGUUUUUAUUUAGAAUAGCUAAUUGUAUGUGCAUUGCAACACGGGCAUACAUAUGUUUGUGGUUCACAUUAACUAUGUCUAUCCUCCACCCACUACCUCCAUCUCCCCAAUCCAAUCUUUACCACCUAUGUUAAUGGCUCAUCUGGUCACAAUCCAUGCAAUUUGGAUUCUGGACACAUAAUUCUGCAGUUGAUAUUAAUCUAGUCUCUACAUGGCAGGAGGACGAAAAGAAAAUUUGAAGACAUGGGAACCUAACUGGGUAUAGCAAAAGAAAAUGCGGAGAAAACACCAGUUCACAAGUGAACUUUGUGAACUCUAAUAUAUGUUAUGAAUUAUAUCGAUGAGAAAGUGUGACUUUUUUGAAGAACUCAUGAUGAAUAACAAUAUUAAACAAAUAUAGUUAAAUACUCGGCUAACCAAUUUCCUUGAGUAUAUUUUAUCAAUGUUGACAUUUACAAUAUUUUCCUUGAACACUAGCCUUUGCACAGAACAUUCGCCUUCUCACAACAAUGAUGGGUCACUAGGGCUUGGCAGCACUAGUAAGAAAAUUUAGUACUAUGAGAGCAUCUACAACCGCAUAUGCCAAAUAUGACCCCUCAAACGCCCGCGGGCGUACCAAUAUGACCCCGAGCGUGUCUGCAGGCAGUGAUCGGUCAGUCCUCAAAUUUGCUCAACUGCAUCUGAACACCUCAUACUAAAAUUCUUAAAUCCAUACAAAAGCAUGCGGGAAAAAAAACCUACGUACUACGUAGAUCACUUAGCCUAGUCCUCAUCGGAGAUGUCGACUAUCUCCGUGCCCGACUCCGAGUACAUGGGCGACGGCUGCAGCUCCGGCCCCUCCGGCUACUCCGCUCCGGCCUUGUCCUCUAUCUACACAUCGAGUUCGGCGAAGAGCGCGUCAGCCGUCGCCCGCUCCUAUUGGAGGAACUGCCAGUUAACCUCCACAUAGGCCUCAUCUUGGAUGGACUCCAUGAUGGUCUGCUGCUCCGCCAUCUCUACGGCUUGGGCGACGGUGAACUCCGCCUCCGCGUCCCUUGAUAUGUCUCCGUCGUAUCUACCUUUUCAAACACUUUUGCUCUUGUUUUGGACUCUAAUUUGCAUGAUUUGAAUGAAACUAACUCGGACUGGCGUUAUUUUCAGCAGAACUACCAUGGUGUUGUUUUUUGUGCAAAAAUAAAAGUUCUCAAAAUUGGAUGAAACUUAUUGGAGAUUUUUUAUGGAAUAUAUAAAAAAUACUGGAGCGAAGAUCCACCAGAGGGGACCACUAGUUGCCCACAAGGCAAUAGGGCGCAACCACCCCCUAGGCGCGCCCUGAUGUCUUGUGGGACCCACGUGGCUCUGCUGACCCUAAUCUCAAGCCUAUAAAUUCCUUUUCCCCAAGAAAAAAAUAAAAGCAGAAGUUUCAUCGCGUUUUACGAUAUAGAGCCACCGCUACCUCCUAUUCUUCAUCGGGAGGCCAGAUCUAGAAUCCGUCCGGGGCUCUGGAGAGGGGGAUUCAUCGCCAUCAUCAUCACCAACCCUUCUUCAUCACCAAUUUCAUGAUGCUCACCACUAGGAGUGAGCAAUUCCUUUGUAGGCUUGCCGGACGGUGACGGGGUUAGAUGAGAUUUAUUAUGUAAUCAAGUCAAAUUGUUAGGAAUUGAUCCCUAGUAUCCACUAUGUUCUGAGAUUGAUAUUGCUAUGACUUUACUAUGCUUAAUGCUUGUCACUGGGGCCCGAGUGCCAUGAUUUUAGAUCUGAACCCUUUAUGUUUUCAUGAAUACAUUUGUGUUCUUGAUCCUAUCUUGCAAGUUAUAUGCCUCUAUUACGUGUUAUGAUUCGCAUACCCCGAAGUGACAAUAGUUGGAAUUUUUUCCGGUGAUGAGCGUAAUUUAAGGAGUUCAUGUGUUAAUGCUUUGUUCCAGUUAUCUAUUAAAAGGAGGAAUUAAUAUCCCUUAGUUUCCAUAUGGACCCCGCUGCCACGGGAGGGUGGGACAAAAGAUGUCACACAAGUUCUUAUUAUAAGCACAUAUGACUAUAUACGAAACACAUACCUACAUUACAUUGAUGAAUUGCGGCUAUUGUGUAUCGCUCUAGGUUGUGACCGUUAUAUGAUGAAUGUCAUCUAACACAAAUAUACAUCACUGAUCCAAAAUGUUGGUCAAGAUCUAAUUUGGAAUGUUUGACUGCAGGACUUCUGAAGCAUCUUUCUUAUCCAAUUUAAUUAGCACCAUCUUCAAUCGAUAAGCUGCCACGCAGGGAGAGGCGGAGGAUGAUUGGAAAUCCUAAGUGCUACUUCUUCAUAGAUUCAGUUUCCAGCAGCUUGAUAGGAAUAAGCUUGAAGUGAACUUCACAAGGAGGUAAAGAUAAAUGGCUGAAAAUGACAUAUCAAUGGAAAUUUUUGGAUGCUAGAAGAGAGAAUUUCGUAGUACAAGAUUGAAAUGAUUGCAUCUUUCGCAUUGUCAUAGAAAUCAAAGAUACAAUGCCAUCCUUGCUCGACGAAUCUGACGGGCACUAUAGAUUAGCAGGCAUUACAUACAGGAUCUCAUCUUAGUCCAUGAAAAAUGGAUCUAAGCAACACCGACUAGGCUAUGUGGGCGGCUACUCCUUGGUGGCGGUGACCUUCUUCUUGGGGGACUUGGUGGCGGUCUUCUUCUUGGGCGACUUGGCCUCCUUCUUGGCGGCGGCGGGGGACUUCUUGGGGAGUAGCACGGAGUUGAUGUUGGGGAUCACACCGGCGAGCAGCCUGCCAUGGGCGAUGGUGACGCCGGCGAGCAGCCUGCCGCGCUCCUGGUCGUUGCGGACGGCGAGCAACAGGUGGCGCGGGAUGAUGCGAGUCUUCUUGUUGUCCUUGGCCGCGUUGCCAGCAAGCUCCAGGACCUGAGAUUCAACCAAGAACCAGAUCAGUUAGUUAUCUGUCGAGCACGACGAGAACAGAGUAACAGAGGUUCAAGGAGGGGAGAGAUCGGCGCAUACCUCGGUGGCGAGGUACUUGGAAGUGCAACUAUCCCUGGAUGGUUUUGGUAAUUCCUAACAACAUAUACCUCAUCGAGCUAAUGCUACUUGAAGAUAAAUAUUUCAGGACAAGCUCAAUGUUUGGCAUGGCAUAGAUUAGAAAGUGGACCCCUCAAAAUGCUAAGGACAAAAGAUUGGCUCAAGAUCAAAGCACAAGACUCUACAUUUUACUUUUAGUGAUCCAAGAUCACAUUGAGUCCAUAGGAAAAGCCAAUACUAUUAAAAGGAGGUGAGGUGUUGCUUAAUGAGUUGCUUGCUCAAAAUGCUUAGUGAUAUGCUCCAAAAACCCUCAACUACUUUCUCAUAUCCACAUAUGUCCCAAACCAAAAGUCAAACUCGGCCCCACCGAAAUCUUCUAUCCGGCGCCACCGAGUUCACUUGACAUAGCUACUGCCAGAAACCCUAGUCACUUCGGUCUCACUGAUAAGGAUCUCGGUCUCACCAAGAUGGGAUUGCAAACUCUCUGUUCCCCUUUGUAACGUUUUGGUCCAACCGAGAUGAGCGAUCGGUCCCACCGAGAUUGCAAUGCAAACUCUGUGUUUCCCCUUCGUAACGUUUCGGUCUAACCGAGAUGAGUGAAUCGGUCCCACCGAGUUUGCCUGAACAACUCUCUGUUUGCCUAUUACCAAAAUCGGUCCCACCAAGUUUGUGUAAUCAGUCUCACCAAGAUUACGUUAUGCCCUAACCCUAAUGGAAUCGGUCCCAUCGAGUUGACAUAUCGGUCCCAUCGAAAAUCCUAACGUUCACAUUUUGAACUAAGUCGGUUUGACCGAGUUAUAUGAUUCGGUCUCACCGAGUUUGGUGAUUUGUGUGUAAUUGUUAUAUAUUUGUGUGGAGGCUAUAUAUACCCCCCCCCCACACACUCUUCAUUCGUGGAGAGAGCCAUCAUAAUAUGCCUACACUUCCAACAUACAUUUUCUGAGAGAGAACCACCUACACUUGUGUUGGGGUCAAGAUAUUCCAAUCCAACAACAUAAAUCUUGAUCUCUAGCCUUCCUCAAGUUGCUUUCCAGUCAAAUCAUCUUUCUACCAAAUCAAAUCCUAUGAGAGAGAGUUGAGUGUUGAGGAGACUAUCAUUUGAAGCACAAGAGCAAGGAGUUCAUCAUCAACACACCAUCCAUUACAUUUUGGAGAGUGGUGUCUCCUAGAUUGGCUAGGUGUCACUUGGGAGCCUCCGUCAAGAUUGUGGAGUUGAACCAAGGAGUUUGUAUGGGCAAGGAGAUCGCCUACUUCGUGAAGAUCUACCCUAGUGAGGCAAGUCCUUCGUGGGCGAUGGCAAUGGUGGGAUAGACAAGGUUGCUUCUUCGUGGACCCUUCGUGGGUGGAGCCCUCUGUGGACUCGCGCAACCCUUACCCUUCGUGGAUUGAAGCCUCCAUCAACGUGGAUGUACGAUAGCACCACCUAUCGGAACCACGCCAAAAAUCUCCGUGUCUACAUUGCAUUUGCUCCCUCCAAACUCCUCCCUUUACCUUCAUAUGCAAUUGAUUUACAUUCCGCUGCUAUACUCUUAGAAUUGCAUGUGUAGGUUGACUACUUGUUUGUGCUAAGUUGCUAAAAUCUGCCAAGACUUAAAGUUGGGAAAAGGCUAGAUUUUUAUUUGGUCAAGUAGUCUAAUCACCCCCCUCUAGACAUACUUUCGAUCCUACAGUACUCGAGGACAACGGAGAAGUAGAUGGGGGCGCCGGAGCCGACGCGCUGCGCGUAGAGGCCCUUCUUGAGGUAACGCCUGACGCGGCCGAUGAAGGAAAUAUGCCCUAGAGGCAAUAAUAAAGUUGUUAUUUAUAUUUCCUUAUAUCAUGAUAAAUAUUUAUUAUUCAUGAUAGAAUUGUAUUAACCGGAAACUUAGUACAUGUGUGAAUACAUAGACAAACAGAGUGUCCCUACUAUGCCUCUACUUGACUAGUUCGUUAAUCAAAGAUGGUUAAGUUUCCUAACCAUAGACAUGUGUUGUCAUUUGAUGAACGGGAUCACAUCAUUAGAGAAUGAUGUGAUGGACAGGACCCAUCCUUUAGCUUAGCAUAAUGAUCGUUUAGUUUUAUUGCUAUUGCUUUCUUCAUGACUUAUACAUGUUCCUCUGACUAUGAGAUUAUGCAACUCCCGAAUACCGGAGGAACACGUUGUGUGCUAUCAAACGUCACAACAUAACUGGGUAAUUAUAAAUAUGCUCUACUGGUGUCUCUGAUGGUGUUUGUUGAGUUGGCAUAGAUCGAGAUUAGGAUUUGUCACUCCGUCUAUCGGAGAGGUAUCUCUGGGCCCUCUCGGUAAUGCACAUCACAAAGAGUUAGUUACGGGAUGAUGCAUUACGGAACGAGUAAAGAGACUUGCCGGUAACGAGAUUGAACUAGGUAUGAUGAUACCGACGAUCAAAUCUCGGGCAAGUAACAUACCGAUGACAAAGGGAAUGACGUAUGUUGUUAUGUGGUUUGACCGAUAAAGAUCUUCGUAGAAUAUGUAGGAGCCAAUAUGUGCAUUCAGGUUCCGCUAUUGGUUAUUGACCGGAGAUGUGUCUUGGUCAUGUCUACAUAGUUCUCGAACCCGUAGGGUCCGCAUGCUUAACGUUUGAUGACGAUUUGUAUUAUGAGUUAUGUGAUUUGAUGACCGAAGUUUGUUCGGAGUCCCGGAUGAGAUCACGGACAUGACGAGGAGUCUCGAAAUGGUGGAGAGGUAAAGAUUCAUAUAUUGGAAGGUUGCAUUUGGACAUCAGAAUGGUUCCGAGUUGUUCGGGCAUUUUUUCGGAGUACCGGGAGGUUACGGGGCCCUCCCCCCCAGGAAGUUAAUGGUCCUUUGUAACGCCCUCGAUGCGGCUAUAUCUCCCACGUGUCGAAGCACGACUUAGAGGCAUAACCGCAUUGAAAGCAAUGUCGCAAGUGAGGUAAUCUUCACAACAACCCAUGUAAUACAAUAAGGGAAAAAGGUACAUAGUUGGCUUACAAUCGCCACUUCACACAAUACAUGAAUAAAAGCAUUACAUUCAUCCAGAUACACUCAAGGUCCGACUACGGAACCAAAAUAAAAGAAGACCACCCCAAAUGCUACACAGAUCCCCGAUCGACCCCAACUGGGCUCCACUACUGAACAACUGGAAACGAAACAACAUAACGAACGUGAAUCUCAUCGAGCUCCUCCUUGAGCUCAGUUGCGUCAUCUGCACAGUUUCAUCGGCACCUGCAAACUGGUUUUGGAAGUAUCUGUGAGUCACGGGGACUCAGCAAUCUCACACCCUCGCGAUCUAGACUAUUUAAGCUUAUAGGAAGGGUAAAAGGUAUGAGGUGGAGCUGCAGCAAACGACUAGCAUAUUUGGUGGCUAACAUAUGCAAAUGAGAGCGAGAAGAGAAGGCAAAAGCACGAUCGAUGAACUAUGAUCAAGAAGUGAUCCUAGAACAACCUACGUCAAGCAUAACUCCAACACCGUGUUCACUUCCCGGACUCCACCGAGAAGAGACCAUCAUGGCGACACACGCGGUUGAUGCAUUUUAAUUAAGAUAAACUUUAGGUUUUCUACAACCGGACAUUAACAAAUUCCCAUCUGCCCAUACCCGCGGGCAUGGCUUUCGAAAGUUCAAUCCCUGCAGGGGUGUCCCAACUUAGCCCAUCACAAGCUCUCACGGUCAAUGAAGGAUAUUCCUUCUCCCAAGACAAUCUGAUCAGACUCGGCAUCCCGGUUACAAGACAUCCUCGACAAUGGUAAAACAAGUCCAGCAAAACCACCCGCUAUGCCGACAAAUCCCGAUAGGAGCUGCACAUAUCUCGUUCUCAGGGAACACCGGAUAAGCUAAGCGUACGGGAGCCAACGUAACCCAAGUUGCCAAGGGACAGCCCCGCACGGUGCUUUGGGUUGGACCAACACUUAUACAAGCACUGGCCCGGGGGUUUAAAAUAAAGAUGACCCUCGGGAUGUGCGACUCCCAAGGGAAAAGGCUAGGUGGCGAAAUGGUAAAACCAAGGUUGGGCCUUGCUGGAGGAGUUUUAUUCAAAGCGAACUGUCAAAGGGUUCCCAUUAUAACCCAACUGUGUAAGGAACGCAAAAUCCGGGAACAUAACACCGAUAUGAUGGAAAACUAGGGCGGCAAGAGUGGAACAAAUCACUAGGCAUAAGGCCGAGCCUUCCACCCUUUACCAAGUAUAUAGAUGCAUUAAUUAAAUAAGAGAUAUUGUGAUAUCCCAACAAAAUAACCAUGUUCCAAACAUGGAACAAGCUCCAAUCUUCACCUGCAACUAACAACGCUAUAAGAGGGGCUAAGCAAAGCGGUAACAUAGCCAAACAACGGUUUGCUAGGACAAGGUGGGUUAGAGGCUUGGCUUAACAAUAUGGGAGGCAUGAUAAGCAAGUGGUAGGUAUCACAUCAUAGGCAUAGCAAAAGAGCGAGCAACUAGCAAGCAAAGAUAGAAGUGAUUUCGAGGGUAAGGUCAUCUUGCCUGAAAUCCCGCAAGGAAGAAGAACGAGUACAUGAAGAAGACAAACGGACGUAGUCGAACGGGUCCUCACAAAUGCAACGUUAUCGGAACCAACCCGAAGAAGCAACACCGGAAAGAAACACACAACAUAGUAAACAACCAACACAUGAACAUGGUAUGAUAUGGGGGAUGCGGUAUGCGGUGCAUAUGCAUGAUUUGGAAAGGAAUGAUUGAACCUGGCCUCAACUUGGAAAUCCAAGAGUGCCACUGGAAAGAGGAGUUGAUUUCGGUCGAAAUCGAUAUAAAGAUCACCGGAAUCGGAUGCACGGUUUGGAAAUGGCAAGCAAAACAAAUAUGGCACCGGUCUGCGAUUAACAACAAAUGGCCAUCUAAAUGCAUCAAGAACAACAUGCUACAGCACUCUAACAUAGCAACAAAAUACAUGGCAGGGAUCCACUCAUGAUGCUUGACAAAAGAUGAAGACUGAGCUACGGCUAAUUCACUCAAUAGCAAGCUCAAACAAGCAUGGCAAAAAUGCAAAAGAUAACAGGUUUCAGACUUAGUGAAAAUAACAACAUGUCAGGAAUUUAUCAUCAAGAAGCAAUGUUUAGAGCACGAUAACUAUAUGCUACAUGAACAUAUCAUGGCAAAGCAAGGCAUGGCAUGAAGCUACUCAAAGCAUACAACAAAAGACCCUUAGUGACCAUGAGCCAAAAGGGAUCAGAAAAUACAAUUGCAAGCAUGUGAACAUAGCAAAAACAUAAACAGAUUCAGACUUAGUGAAAAACUGGAGCAUGGCAAGAACAGAUAACGGGUAGGCAUGUUUACGAGCUCGAUGCACUCACUACGAGACAAGGCAUGGCAAACUAAGCAUACACCCAGCAAAUAGACAUGGCCUAGAAGCUAGACAUGGCAAGAACAACAACAUAGCAUGCAUGGAUCAACAACCACAAGCUCGACAAAAUUGCUAAACAUGUUAACAAUCUGCCAGGAACAUUUUAUAGUAAAAGUAGAGCUCGAUUGAGUCAAGCUAGGGUGCUCCAUAAUUGCAAACAAAGACAUGGAUGGAUAUAGAACCACAAUAUCUACAAAACAUCCUUACUGAUCAUGCUCAAAAGAGGCAUGGAUCACUAGGAAACAACAUGAACAUAUGGCAUAAAAAUAAUGACAGGGCAAGGACUUAGUGAAAUUCUAAGUCCCUGAAAUCAGCAUCAAUAAGUAAGCUACUUUGCAUGCUUGUGCUAGUCAUCACAAAGAUCACAAAAAUACAUGGCAUACACCCCUGUAAAGAUGGCAUGGCAUUCUUCAAAACACAUGUAGAGCUCAGGAUCAUAGCAUGCACACAUUAAUCAUGGCAAAAAUGACAAAAGGGCAUUUGCUGAAACAGAUCUGAAACUAUCCUCACAUAGCCCUCUUCCAACAGCAUUUCAGGCAUCAAGAUGAGCUCAAAUGAAAAUGAUGCAAUGGGAUGAAAUGAUGUACUCGUCGAUACGAACAUUUUGAUAUGCUACACGCAUGAAUCGGAGCAACGGUGAUGAAGUUAUGAUGCGAUGAACAGUGCUAGAAAUUAUGCAGAUCUGAGGACUUGGCCAUUUUGGAGUGAAUUGCAAAAAACCGCCACAUUGAAGCCUAGGGUUGCAGAAAAGACUCUUCUACGUUUUUGUGCCAGAAAACACUGAUUUCGCGCCUAAUCAUUUGCAGAAAACACCAAACCUUCUGUUGGGGCAUUUUAAGCACUAUUAUGACAGGUGGGGCCCGAUUUUGGGGACGUGGCGUCACGGCCGCGAGCUCACGCCGUCUAACGGCGUGGCGUCCGCUACUACUCCGGCGUGUGGGUAAAAACAGGUUCGAUCCAGCUCUCUUCUCACACUCUCGCCUCUGCCUCGCCCUCUCCUCACUCUGUUCUUCCUCCCCGGCGCCGCCAGACCGUCGACCGCCGUUCUGCUGCUCCCCGGUGCCAUGGUGUCGUGGAGCGACGAGACCAGUGAGGAUUCAGUCCUGAACAUCUCCUCCUGCUGCGAUGGCAUCAUCAAGGUCAGUUGGUUAGAUACCUAGAGCUAGGGUUAGGGUUAGUGAAUUGGGGAUUUUUUCACUGAGCUCGAUGUGAACCUAGCCUUCUCUUUGCUUGCUCCCGCAGCUUCCAGCUACGAUGCACGAUCCGAAUUUCAAUGGUACUGACGUAGAUGUGAAUGUGUUGUGUGAACACGGUGAGCCGGCCGAACGCUUUGUAGCAUUUGAAGGGAUGCACACGGGCAGGAGGUUUCUUGGAUGUGCUAAGAAGGUAUGAUUCACAUCCUGUGUAAAGGAAGUUGUUUGCUUAAUGCUUUGUUUAUCAAGCUCUUAAGAUUUUUUUAGCUUGGUCUUUGUUUAGCCUUUUAUGACAUGCCUUGUCAUUAGUGGAUUUUUUUAGCUUGUUCUGACCACACAUUGUUUAUUGUGGUCAGUGCUUACUCCUUUGUUUACCAAGUUGUUAAGCUUGGUUAAGUGCUUUGUCUUUGUUUAAUUUGCUUUAGCUACUGUGUUGGAGUGUGUUCUCAUUAGUGGAUGGUAGUCAUUGUUUAUUAUGGUCAGUGCUUAAUGACUUGUUUAUCAGUGGGCAUUGUUAAUUUGUCUAUUGUAUGGUAAGGAACCUGUGAGUGCUUAGUGACUUGUUAAUUUGUCUGUUUAACAGUGCACAUAUUAGAUACAUGAACCUGUUGGUUUGAUGGUCUUAGACAAUUAUUUAUUCUUUUAUUGUUUAUAAUACAGGAAGGCAUAAACUGUGGAGUAGUUCAAUGGAUUGAUUUUGAAUGGCCAGACUCAAUGGAGAAGGCAUUGGCCAAGCUAUGGGAUAUGUAUGAGGAGACUAAGUCAGCUAGGACCAACGACAAUCUAGAGAGUUCCUUUGCAAUUCACAACCUGACAGACGAGAAGAAGAAACUACAGGAGAACUAUGACAGUUUGUAUGCUGAUGUGAAUGCUCUUUUGAAUGCCCAGCAGGAGAGGGGUGUGGACACUAGUAGAAAACGGAGCUUUAAAACCGGUUUGUAAGGGCCUUUAGUGCCGGUUCCAUAACCGGCACUAAUUGGUGGGCACUAAAGCCCCCCCUUUAGUACCUGUUCGGCACGAACCGACGCUAAAGUGCCACCACGUGGCGUGAGCUCGCGCCCUGGUAUGGGGGACCUUUAGUACCGGUUGGUGUUACCAACCGGUACUAAAGGUUUUUUAUUUUAGAAUUUUUUUUGAAAAUUUUGGAAUUUUUUUUAUUAUUUUUUUUGAUUUUUAAUUUUUCUGAAUUAUUUGGUGAUUUAGUCUCUAAUCACCUCUCUUAACUGCUCAAGUGUGGAUCACUCAUUCCAAAUCAUCUAACUUCCCGACUGGUCACCCAUCCCUCUCACUACUCCAGCCCAAGCACGCUUAACUUUCAUGUUCUAUUCUCCUUCGUUUCCAAGUCUGCACUUGUUGUUUUCCUGACAAUAGUAAGAUGUCAAUCCUAUUAACCCUUAGGAGUUUAGCUUGAGCAUGAAGUCACACAUUUCACUGUUUGAGUUUGAAACUAUUAUUUUAAAAACAGUAAUUAUUUAGUAACACUAAUAUUUCUUGAAUAAGUUUAACCAUAGUUUGACCACAGUUUGACCAGAUUUGACCAAAAUUCAAAAAUUGAAAUAAUUAUUUAGUAACACUAAUAUUCUUGAAUAAUUAUGUAGUAACAUUAAUACUUCUUGAAUAAGUAGUUUGACCAGAUUUAACAAAAAAAAAUUAAAAAAAACUUAAAUUUGACCAUAUCUUUUUUUCCUUUUGGAAUUUGAGGAUUCUAAAAAAUUGCAAACAGGCCGUAGGCGGUCUCCAUCGGAUGCGGAUUUUCAUGCUGGAUUUUUUGAUAUAUUAUACGUUUUUUUCCGACAUCGUAUGCAAAAGUUAUAGUCGUUUUACAUUUUUCCUACACUUUUUGCAAAAUAUGUCCAAAUUUAAGUUUUCAAAUUUUCCUAACUAGUAGAUGUAGUAAUAUAACUACCUCUCGAAGGAUUUUAUUUUUUGAAGUUUUUAUCAUUUUCUUUUGAUCUUUUCAGAACUGAAAUGGCGGCACACAGGGGGAGGUAGAGUUUGAAAAUUGCCCUAUAGUGUCGGUUUGUGUCACAAACCGGUACUAUAGGUUAAGACUCGUUAGUGCUGGUUGGUGACACAAACCGGUACUAUAGGUUAGACCUUUAGUACCGGUUUGUGUCACAAACCGUCACUAAAGGGGCUCGUGGGGCCCUAGCCUGACGCCAGCCUGCCACCACCCCUUUAGUACCGGUUCGUGGCACGAACCGGUACUAAAGGUUCAUUACGAACCGGCACUAAUGCAUAGCCAUUUGAACCAGCACUAUUGAUCACAUUAGUGCCGGUUGUUUUACAAACCGGCACUAAUGUGCUUCACGUUUGGCCCUUUUUCUACUAGUGGGAGUUAACCAAUCAAAAGGAGCAGAAGCAAUAUCUUGAAGUGAAGAUUGCUGAGCUUGAAACUGUAGUUGGCAACUUGAAGGCAGAGUUGUCAAAGAAAGAGGAGGAGAAGAAGAAACUACAGGAGAACUAUGACAGUUUGUAUGCUGAUGUGAAUUCUCUCUUGGAUGCCCAGCAGCAGAGGGGUGUGGAGUUAAACAAUCAGAAGGAGCAGAAGGAAUAUGUUGAUGUGAAGAUUGUUGAGCUUGAGACUGUAGUGGGGAACUUGAAGGCGGAGCUGUCAAAGACAGAGGAGGAGAAGAAGAAGAUGCUGCUAAACUAUGAAACUCUGAAGAACCUGACAUGUGCUCAAGCCAAUGUGAUUAGGAACUUGAAGUUCAAUCAUUUGAAGGAGAAGGAGAGGCUCACAAAAGAGAGGCUUAAACUGCAGUAUCACAUUUCUGAGCUUCAAAAGUUUGAGGAAAAGAUAAAGUUGAAGCUUCAGGGUGUGAAGGCUAUCUUAGAUGAGUAGGGUGCCUUCUAGUAUGAUAAUCAUCUAUCAGUUUCUAGAUGAUAAUCUUCUAUCCAGUACUUUAGUAUGAACUUGUGACACAAGUACGUCAUUGAUGAGUUUGUGAUCUAUGGUGUUGGAUCCAGCAGUGUUGUAAUCAAGAUGAUAAUCAUCUAUUAAGUACUUUAGUAUCUAUUUCUGAACCUUUGUCUAUGUAUUUUGUGAGAUCAGGUGUUGGAUCCAACCUUGACGAAACUUUAUGAAUGUGAGUGCACUUUGAUUGUCAUGUGCUAAGUUAGUAAAUUCUGUUAUCUAGAUUCAUGGAUUUGACCCUAGGGUUCACCUUGAGCCCCAUCUUGUCGACAUAUCGAUGAUUUGACCCUAGGGUUCACCUUGAGCCUCAUCUUGUCGACAUAUCGAUGAUUUGACCCUUGAGUUUACCUUGAGCCUCAUCUUGUUGACAUAUCGAUGAUUUGACCCUAAGGUUCACCUUGAGCCUCAUCUUGUCGACAUAUCGAUGAUUNNNNNNNNNNNNNNNNNNNNNNNNNNNNNNNNNNNNNNNNNNNNNNNNNNNNNNNNNNNNNNNNNNNNNNNNNNNNNNNNNNNNNNNNNNNNNNNNNNNNNNNNNNNNNNNNNNNNNNNNNNNNNNNNNNNNNNNNNNNNNNNNNNNNNNNNNNNNNNNNNNNNNNNNNNNNNNNNNNNNNNNNNNNNNNNNNNNNNNNNNNNNNNNNNNNNNNNNNNNNNNNNNNNNNNNNNNNNNNNNNNNNNNNNNNNNNNNNNNNNNNNNNNNNNNNNNNNNNNNNNNNNNNNNNNNNNNNNNNNNNNNNNNNNNNNNNNNNNNNNNNNNNNNNNNNNNNNNNNNNNNNNNNNNNNNNNNNNNNNNNNNNNNNNNNNNNNNNNNNNNNNNNNNNNNNNNNNNNNNNNNNNNNNNNNNNNNNNNNNNNNNNNNNNNNNNNNNNNNNNNNNNNNNNNNNNNNNNNNNNNNNNNNNNNNNNNNNNNNNNNNNNNNNNNNNNNNNNNNNNNNNNNNNNNNNNNNNNNNNNNNNNNNNNNNNNNNNNNNNNNNNNNNNNNNNNNNNNNNNNNNNNNNNNNNNNNNNNNNNNNNNNNNNNNNNNNNNNNNNNNNNNNNNNNNNNNNNNNNNNNNNNNNNNNNNNNNNNNNNNNNNNNNNNNNNNNNNNNNNNNNNNNNNNNNNNNNNNNNNNNNNNNNNNNNNNNNNNNNNNNNNNNNNNNNNNNNNNNNNNNNNNNNNNNNNNNNNNNNNNNNNNNNNNNNNNNNNNCCUAGGGGUCACCUUGAGCCUCAUCUUGCCGAUAUAUCGAUGAUUUGACCCUAGGGUUUACCUUGAGCCUCAUCUUGUUGAUAUAUCGAUGAUUUGACCCUAGGGUGUCACCUUGAGCCUCAUCUUGUCGAUAUAUCGAUGAUUUGACCCUAGGGUUCACCUUGAGCCUCAUCUUGUCGACAUAUCAAUGAUUUGACCCUAGGUGUCACCUUGAGCCUCAUCUUGUCGACAUAUCGAUGAUUUGAUCCAACAAGCCAACUUGAACAAGCCAGAUUACAGUACCACAAGUUGUUGCCAAAAUAGAUCUUAGCAAUUACUAGUUUAGCUAGAUCACAUCAUCAUCAAGGUUCAACAUCAGUUCCCAGAAGCAUAGAAAUAGUCUUUCAGCCUGCUGGGUUGCUUUCUCUGUCUUGGUGGCAAGAAUGGUGCUGAUGUGGAUGCUGCAACUAUUGAACCUCUCCUACUUGCUAUAGCUGAAGAAGCUCUCCUGGCAGGAGUUGAGCUGGCUGCCCUUGUUGCUGCACCUGCAGUUGAAGAAGCUGCCCUUGGUGCUGGAGCUGUUGAAGAAGUUGCCCUUGGUGCUGGAGCUGUUGAAGAAGUUGCCCUUGGUGCUCCCCUUGGUGCUGCACUUGUUGAUCCCCUUGGUGCUGCACUUGUUGAUCCCCUUGGUGUUGUUUGUGCCCUGCUUCCUUGUGUGCUACCCUCCCCUAUGCUGUUAGACUGCAUAUAAUAAUUGUAGCAAGUUAAUACAUUCAAGUGUUAGAAAACAAAAUCUGGCUGAACCUGGUGCUUGUACAAACCUGAUGCUUGUUCUUUCUCAAUGCUAACCCAAGUAGCUCUAGGAACUUUGUUAAGCCAAGCCCAAGCAGCCUUGCACUCAUUUUUAAGAGCAUCCAUUGCAGCAAGAUGGUCAUCUUCAGUAUAAGAGUAACUAGCUUUAUCCAUGUACUUCUUUAAUUCUGACCCCCUAAAACCAGCAGUCUGGAAGUUUUGAUAGAUGUGUCUAAGGCAGAAUCUAUGUGGGUAGUUGGGGAAUACAUUGUUUGCAGCUUUAAGAAGGCCCUAUUUGGAGAAAUCACCAUAAUCACAACUAAGCAAUGUAUAUGACCAACAACUAAUUAAGCAAUUAUGAACUAUGCAAUUGUGAACUAUGCAAUUGUGAACUAUGCAAUUAUGAACUAAGCAAUUGUGAACUAUGCAAUUAUGAACUAAGCAGUUAUGAAGCAAUGUAUAUUAUAAAAUACAACUAAACAUGGGAAUUACCUUCUGUCUAUCAGAGAUUAUGGUGUAAUAACCAAAUCUCCCUAAUUCUCCACCAAUUGCUAUCUUCAGUUCAGAUAGAAACCAAGUCCAAUUGUCUGUGUCUUCUUUGUCCACAACUGCAAAAGCAAUGUGAUAUAUGUUAUUAUUCCCAAUCCUUCCUGUGGCAGCCAGGAUUUGUUAGCAAGUAGACAGCUUGAUGAAGCAUCCAUCCACACCUGCAUUGGCACACAACACAAGUCAAAAACAAGGCAUUCAAACAAGGCAAAGUAAAGAAAGUAAAGUAAUCACCUAUGAAUGGUCUACAUCCAUUCAGAAAUCCUUCCUUGCAAGCAUUCAAACAGAUGAACAAACCAUGGAACCUUGGAUUUUUGCUUGGAUGCUCCUUUAAGAACUUAGUAGUGACAAUGCACCUACUAUCUGGAUUUGUGUCCAAGACAGCGUGCAAGUAAUCCCUGAUUAUGGUAUACUGACCCCUCUGAUCUCCUUGCACCAUCUCAACUGCUUUGUUCUUAGCCCUGUAGGCCAUAUGAGUGCUAAUCUCAACUCCAUACUUGCUCUUCAGGUUUUGCAUUAUUGUAGUUAUUGGUGUGUUCAAGUCUGUUCUUAUUGCUUCUAACACCUGAUGUGUGACCCACUUGGUAGUCACCUUGGUGCUCUCCGCUACAGCUGGACAUGUGUGCAAAAAAAUUGCCUUUCUAAUGCAAAAUGUUCUCUCAUUUGCCAACACAGAAGCUGCAAUGAAAAAAGGGCAAUCUUCAUGUUUGCAAAUAGCUAUGAUUCUGUCAUUGCAGUUCCUAUGAAACACAUAGUUUCUGUUUUGAGCUACGUGGAAUGUGAGAAGUGCCCUUCUAAAUUGGUAAACACUUUAAAAACAAAGCUUUUUGAGAAACUGCAUCUCCGGGCUCUCUCUAUCCUCAUCAUACAAGAUUCUUGGUUUGGGUUUUUUGGCCCUACUCUUAUUGCCAAGCACAAAAGCUAGGGGUACUGCCCCAUCAUCAUCCUCCUCCUUCAAAUCACCAGGAUUUGGAUCCUCAUCAGAUGAUGGCACCCAAACAUCCUCAAAUUGUUGCUCCAAACUUGCAUGUGAUCUACUAGUUGGCCCCUUUCUUACUUUCAACUUCUUCCUCUUUUCCCCUUGUGGUACCACCCCUUCUUCAAUUUCCUCAUCAUCUCCAUGUUCCUCAUGCACUACCUCUUCUUCUAGCUCAUAAGGUUCUUCAACAUCAGUGUCACCUUCAAAGUGUAAAAAUGGGUCCUGUCUUUGCCUCCUCAUCUCAGCCAUCCUAGCCAUGAAAUCCUCAUCUUGCUCCAAGUCAGAGUCAUCUUCAGUUACUAAAACAGGAAGUUUUCUUUUAAUUGCCUCCACCCUCUCAACACUCUUCUUAUGCUUCUUAUACCUCUGUAUUUUAUUCCUCCUCUUAAGCUCCAUACUUCUUUCCAACUCCUCUUGCUCCAAAUCAACAUCUUCUGCAUUUCCUUGAUCCAUAUCUAUAUCUUUCUGCAUAAUCAGAUGCGUGCUCUGCUCUCUGGAGUAAAACUGUAUUGGAUGUGCCUCCUGCUCAUCAACUUGUGCAACUCUCCUUGUUUUUUUGGAUGGUGACCUGUACACCACACCUUCAUCACUGACCUCAUACACAGUCCUCUCUCCAACACUAUCUAUAGGGACCUGUUGCUCACAAACAUGACCUAUGUUUAAAUCUCCAGGUCUGGGCUCACUACCCCUAACUACUGUCAGAUUAACUAUGGCCUGAUCUAUGUUGGCAAUGUGGUCUCGCAUCUCAUCAACCUUGUCAUCAUCACAGAUCUCUUCUAAACCAGCUACUCCCAGGCCAGCAUCCCUAACAAAGUACAUGUAGUCAUCCUCUCCAUAGCCUGCUGUCUCUAUUAGUGCUAUUAGAUUCAGAAAUGUUAUGUCUGAAACACCAUGGUCCUUUCCAAAUUGUCCCUGUCAUGAAAGUGGAGCCUAACUUCCCACACAUCAUCACACAAACUACAAAGCAAAGAAGUGCAUAUUCAGUUAACUGAAAUAUUACAAAUUACUAGGUGAAACUGACACAUAUUUAGUUAACUGAAAUUUUUUGAACACUAAAAAAAUUCAGUUAAGUUCAUACAGUGAAGCAAAUCCAUUUAACUUCAUACACUACCCUAAUCCAGUUAACUUCAUACGCUAAUAGAAUUCAGUUAACUACUGACACUAAACAAUAUUCAGUUAAUGUCAUACAGUGAAGCAAAUCCAUUUAACUUCAUACACUACCCUAAUCCAGUUAACUUCAGACGCUUCAUACACAGGAGCAAAUUUUGGGCCUUUACAAACUAUUGGCACUAAACAAUAUUCAGUCAACUGAAAAACUUGUGUACACUGAGAAAAUUCAGUUAACUUCAUACACAGGAGCAAAUUCAUCUAACUGAUAGGAUACAUAUCAGAGGUUAGACUACAAACAAUAUUGACCUACAGUUCAUUCAAAUCGAAGACUAACUAUUGAACUAUGAGAAAUUGAUCCCUAACCCUAACCCUAGAAAUUGAUCCCUAACCCGGAAGGAGGGGGAGAACUUACUCAACGCCGCCAAAUGCAGAAGCCCAUUGAUGGCUACCCGUCGGAGUAGCAUGCACAACACGGGCAAAAGCGCCGGCAGUGCGGUACUCAAGCGGCGGCAAUGGUGCUCUCCUCUUCGGGGGGUUUGAGCUGCCGCACACCUCCUCCACUUUGUUCGAUUCGUCGCCGCGAAGCAACCCUCCGCUGGAGCCUCCAUCCACUCCACCGCCGUCGUCAGGGCUCGCCAUCGCCAUGGAGCACGGGGAGAAAGAGAGACAGAGGAGAGGAGUGGUGAAAGGGGGAAAAUGAAGUGGAUAAGGGACCUGUGCCGUUUUAACCGAGACGGCGCGUCCGUUCCAACUGUAGCACCAUUAGACGGCGUGAGCUCGCGGCCGUGACGCCACGUCCCCAAAAUCGGGCCCCACCUAUCAUAAUAGUGCUUAAAAUGCCCCAACAGAAGGUUUGGUGUUUUCUGCAAAUGAUUAGGCGCGAAAUCAGUGUUUGCUGGCACAAAAACGUAGAAGAGUGUUUUCUGCAACCCUAGGCUUCAAUGUGGUGGUUUUCUGCAAUUCACUCGCCAUUUUGAGAAUAAAAACAGGAUGAGCGUUGGAUAUCUAUUCUUCGCACGGGCGGGGAAUAGGAGAGGCUCACCCUGGGCUUCGGCCCAGACACGGGGAGGAGGCAGGCGGGCCGAUGGAUCAGGGCCUCAGCGAGGUCGCGGCCUGCGAGGCCCAUGUGGAGGGUCAAUGGGGGCGCGCUCGUCUCCCUCGAUCCUGAUCGGAAACCCGGGAGGCAAGGGUGGCGGCGCCCGAUGGCGAUGCCGGCGAGGGACGGCGGAGACCAGCCAGAUCCAGGCGCGGGGAGUGGAGGCCGAGGCUACGGACCCGUUCCCGAGGACAGCGGGGCUCGAUGACGCCGGCGUCGAAGAUCGGGAGCUCGGCUCCAUGGAUUUUCAUGGUGGCGAUGGUUGGUGCAGUAGAUGCGAAGGCGCGAGGAGCGGAGGCCGGCGAGGUGGACGGACUCCGACGAGGCACGGGUGGCCGGCGGGAGCUUGAGCGGUGACGGCGGAGCGCUCGGGCUCCCAGCGCGCGGCGGCGAACCCGGUCGGGCUCGCGCGGGCCCUGGAUGGGCUCCGCGGGCCGCGGCGCGGUGGGGAAGCCGGGUGGACACGUGGCGGUGGAUGAGUGGGUGCGGGAGGCGGCGGAGCUGAGGUGGCGGCCUGCCAUUGGUCCACGCGACGUGGAGGGGAGCGGUGGACAUGUCCGGCCGGUGGUGGGAAAGUGUUCGGCGGCGCGAGGGAAAAAAUUAGGGUUUCAUCUGCGCGAGAAUUUCGGAGGAGAGCGCGUAUUUAUAGGUAGAGGGAGCUAGGAGAGUCCAAAUAAGGUGCGGUUUUCGGCCACGCGAUCGUGAUCGAACGACCGAGAGGAAGGAGGGGGUUUAGGUGGGUUUUUGGGCCACUUUGGAGGGGUGUUGGGCUGCAACACACACGAGGCCUUUUCGGUCCCUCGGUUAACCGUUGGAGUAUCGAACGAGGUCCAAAUGGCACGAAACUUGACAGGCGGUCUACCGGUAGUAAACCAAGGCCGCAUGACAAGUAUCGGUCCAAUCCAAAAACGUUUAACACCCACACAUGAAAAGAGGUAGAAAGGGACACCGGGUGACAUAGGAGCGCUGGAUUGCAAAAGGGACAACGGGGAAAUGCUCGGAUGCAUGAGACGAACAUGUAUGCAAAUGAAAUGCUCGGAUGCAUGAGACGAAGGGUUUUUUCUCUCGAUGUGGGCCCCACAAUUUUGGGGGCCCUGUGCAAUCGCUCACCUCGCUCACCCUCAUCGACGGGCCUGGUCGUAGUGCUUAGGUGAAGCCCUGCGCCGGUAACUUCAUCAUCACCGUUGCCACGUCAUCGUGCUGACGAAACUAUCCCUCGUCCUAAACUAGACCAAGAGCUCGAGGGACGUCAUCGUGUUGAACGUGUGCUGAACACGGAGGUGCCGUACGUUCGGUGCUUGGAUUGGUUGGAUCGUGAAGAUGUUCGACUACAUCAACCGCGUUACUAAACGCUUCCGCUUUUGGUCAAUAAUUUUUGAUCUCUCUCUCUCUCGUGUUCUUGAUUUGGCGCGAUCUUGAUGUAUCGCGAGCUUUGCUAUUAUAGUUGGAUCUUAUGUUUCUUCUCUCCCACUACUCUCUUGUAAUGGAUUGAGUUUCCCCUUGAAGUUAUCUUAUCGGAUUGAGUCUUUAAAGAUUUGAGAACACUUGAUGUAUGUCUUGCCGUGCGUAUCUGUGGUGACAAUGGGAUAUCAUGUGAUUCACUUGAUGUAUGUUUUGAUGAUCAACUUGCGGAUUCCGCCCAUGAACCUAUGCAUAGGGGUUGGCACACAUUUUCAUCGUGAUUCUCUGGUAGAAACUUUGGGGCACUCUUUGAGGUUCUAUGUGUUGGUUGAAUAGAUGAAUCUGAGAUUGUGUGACGCAUAUAGUAUAAUCAUACCCACGGAUACUUGAGGUGACAUUGGAGUAUCUAGGUGACAUUAGGUUUUUGAUUGAUUUGUGUCUUAAGGUGUUAUUCUAGUAUGAACUCUAGGGCUGUUUGUGACACCUAUAAGAAUAGCGCAACAGAUUGAUUGGAAAGAAUAACUUUGAUGUGGUUUCGUAUCCUACCAUAAUCUCUUCGUUCGUUCUCCGCUAUUAAUGACUUUGGAGUGACUCUUUGUUGCAUGUUGCGGGAUAGUUAUGUGAUCCAAUUAUGAUAUUAUUGUUGAGGGAACUUGCACUAGCGAAAGUAUGGACCCUAGGCCUUGUUUCAACGCAUUGCAAUACCGUUUACGCUCACUUUUAUCAUUAGUUACCUUGCUGUUUUUAUAAUUUCAGAUUACAAAAACAUUUAUCUACCAUCCAUAUACCACUUGUAUCACCAUCUCUUCGCCGAACUAGUGCACCUGUAUAAUUUACCAUUGUAUUGGGUGUGUUGGGGACACAAGAGACUCUUUGUUAUUUGGUUGCAGGGUUGAUUGAGAGAGACCAUCUUCAUCCUACGCCUCCUACGGAUUGAUAAACCUUAGAUCAUCCACUUGAGGGAAAUUUGCUACUGUCCUACAAACCUCUGCACUUGGAGGCCCAACAACGUCUAUAAGAAUACGGUUGUGUAGUAGACAUCAGGUACGUGGACACACUCUCCCCUCUCGUUGCUAUGCAUCUCCUAGUUAGAUCUUGUGUUAUCGUAGGAUUUUUUUUUGUAUUACUACGUUCCCCAACACUAGACCCACCCGUUAGCUUAGCAUAUGAUCAUUCAGUUUAUUGCUACUACUUUCUUAAUGUCAAAUACAUAUUCCUAUGACCAUGAGAUCAUGCAACUCCCGAAUAACAGAGGAAUACCUUGUGUGCUAUCAAACGUCACAACGUAACUGGGUGAUCAUAAAGAUGUUCUACAUGUAUCUCCAAAGGUGUCUGUUGAGUUGACAUGGAUCGAGAUUGAGAUUUGUCACUCCGUGCAUCGGACAGGUAUCUCUGGGCCCUCUCGGUAAUACACAUCACAAGAAGCUUGCUAGCAAAUUGACUAAGGAGUUAGUUACUAGAUGAUAUAUUACGGAACAAGUAAAGAGACUUGCCGGUAACAUGAUAGAACUAGGUAUAGAGAUACCGACGAUUGAAUCUCAGGCAAGUAACAUACCGACAGACAAAGGGAACAACGUACGUUGUCAUAAAGGUUCGAUCGAUAAAUGUCUUCAUAGAAUAUGUAGGAACCAAUAUGGGCAUCCAGGUUCCGCUAUUGGUUAUUGACCGGAGAGGUGUCUCGGUCAUGACUACAUAAUUCCCGAACCCGCAGGGUCGCACGCUUAACGUUCGUUGACGCUAGAGUAGUAUUGUGAUAUUUGAUGAGUGGUAACCAAAUGUUGUUCGGAGUCCCGGGUUAGAUCACGGACGUCACGAGGAGUCUCGAAAUGAUCGACAGGUAAAGAUUUAUAUAUGGGAAGUCAUAUUUUGGGUUUUGAAAAAAGGUGCAGUUUUCUCGGUAUUGUAUCGGGAAGCUUCCAAAAGGUUCCGGAAGAUUCCGGAGGGGUCUGAAAGUCCACAAGUGGGUCGACCACGACCCAAGGGCUAGCAUGGGCUGCGGGGAGGCGCCCUUGCUUUAUUGGGCUAGGCGCACCAAGUCCUUAAAAGCCCAUGUGGCUAGGGAAGACAAAAAAGGAAGGAGUCAUCGAGCCUCCGCGUUCGGCACUAGAUUGGUUGGAUCGUGAUCGGAUCGCGAAGAGUACGACUACAUCAACCGCGUGAUAAACGCUUCCGCUUAACGGUCUACGAGGGUACGUAGACACACUCUCCCCUCUCGUAGCUAUGCAUCUCCAUGGAUAGAUCUUGCGUGAGCAUAGAUUUUUUUUUUGUUUUCCAUGCAACGUUUCCCAACUGAUACGUCUCCAACCCCUGCUAAGGAUGUUAGCGAGGGUUGCCUUGAUUGAGAAAAUCAUUUGCAGAAACACCACCAUACAUCAAUAUCAGCAUACAACAACAACACGGUCAUACAUCAUGUGGAAGUGAAAUUACCUUCAGUAGUAAGAGAUCAGAGGGAGGGGGCACAAGAGAUGGAGCCCAUCGUCUAGAGAUGAAGAUGGACGGAGAAGGAUCGAUUUAUCUAGAGGUGGUUGAAAUAGCAAGUCCUGGGUUAGGUGUAGGUUGAGUUGUUGACGGCUGGAUACCGAGUCAAGGAUGGCGGAGCUUGGGACCCGACCGGGAGGGGGGGUCGUACACGGACUAGCGGGUGUGGUGGCGGCUGAGGGACUGUGAGGCUCGAGGAUCAAUGAUGUCUUAGGAGCUCGGGUGUGGCAAUGUAGCUUGGGGACUAUGUCAAAGGAUAAUGCACAAUCCACUCCAUUUUCAUCUCACAAAGUCACAUGAAUCACGCUAAUCGUUAAAAAGAUAACAAAAGUAACAUUAAACACAAAGUUCAACAAAUAAUAGUAACAUCUCAUGCGCUGUAAGAGUGAAAAAAAGACAAAGGACCAGAGUAAUGAAAGUAGGCAAAAAACAAACAAAUGAACAGACUAAUGAAAAUAGGCUCAUUAAUAACAAGGGUUAACAAAAAAUCCACACACAAAUGUGUCAUAUACAUGUUCACCCAGCUCUUUUUAAACAUACCAUUGACAUUUUUUAGAUGCUAUAUAUAGAAACAUUUCACGCACCCAAGCAAAUCAACUUCUUUAUUACUCGCAUGAUUCAUGAUUGUUUUCCCAAUGUGAAACAACUUAUGACGACAUUGACAAUGGCCACAAUUGUUAUCCUUACCCAUCCUUAUUUUUUCACUCCACAGACUGUACAACGCAUAUACCUUCCAUUUCUUAAACUUCAAGUUUCUAAUCAAAAUUUGCCAAAUUUGAACAUUUUAGUCUAUGGAGUGAUGAAACUGAAUAUGGCCAAUACCCGAUGCUAAAUUGUUGAUCCACACAUGAUGAAUGGGCUUACUACCAAAAAAAUGUGAUUAGCUACAACAACAAAAUAAUGUUAUACAUAUAAGCAGAUUCGUCUCGGUGAAAAAUCAAUUGGCUGCAAGAUAAGAGUGGAAAUUUUUGUACAAAUGAUGCACAAAGACAAUCAUCAAGUGGUAAAAGAAAAUCCCUGCUCUCUGAUUGGCCGAUUAGACCCUCACACGGAUCGUGCCCCCAAACUGAUCUCGACCGCCCGCACCCUGCAGAUCCAACGGCUGGCGCACCGCAUCACGCGGAUCGCUCCCCCCGCCAGCGGCGCUCCCUCCUCCGGAUAAAACCCGCGCCCACGCCAGCGUUCCAACACACAAGCUCAGAGCAUUCCGAUCCAGCGCCGCCGCCGCCAACACCACACCUCGAGAGCCCUCGUCGCCGGAGAAGUAGCAGCAAGCAAGAUGGCCGGAAGGAAGGGCGGCGACAGGAAGAAGGCGGUGACCCGCUCCGUGAAGGCCGGGCUCCAGUUCCCGGUCGGCCGCAUCGGGCGCUACCUCAAGAAGGGCCGCUACGCCCAGCGCGUCGGCUCCGGCGCCCCCGUCUACCUCGCCGCCGUCCUCGAGUACCUCGCCGCCGAGGUACGCACAGAUGUCCUCCCUCCUCGAGGCUGUUCUGCUCUGUUCUUGCACUGUUCGACGGAUGACUGACGGAUCUUUCCUGUCCCCGAGCAUCAGUUCUGCUCUGUUCUUCUUGUGUUCGACGGAAAACUUACAGAUUUCGUUUUUGAAUCUCAGGUCCUGGAGCUUGCCGGCAACGCGGCCAAGGACAACAAGAAGACCCGCAUCAUCCCGCGCCACCUGCUGCUCGCCGUCCGCAACGACCAGGAGCUCGGCAGGCUGCUUGCCGGCGUCACCAUCGCCCACGGCGGCGUCAUCCCCAACAUCAACUCCCGUGCUGCUGCCCAAGAAGUCCCCCGCCGCGGCCGAGAAGGAGGCCAAGUCGCCCAAGAAGAAGACCUCCACCAAGUCCCCCAAGAAGAAGGUCGCCGCCAAGGAGUAGAAUUCCCCAUAGCAUAGCCAUUGUUGCUUAGAUCCAUUUCUCAUGGACAAGAUGAGCAGUCUUUUGGUUAGUUAGAUGAGUAGUGGUUCUGCCCUUAGAUUCGCUGAGAAAGGGUGGCAUUAUGUCUGUGAUUUCUGUAGGAAUGGCUAAAUAUGCAAUCGCUCAGAUCUUAAUUCUCUUGUUCUAUCUGUGGGUGAAAUUGAUCCUGUUAAUCCUUGCUUCCUGUGCUGUUUUAUCCUAGUACUAAAUUCUCACUUAUAUCGGCUGAAAAAUCCCCCAAUUCUUUGCUCUCUGAAUUAUGGUGCUCAAUUGCAAACACUGAUUGUAAAUUCCUUAUGAAGAUCAACACAAUCAUAUUACUAUUGAGCUGCAGAGAAAAAAUUCGCACCUCAUGAUCAGCUUUCUGUCAGUCAGCACCACCAUCUUAGACUUGCUCAAGCAUGUACCAACGAACCACAAAAGCCAUGCCAAGACAUUCCUGCAGUUAAUUUCGCCUUGAUCUUUCCCUCUGUAGUUGAGUUCUUUACAUGUUGUAUUCACAGGCCAAACAAAUUCUUCCGGUUGGAGUUGAGCCGGCCGUAUGCAAACUGAAGUUUGGGGAGUCAGGACUCAGGUGUAUGUAACAAACCACAAACCAGAUUUAUGAUUUAUGAGCCACUAGCCAGAUAAGGUACUAAUUUAGAUUGACCUAAAGCAGAAACAAACAUUGAGGAAUUAAGAUAGCAACCAUGCUCAUGUAAGAAAACUGAUAUAGUGAUGUUUCACUUCGUUCCAUCAAUAAAAAAAUAUUUUUCUGAAAGUAAAAUUGGUAACCACCAUGGAAAUACAACAGGUACAAAUCUCAGUAAAAAAACUUUGAAUUGAACACAUUGAUUCUCCGCUAAAUCGCUUGCAACCAAAACUAGUACCGAGUCCAUGGAAGGUCUUGUGCUAAGGAUAUAGGUUUUGUGUACGCUUCUCUUGUUUUUCAUGCUGUUUUCGAGGGUUUAUAUCGUUUUUUCCAUUAUAUUUUUCUGUUUGUUACAUUUUUCUUUUGCUGAAUUCCAUUUUAUUGUUUCAUUUUUUAUUUUUCCUCUGUUGUCUCUAUUUAUUUUUCCUAUUCGUCUUCUUUCAAAGUUUUCCCUUUUUACUUUUUCGUCGACUUUCUCUUAUUUGUUUUUGUUUUGUCUCGGAUUUUUAGUACUUUUUAUAAAUAUAUUUUUUAAAAUACAUAUUUUUAAAAAUAAAAACAUGAACCGUUCUUAAAAUGGCACAUACAUGUUUUGUAAAAACUUUAUGAGAAAACUUUUCAAAUGACCCAUCACUUUUAAAACAUAAAUAUUUUUUCAACACAUCAACACUUUUAAUAACUACAUUAAUAACUUUUAAGAAUUACAAUUGUGAACACUUCUAGAAAUUAAGAACAUUUAUUUUAAACAUGCAAGCUCUUUUUUCGAAUUACAUUAGCACUUAAAACAACUGAACAUAAAUCACAAUAACACUUUUUAAGUCUAUUUGGAUAUUUUUUAAUGUGCAAAUUUAUUUCAACAUUAGAGUAUCACUUUUUAAAAAUAUGUGAACACUUUCUUGUAACUUCAUGAACAUGUUUCAGAAUGGAGCAAACAUUUUGUUAAAUGAUACUAUAUAAAAUACAUGAAACAUUUAUCAGGUUACUUUAAUUAUAGUAAAGAAAUGCAUGACCACUAAUUUAAAAACUUGAUCUUUUAAAAUCUACAUGAACAUUUUUUUUAAACAUACAAAUAUGUUUUGAAAGCCACGAGCAUUAUCAGAUACAUUUUAUAAAAUUACAUAAAAAGUUCAUCUGUGUGAAAAAUUGGUAGCACAAAUAUUUUUAUUUUUUUAACUUAUUUAUUUUACAUUGUACUUAUAAAAGCGACAAAAAACAUAAAACCAUUGGGGGUGAAGAGACUCACUCACGCCCGGCCACUCGCAUCUGGUACUCAGUUUUUUUCUCGAUGUAUGGACUCAGGUACUCCUUUCAUUCCAUUUUCUUGUCGUAGUUUUAGUUCAAAUUUAGUGCUUACCAGUUAACUAUACCUUCGUGUUGCAUACAUGGGCUAGUCCAAAAUAGAACAUACGUUAGCGGCGCACGUGUUGAACACUAUACCACCAUUGGCGCCUGCUUGUAAUUACGAUGCUCAGUUGAACGGUGGCCCAGUAGGGAUUGCUCCUCGCUCUGCCCAAUGUAACAGCGCCAUUCGCAAAGGCUAUAUCUCUUUUACUGUUUCUCUCAAAAAUAUAUUUCUUUUUUUUUGCAAUGAAAAGGGAGUUUUAUUCCGUAUUUAUUGGGUUACAAUCAAAGAGGCAAUAAUUCCCCAAUACAUGGAGGUGUAUGACCUAGUCACACCUCGGUGGCAUGUUCCGAACGACUAUAUUGAUCUCGUCUAAGUUUCUGAGGAUGUAGCAUGUACUCACCUCUGGCGCUUGGGGUGCUCACAUCUUAGUGGGCCAGUCCAUUGAACCCAUUUUGGGGCGGUUCUCACGAUUGGGUUUUAGAACCUUCCUUGCAGUUUUUUAUUUUUGUUUUUCUGUGUAUCAAAUACAGUACAUGAAAACAUUUUUCAAAUACAUGUUAUGAAAGCAAGUUAAAUAUUUUUCAAACACAUGGUGACUAUUUUUUGAAUGGAUGAAACAUUUCUUUAAAAAUAGAUGAAGAAUUUUCGUACAAUAUAUAAUUUUUUUUCUGAAAUAUAGGUUUGAAUGUUCUUAUGCCUACAUUAAAACUUUUUGCAAAUUCAUGGGAAUUUUUCCAAUGAUAGGAAACAAAAAAUUUAAACUACGUGAUCAUUUUUAUGCAUUGUACAACCAUUUCUUAAAAUUUUCAUAAACUUAUUUCUGAAAUGUGUGAACAGCUUUUUAAAUUUCACAAUUUCUUUUGAAUGAAACGAUUUUUUAAAAGAUACACAUAUAUUUUCUCCAUUGUUCAAACGUUUUUAAAAAAUGGUAAGUACAUUUUUUUGAAACACACAAACAUUUUGAAAUUGUCACCACCAUCUUGUUGAAUAGUAUGACAUUUUAAAACAAUUAUGCAAACAAAUGUUUUAUAUUGUGUUAGCAUUUUCUAAAUGCUAGAGCAGUAUUUAAAAAUUUUCAAGUUAGUUAAUUGUUGAAUAUAUAUAGCAUCUAUUGUUGUGUUUUCAAAAUCAUAAAAAGGUAAAAAAACAAUGAAACAAAUGAAACUAACGAACCUAACACUUUUGGGUCGGCCCACCAUACGUCGUGCUUAAGGCAAGGUGUUGUUGGUCUUGUAGAAGCGAGAGAAAGCAUCACACUGCCCAAUAUAGAGCAUCUUCAACUGCUAACAAGGAUUAUAUAGCGCUUAUUGCGAGAAGUUCCGAAUAAGUAGGGUCAAUAGUUCAGCAUUUAGGUCGUAACAUUUAGCAAUAAAGGAAUCUUAGACUCAACAAGUGCUUUCCGAACCUCACCAACCAACCUGGAUUUUGAUUCUUUUUUGUUAUUCUAACCGGAUAUAAAAACCAUAAAGAUUGUUUCCAGCCGAGUACCCAUAUGACAUAAGCGCUCUUGGGUGGGGUGGGCCCUCAUUCUCCAGGUCUUUGAGUGCACGUCGUACCACGUGGUUGGUACACUAGGCGAAUAGAUACUUACUUUAAGGAUUUGGCACCUUUGCUAGAUGGAGAUUAAGUGACUUCUAUUAGCACCGGACCAUCGAGUCGAAUUUCUCGUGUCAUGUGCCUAGCCUCACCACUAGCGAAGUAGCCGACUCAUUAAACCACUUUUUGGGAUGGGAAUGCAUAGAAAGAAAAGAAAGAAACAAACCAAAUGAAUAAACGAACGAACUUACAACCGGGUCAGCCCACUAGGGAUCGAGAUAUAGCCUGUGUCCCUGACAGGACCUCCUAUUUGACCGGAGUCAACACACAGAUGGCAAUGGGGCCCCGAAACCCGCGUCCCCGUGGGUUUUACCCUAUUGGGGGACGGGGAUAGGCAUCUUUUCAUCCCCGCGGGGCUGUUGUUGGGCACAUUAUACAACCCGACACGUUUCGUGGGUUUACACACGUUUCGGUAGUCCCCGAACCCGAAACCCGGCAAUACCCGCGAAAUUACAUUAUUUUUUACCACCGUAGCCAUCUUACCCCCGAAAUCUUAGAGGCCUUGAUGUGUUCAAUAUUGGAUAAGAAACAAAUAUAAAGGUGUGUCUUUCUUUACAUAUCAUCAUAAAGUUUAUCAUUAUCUUGCUACAAUGUUUCAUAAGAUGUUCAUUACUACUUAUUUGAUUCUCAUAGAUGCUGAAAAUGAAUAAGGACAAAGCUUUUGGAGUUGUUUUCAAGACAUUCAAGAGGGAAUGCAGGUGAAGUACAGGUACUUGCAAAUUUCAUAUACUAAUCUACAUAUUGUUCUCAUGUUUAACUUUAGCUUGAGUGAAUUUUGAUCUUCCCUAGGACUUGGCAUUUUGAUUUGGCAUUGGAAGAUUUGAAGAUGGUCGUUUGGAGGCUUGGAGAUGUGAAAGAUGCCAUGAUGAUUCCAACUUUAAAGUGAUUUGUGAACUAUAAGUUCUAUUUCCGAACUUAUAUAGCCGUUGAACUAUCUACUAUUGUUUUUUGUUGAAAUUUACUCAAGUUAUGCUGCUGAAAUGUGCUUGUUUUGCUGCUGAAGUGUUAUUCCUUGUCGCCACUAUGUUUGUUUAAAUAUUUUGAUUUUAUCGUGGGUUCCCCGAAAUCCGAUGGGUUUAGGGGACGGGCUGAAAACUAGCCUCGCACACAAUGAUGGGGACGGGGAUGGGUUUACGAUUUUCUCAUGGGGAUGGGUUUGGGAAGGCAAAACCCGAUGGGUUUCGUCCCUGUUGCCAUCCAUGCGUGUGUUGAUGGGCCGACUCAUUAGCAUUAUGCGGUAGCAAGCCGAAAGCAAUAGAGUUUUCUUGAUGAUGUAUGGUAGCGAACCGAUGAACUGUAGAAAACGAGUGUAUUAUAUGUAGCGAGCCAAUUUAUCUUAGCAGUAGAUGCACUAUAUCGACCGGGAUAAUGUAGCAAGCAUUUUUAAAAUAUUGAGAAAAUGUUAUUGAAAUUGUGAACAAUCUUUGAAAACACAGACAAUUUUUAAAACGCUGAAUAAUUUUUGAAAGAUUGGAUAGUUUUCAUUUUUUUAAUGAUUUUUAGCAAUUCCAUUCAUUUUUGAAAAAACAAACAAUUUUUAAUUACAAAACUUUUAAAAGAAUAUGAACAUUUUUCUCAAAAUUUGAACAUUUUUUAAGUUCCAAUUUUUUUAACGAUAUGAUUUUUAAAAGAAAUUCUAAACAUUGUAUUUAAUAACAAGGAUGGAUUGUCAUCUAGCUACUGCCAUGUACCCAUAGUCCAAAGAAAACUACUCAUGUGAAAUUAUGGUAGUAGCAAGGUUUAUGUUGAUGGCUGCCGUGAUGAAUUCCCUCAUGGAGAGUAUGGGAAAAUGCAUAUAGAUUGGAUCAUGACGGGACAUAGAGGUGUGGCUGUGAAUUGUUUGCCUCUAUAUAAAAUCGGUGUUUUCGUGCAAUUAUAAAGGUGGAGGUGCCGAGAGGUGGUGGAGCGGAGUCCCAUGGGGCCCAUGUGGACACCCCUCGCAUCGUGGGGCCCAUAUGACUCUCCAAGCAGGGCUAGGUGCCUCUGGAAGCUUCUGGACUUGAAUCAUUUUUGGGAAUUGCCCCCCUUUUUGAGCUUGUGAAAAUUGAUUUUACUUAAAAGCCACAAAACUACACAAAACAACAUUUUGUCCUUGGACCGAAUUAAUAGGUUAGUUCGAAAAAAAUUGGUGCUAAAACUAUGGAAAAUAACGUAAUUAUAUUAUGAAACAAGCGAAAAUUGUGCACACAUCUAAGACAUAUGAAAAGCACUCGAGUGUAAAUACCAAGAAUUCGCGACAAAAUCAAGGAACCUCGGGAUGGCUGUGAGUACAUAUGGACUGAAUUCGUUUGUGAACUAGCACAUAACAUAACACAUGGCGUGUGUUUGUAUGGUUAUACAACCCCAUGGCUCUACAUAAAGCGGAAGUAUAUACACACAUGGUUAUGCUAAUUCAAGGGCCGACACAACCAAGGAACAAUAUUAACUUGUAUCUCCAGCUAUUGAAGGAUGAUGUACACAUCAUGGGCUGCUGGAGGGGUCAAUACCUGGGAUGCCAAUGAAGGGGAUCAUUUCCCUACAAGAGUUGUGCUGAUCACAAUGGUGCAACGCUAUCUUGGUUAUGUAUAUGUCUCCUGCAGGUAUGCCAUGGGCACUGCAAAUGUGUUACGUGUAUGGAUGAUACAACUUUUGACGAGACAUCAAAAGCCAGCUCUUGCAAAAUUGUGUUUAUGGGGCGUUGAAAGUGGCUUCAGAAGGAUGUAGUGGAUAACUCGCAAAGAUCUGUUCGACAGUAAAACUCAAGACCGAUUAAAGUCACGUACAAGAAGCGAAGAAAAAAAGCCGCCAUAUGUUGAACGACAGAACUAGUGCCCUAAGUCAGGAUAGAAGCAAAAGGCCCCAUAGAAGUCAUUGUUAACAAUAUGAAAAAGGGAGUCUGCUUUUUGGGGCUUGUCGUAUUGGAUAGUUCCCGAUACACCUCGUUGUCUUGAUGUCAUGCAGCUCACAAAGAAUGUCUAUGAGAGUUUGCUUGGCACAUAGUUUGACAUGUCGAAAAAAGAAAAAGUUAGGUUGAAGGCAAGAUAAGACUUGGAAGACCUUGGUAUUAGGGCUGAGUUGCACGCACAUCAUGAGUAGAGGAAACAACCACGUGCAAUUUUUUUCUUCCAAAAUUCAAGGAUGACAACUCCCUCUGUUGGGGAACGUAUCAGAAUUUUAAAAUUUUCUACGCAUCACCAAGAUCAAUCUAUGUAGUCAUCUAGCAACAAGGGAGAGAGGAGUGCAUCUACAUACCCUUAUAGAUCGCGUGCGGAAGUGUUCAAAAGAACGGGGUUGAUGGAGUCGUACUCGACGUGAUCCAAAUCACCGAUGACCUAGCGCCGAACGGACGGCACCUCCGCGUUCAACACACGUACGGUUGGGAAGACGUCUCGUCCAACUUGAUCCAGCAAGGGGGAAGGAGAGGUUGAUGAAGAUCCAGCAGCACGACGGUGUGGUGGUGGAAGCAACGGUGAUCUCGGCAGGGCUUCGUCAAGCACAGGGAGAGGGAGGAGUGUCACGGGAGGGAGAGGGAGAGGCCAGGGGCUAGGGUGCGGCUGCCCUCCCUCCCCCCCACUAUUUAUAGGACCCCUAGGGGGGCGCCGGCCCUAGGAGAUGCCAUCUCCAAGGGGGGGUGGCGGUCAAGGGGGUGGCUUGCCCCCCAAGGCAAGUGGGGUGCCCCCCACCCCUAGGGUUUCCAACCCUAGGCGCAGGGGGAGGCCCAUGGGGGGCGCACCAGCCCACUAGGGGAUGGUUCCCCUCCCACUUCAGCCCAUGGGGCCCUCCGGGAUAGGUGGCCCCACCCGGUGGACCCCCGGGACCCUUCCGGUGGUCCCGGUACAAUACCAAUUACCCCUGAAACUUUCCCGAUGGCCGAAACUUGACUUCCUAUAUAUAAAUUUUCACCUCCGGACCAUUCCGGAACUCCUCGUGACGUCUGGGAUCUCAUCCGGGACUCCGAACAACUUUCGGGUUACCGUAUACUAAUAUCUCAACAACCCUAGCAUCACCAAACCUUAAGUGUGUAGACCCUACGGGUUCGGGAGACACGCAUACAUGACCGAGACGACUCUCCGGUCAAUAACCAACAACGGAAUCUGGAUACCCAUGUUGGCUCCCACAUGCUUCUCGAUGAUCUCAUCGGAUGAACCACGAUGUCGAGGAUUCAAUCAAUCCGUAUACAAUUCCCUUUGUCAAUCGGUACGUUACUUGCCCGAGACUCGAUCGUCGGUAUCCCAAUACCUCGUUCAAUCUCGUUACCGGCAAGUCACUUUACUCGUACCGUAAUGCAUGAUCCCGUGAUCAACCACUUGGUCACAUUGAGCUCAUUAUGAUGAUGCAUUAUUGAGUGGGCCCAGAGAUACCUCUCCGUCAUACGGAGUGACAAAUCCCAGUCUCGAUUCGUGCCAACUCAACAGACACUUUCGGAGAUACCUGUAGUGUACCUUUAUAGUCACCCAGUUACGUUGUGACGUUUGGCACACCGAAAGCACUCCUCUGGUAUCCGGGAGUUGCACGGUCUCAUGGUCUAAGGAAAUGAUACUUGACAUUCGGAAAAGCUACAGCAAACGAACUACACGAUCUUUGAGCUAUGCUUAGGAUUGGGUCUUGUCCAUCACAUCAUUCUCCUAAUGAUGUGAUCCCGUUAUCAAUGACAUCCAAUGUCCAUAGUCAGGAAACCAUGACUAUCUUUUGAUCAACGAGCUAGUCAACUAGAGGCUCACUAGGGACGUGUUGUGGUCUAUGUAUUCACACAUGUAUUACAAUUUCCGGAUAACACAAUUAUAGCAUGAAUAAUAGACAAUUAUCAUGAACAAAGAAAUAUAAUAAUAACCAUUUUAUUAUUGCCUCUAGGGCAUAUUUCCAACAGUCUCCCACUUGCACUAGAGUCAUUAGUCUAGUUACAUUGUGAUGAAUCGAACACCCAUGCAGUUCUGGUGUUGAUCAUGUUUUGCUCUAGGGAGAGGUUUAGUCAACGGAUCUGCCACAUUCAGGUCCGUAUGUACUUUACAAAUCUCUAUGUCUCCAUUUUGAACACUUUCACGAAUGGAGUUGAAGCGACGCUUGAUAUGCCUGGUAUUCCUGUGAAACCUGGGCUCCUUGGCAAGGGCAAUAGCUCCAGUGUUGUCACAGAAGAGAGUCAUCGGGCCUGACGCAUUGGGUAUGACUCCUAGGUCGGUAAUGAACUCCUUCACCCAGAUUGCCUCUUGUGCUGCCUCCGAGGCUGCCAUGUACUCCGCUUCACAUGUAGAUCCCGCCACAAUGCUUUGCUUGCAACUGCACCAGCUUACUGCCCCACCAUUCAAAAUAUACACUUAUCCGGUUUGUGACUUAGAGUCAUCCAGAUCUGUGUCGAAGCUAGCAUCGACGUAACCCUUUACGACGAGCUCUUCGUCACCUCCAUAAAUGAGAAACAUAUCCUUAGUCCUUUUCAGGUACUUCAGGAUAUUCUUGACCGCUGUCAAGUGUUCCAUGCCGGGAUUACUUUGGUACCUUCCUACCAAACUUACGGCAAGGUUUACAUCAGGUCUGGUACACAGCAUAGCAUACAUGAUAGACCCUAUGACCGAGGCAUAGGGGACGACACUCAUCUUUUCUCUAUCUUCUGCCGUGGUCGGGCAUUGAGCCGUGCUCAAUCUCGUACCUUGCAAUACACGCAAGAAUCCCUUCUUUGACUGAUCCAUUUUGAACUUCUUCAAUAUCUUGUCAAGGUACGUACUCUGUGAAAGACCAAUGAGGCGUCUCGAUCUAUCUCUAUAGAUCUUGAUGCCUAAUAUAUAAGCAGCUUCUCCAAGAUCCUUCAUUGAAAAACACUUGUUCAAGUAGGCCUUUAUGCUUUCCAAGAAUUCUAUAUCAUUUCCCAUCAACAGUAUGUCAUCCACAUACAAUAUGAGAAAUGCUACAGAGCUCCCACUCACUUUCUUGUAAAUGCAGCCUUCUCCAUAAGUCUGCGUAAACCCAAACGCUUUGAUCAUCUCAUCAAAACGAAUGUUCCAACUCCGAGAUGCUUGCACCAGCCCAUAAAUCGAGCGUUGGAGCUUGCACACCUUGUCAGCAUUCUUAGGAUUGACAAAACCUUCCGGCUGCAUCAUAUACAAUUCUUCCUUAAGGAAACCAUUAAGGAAUGUCGUUUUGACGUCCAUUUGUCAUAUCUCAUAAUUAUAGAAUACGGCAAUUGCUAACAUGAUUCGGACGGACUUCAGCUUCGCUACGGGUGAGAAAGUCUCAUCGUAGUCAACCCCUUGAACUUGUCGAUAACCCUUAGCGACAAGCCGAGCUUUAUAGAUGGUUACGUUACCAUCCGCGUCUGUCUUCUUCUUAAAGAUCCAUUUAUUUUCUAUGGCUCGCCGAUCAUCGGGCAAGUCAGUCAAAGUCCAUACUUCGUUUUCAUACAUGGAUCCUAUCUCGGAUUUCAUGGCUUCCAGCCAUUUGACGGAAUCCGAGCCCGCCAUCGCUUCUUCAUAGUUCGAAGGUUCACCGUUGUCUAACAACAUGAUUUCCAAGACAUGGUUGCCAUACCACUCUCGUGCGGAACGUGUCCUCAUGGACCUACAAAGUUCAGUAGCAACUUGAUCUGAAGUUUCAUGAUCAUCAUCAUCAACUUCCUCUCUAGUUGGUGCAGGCACCUCAGGGAUAUUUUCUUGAGCUGCGCCACUUACCGGUUCAAGAGGUAAUACUUCAUCAAGUUCUACUUUCCUCCCACUUAUUUCUUUUGAGAGAAACUCUUUCUCUAGAAAGGACCCAUUCUUGGCAACAAAGAUCUUGUCUUCGGAUCUGAGGUACAAGCUAUACCCAAUAGUUUCUUUAGGGUAUCCUAUAAAGACGCAUUUUUCCGAUUUGGGUUCGAGCUUUUCAGGUUGAAGUUUCUUGACAUAAGCAUCGCAUCCCCAAACUUUUAGAAACAACAGCUUAGGUUUCUUCCCAAACCAUAAUUCAUACGGUGUCGUCUCAACGGAUUUCGACGGAGCCCUAUUUAAAGUGAAUGCGGCAGUCUCUAAAGCAUAGCCCCAAAAUGACAGCAGUAGAUCGGUAAGAGACAUCAUAGAUUGCACCAUAUCCAAUAGAGUGCGAUUACGACGUUCGGACACACCAUUACACUGAGGUGUUCCAGGCAGCGUGAGUUGUGAAACUAUUCCACAUUUUCUUAAGUGUGUGCCAAAUUCGUGACUCAAGUAUUCUCCCCCACGAUCUGAUCGCAAGAACUUGAUUUUCCUGUCACGUUGAUUCUCAACCUCGCUCUGAAAUUCCUUGAACUUUUUAAAGGUCUCAGACUUGUGUUUCAUUAAGUAGACAUACCCAUAUCUACUCAAGUCAUCAGUGAGGGUGAGAACAUAAUGAUAGCCACCGCGAACCUCAACACUCAUUGGACCGCACACAUCAGUAUGUAUGAUUUCUAAUAAGUUGGUUGCUUGCUCCAUUGUUCCUGAGAACGGAGUCUUGGUCAUUUUACCCAUGAGGCAUGGUUCGCACGUGUCAAAUGAUUCAUAAUCAAGAGACUCCAAAAGUCCAUCUGCAUGGAGCUUCUUCAUGCGUUUGACACCUAUGUGACCAAGACGGCAGUGCCACAAGUAUGUGGGACUAUCAUUAUCAACCUUACAUCUUUUGGCAUUCACACUAUAAAUAUGUGUAACAUUACGCUCGAGAUUCAUUAAGAAUAAACCAUUCAUCAACGGAGCAUGACCAUAAAACAUAUCUCUCAUAUAAAUAGAACACUCAUUAUUCUCGGAUUUAAAUGAGUAGCCAUCUCGAAUUAAACGAGAUCCUGAUACAAUGUUCAUGCUCAAACUUGGCACUAAAUAACAAUUAUUGAGGUUCAAAACUAAUCCCGUAGGUAAAUGUAGAGGUAGCGUGCCGACGGCGAUCACAUCGACCUUGGAACCAUUCCCGGCGCGCAUCGUCACCUUGUCCUUCGCCAGUCUCCGCUUAUCCCGCAGCUCCUGCUUUGAGUUACAAAUGUGAGCAACCGCACCGGUAUCAAAUACCCAAGAGCUACUACGAGUACUGGUAAGGUAUACAUCAAUUACAUGUAUAUCACAUAUAUCUUUAGUGUUGCCGGCCUUCUUGUCCGCUAAGUAUUUGGGGCAGUUCCGCUUCAAGUGACCACUUCCCUUGCAAUAAAAACACUCAGUCUCAGGCUUGGGUCCAUUCUUUGACUUCUUCCUGGCAGCUGCUUACCGGGCGUGGCAACUCCCUUGCCGUCCUUCUUGAAGUUCUUCUUACCCUUACCUUUCUUGAACUUAGUGGUUUUAUUCACCAUCAACACUUGAUGUUCCUUUUUGAUUUCCACCUCUGCUGAUUUCAGCAUUGAAUAUACCUCAGGAAUGGUCUUUUCCAUCCCCUGCAUAUUGAAGUUCAUCACGAAGCUCUUGUAGCUUGGUGGAAGCGACUAAAGGAUUCUGUCAAUGACCGCGUCAUCCGGGAGAUUAACUCCUAGCCGAGUCAAGCGGUUAUGCAACCCAGACAUUUUGAGUAUGUGCUCACUGAUAGAACUAUUUUCCUCCAUCUUACAACUGAAGAACUUGUCGGAGACUUCAUAUCUCUCGACCCGGGCAUGAGCUUGGAAAACCAUUUUCAGCUCUUCGAACAUCUCAUAUGCUCCGUGUCUCUCAAAACGCUUUUGGAGCCCCGGUUCUAAGCUCUAAAGCAUGCCGCACUAAACGAGGGAGUAAUCAUCAGCAUAUGACUGCCAAGCGUUCAUAACGUCUUGGUUCUCUGGGAUGGGUGCGUCACCUAGCGGUGCUUCUAGGACAUAAUCUUUCUUGGCAGCUAUGAGGAUGAUCCUCAGGUUCCGGACCCAGUCCGUAUAGUUGUUGCCAUCAUCUUUCAGCUUGGUUUUCUCUAAGAACGCGUUGAAGUUGAGGACAACGUGGGUCAUUUGAUCUACAAGACAUAUUAUAAAGAUUUUAGACUAAGUUCAUGAUAAUUAAGUUCAUCUAAUCAAAUUACUCAAUGAACUCCCACUCAGAUAGACAUCCCUCCAGUCAUUUAAGUGAAACAUGAUCCGAGUUAACUAGGCCGUGUCCGAUCAUCAUGUGAGACGGACUAGUCAACAUCGAUGAACAUCUUCAUGUUGAUCGUACCUUCUAUACGACUCAUGCUCGACCUUUCGGUCUUCUGUGUUCCGAGGCCAUGUCUGUACAUGCUAGGCUCGUCAAGUCAACCUAAGUGUAUUGCGUGUGUAAAUCUGGCUUACACCCGUUGUAUUCGAACGUUAGAAUCUAUCACACCCGGUCAUCACGUGGUGCUUCGAAACAGUGAACCUUCGCAACGGUGCACAGUUAGGGGGAACACUUUCUUGAAAUUAUUAUGAGGGAUCAUCUUAUUUAAGCUACCGUCGUUCUAAGCAAAUAAGAUGUAAAAUAUGAUAAACAUCACAUGCAAUCAAAUAGUGACAUGAUAUGGCCAAUAUCAUUUGCUCCUUUUGAUCUCCAUCUUCGGGGCUCCAUGAUCAUCGUUGUCACCGGCAUGACACCAUGAUCUCCAUCAUAGUGUCUUCUUGAAGUUGUCUCGUCAUCUAUUACUUCUACUACUAUGGCUAACGCUUUAGCAAUAAAGUAAAGUAAUUACAUGAUGUUUAUGUUGACACGCAGGUCAUAAAUAAAUAAAGACAACUCCUAUGGCUCCUGCUGGUUGUCAUACUCAUCGACAUGCAAGUCGUGAUUCCUAUUACAAGAACAUGAUCAAUCUCAUACAUCACAUAUAUCAUUCAUCACAUCCUUUUGGCCAUAUCACAUCACAUGGCACAUGCUGCAAAAACAAGUUAGACAUCCUCUAAUUGUUGUUGCAAGUUUUUACGUGGCUGCUAUAGGUUUCUAGCAAAAACGUUUCUUACCUACGCCAAAACCACAACGUGAUAUGCCAAUUUCUAUUUACCCUUCAUAAGGACCCUUUUCAUCGAAUCUGAUCCGACUAAAGUGGGAGAGACAGACACCCGCCAGCCAUCUUAUGCAACUAGUGCAUGUCAAUCGGUGGAACCAGUCUCACGUAAGCGUACGUGUAAGGUCGGUCUGGGCCGCUUCAUCCCACGAUGCCCCCGAAUCAAGAUAAGACUAGUAACGGCAAGCAAAUUGACAAUAUCCACGCCCACAACUGCUUUGUGUUCUACUCGUGCAUAGAAACUACGCAUAGACCUAGCUCAUGAUGCCACUGUUGGGGAAUGUAGCAGAAUUUUAAAAUUUUCUACGCAUCACCAAGAUCAAUCUAUGGAGUCAUCUAACAACGAGGGAGAAAGGAGUGCAUCUACAUACCCUUGUAGAUCGCGUGCGGAAGCGUUCAAGAGAACGGGGUUGAUGGAGAAGUACUCGAUGUGAUCCAAAUCACCGAUGACCUAGCGCCGAACGGACGGCACCUCCGCGUUCAACACACGUACGGUUGGGAAGACGUCUCGUCCAACUUGAUCCAGCAAGGGGGAAGGAGAGGUUGAUGAAGAUCCAGCAGCACGAUGGUGUGGUGGUGGAAGCAACGGUGAUCUCGGCAGGGCUUCGCCAAGCACAGGGAGAGGGAGGAGUGUCACGGGAGGGAGAGGGAGAGGCCAGGGGCUAGGGUGCGGCUGCCCUCCCUCCCCCCCACUAUUUAUAGGACCCCUAGGGGGGUGCCGGCCCUAGGAGAUGCCAUCUCCAAGGGAGGGCGGCGGCCAAGGGGGUGGCUUGCCCCCCAAGGCAAGUGGGGCGCCCCCCACCCCUAGGGUUUCCAACCCUAGGCGCAGGGGGAGGCCCAUGGGGGGGGCGCACCAGCCCACUAGGGGCUGGUUCCCCUCCCACUUCAGCCCAUGGGGCCCUCCGGGAUAGGUGGCCCCACCCGGUGGACCCCCGGGACCCUUCCGGUGGUCCCGGUAUAAUACCGAUUACCCCCGAAACUUUCCCGAUGGCCUAAACUUGACUUCCUAUAUAUAAAUCUUCACCUCCGGACCAUUCCGGAACUCCUCGUGACGUCCGGGAUCUCAUCCGGGACUCCAAACAACUUUCGGGUUACUGUAUACUAAUAUCUCAACAACCCUAGCGUCACCGAACCUUAAGUGUGUAGACCCUACGGGUUCGGGAGACACGCAGACAUGACCGAGAAGACUCUCUGGUCAAUAACCAACAGCGGGAUCUGGAUACCCAUGUUGGCUCGCACAUGCUCCUCGAUGAUCUCAUCGGAUGAACCACGAUGUCGAGGAUUCAAUCAAUCCGUAUACAAUUCCCUUUGUCAAUCGGUACGUUACUUGCCCGAGACUCGAUCGUCGGUAUCCCAAUACCUCGUUCAAUCUCGUUACCGGCAAGUCACUUUACUCAUACCGUAAUGCAUGAUCCCGUGAUCAACCACUUGGUCACAUUGAGCUCAUUAUGAUGAUGCAUUAUCGAGUGGGCCCAGAGAUACCUCUCUGUCAUACGGAGUGACAAAUCCCAGUCUCGAUUCGUGCCAACCGAACAGACACUUUCGGAGAUACAUGUAGUGUACCUUUAUAGUCACCCAGUUACGUUGUGAUGUUUGGCACACCCAAAGCACUCAUCCGGUAUCCGGGAGUUGCACAAUCUCAUGGUCUAAGGAAAUGAUACUUGACAUUCGGAAAAGCUACAUCAAACGAACUACACGAUCUUUGAGCUAUGCUUAGGAUUGGGUCUUGUCCAUCACAUCAUUCUCCUAAUGAUGUGAUCCCGUUAUCAAUGACAUCCAAUGUCCAUAGUCAGAAAACCAUGACUAUCUUUUGAUCAGCGAGCUAGUCAACUAAAGGCUCACUAGGGACGUGUUGUGGUCUAUGUAUUCACACAUGUAUUACGAUUUCCGGAUAACACAAUUAUAGCAUGAAUAAUGGACAAUGAUCAUGAAAAAAGAAAUAUAAUAAUAACCAUUUUAUUAUUGCCUCUAGGGCAUAUUUCCAACACCCUCCCCCUCCCCCACACACAUUCGCUUUACUCUAGAUGAGAAGGAGCCCAAUCAAGUCUUCAACUGUCUUCAAGGUAUCAAAGUUGGUUCCACUUACUUAGGGAGUAUAUGCAUAUAUGUGCGGUUAAUGGACAAAUGUUCAACGGGACGAAGUCUCAUGAUUGUUGUGAUCAUGUCACAAAUACUUCCGUUUGCUAUUAGAGGCAUAACAGAUAAGCGCGUCCGCAAAACACUCCUUGUCCUUUGUAAUUUCUUCGAUAUUAUCUCUCAAAAGUCGAUCAACUUAGAAGUGCAAGGCUACAGGAGGAAAACAUUAUUAUAUUAUGUGAGCUUGAGAACUACUUCCCCCCGCACUCUUUGAUGUUAUGGUUAUAAUCCCCAAGUGCAAAAACUAUUGCAACACUUCCCAAAGUGGAGGUGGUACAUAUGAAGUGUCAAUAUCACAGAUGAGCUAAAGGUAGGAAUCAUAUUCUCUCAAGUUCUAUAUGACACUGACAUAAUCCUGCAUAUAUUAAAUGUUGUUUUACGUGGAAUUUCUACUAAAAGAUACCUCCUUUGUUCCUAAAUAUAAUUCUUUUUAGAGAUUUCAAUGUGGACUACAUACAGAGCAAAAUGAGUGAAUCUACACUCUUAAAUAUGUCUAUAUACAUCCAUAUGUAUUCUUUGUUAAAAUAUAUAUAAAAAGACAUAUAUUUAGAAACAAAGGGAGUAGUUUGCAAGUUUUUGAGAGGGCGAAUGUGGGGUAGUGGUGGAAGGUGUUGCAAAAUUGUUGCUCACCAAUUGUCUAUGAUACCGGAUCGAUAAUCAUACAUUUUCCAGUCUCAUACGCAGGAGAGGCAUAUGCUAACAUGCAGUGACAUCCAUUGACAUCAUAUUCUUAUUGAUAAACCUUACAAAGCAUUGUACGAAGAAUUCAUUAAGUUAAAGCCCAACCAUAAGAUCUAUGGGUCCCGUGUAUCCCAUAUGCAUGAACUCUUAUACUCAUGUGAAAGUGAUAGCAUUGCUUUGUCAAUGACAAAAAUAUAUUAAUUGUAGAAUUCGGAGGUAACAUUUGUCGCUCGACUUGUUUUUUUUUUUUGGUGUAAGUCAAAAUGUUUAAGCCUUUACCCUAAAAUUUGUAGAUAGCAUUUUGGUGUGACAAUGAACACAACUUUUUUUUUUACAUUUGCAAAAUACAUUUUGUGUGCGCAUGAGCGUAUGCUGACUAGAGCCAAAUUGGAUUUCUGUGAAAAAAACAUGCAUAUAUAUGGCGCAGAAAGUGAAUCAAGUGCUAAAACAAAAUCUCUGCGCUCUGAUUGGUCGGUAGGACCGUCCCACGGAUCGCGCCCACCCUACUAAUCUCCACCGUCCACUACGCCAAGAUCCAACGGUGGGCGCAGCAUGUCACGCGGAUCGCUCCCUCCUCUGCUUCCCAAUAAAACCCGCGGCCACGCCGCCGUUCCAACACACAAACUCAGAGCAUUCCCAUCCAGCGCAACCGCCGCCAACACCACUCCUCGAGAGUCCUCGCCGCCGGAGAAGCAGCAAGCAAGAUGGCCGGAAGGAAGGGCGGCGACAGGAAGAAGGCGGUGACCAGGUCCGUCAAGGCCGGGCUCCAGUUCCCGGUCGGCCGCAUCGGGCGCUACCUCAAGAAGGGCCGCUACGCGCAGCGCGUCGGCUCCGGCGCCCCCGUCUACCUCGCCGCCGUCCUCGAGUACCUCGCCGCCGAGGUAUGCGCCGAUCUAUCCUCUCCUAGAGCCUCUGAUCUUCCCUCCUCUUGUCCCGAUUGACUGAUUUCGUUGGCUUUUGAAUGCGCAGGUCCUGGAGCUCGCCGGCAACGCGGCCAAGGACAACAAGAAGACCCGCAUCAUCCCGCGCCACCUGCUGCUCGCUGUCCGCAACGAUCAGGAGCUCGGCAAGCUGCUCGCCGGCGUCACCAUCGCCCACGGCGGUGUGAUCCCCAACAUCAACUCCGUGCUGCUCCCCAAGAAGUCCCCUGCCGCCGCCGAGAAGGAGGCCAAGUCGCCCAAGAAGAAGACGGCCGCCAAGUCCCCCAAGAAGAAGACGGCCGCCACGAAGGAGUAGCCGUCGUCCCCAUAGCCUAGCCAUUGUUGCUUAGAUCCAUUUCUCAUGGACUAAGAUGGGAUCCUGUAUGUAGUGCCUGCUAGUCUGUAGUGCCCGUCAGAUUCGUCGAGCAAGGGUGACAUUGUACCUGUGAUUUCUGUGAGAAUGGCGAAAGAUCCAAUCAUUUCAGUGUGUUGUUCUAUCUAUGGCUGCAAUGAUUUCAAUCCCUUGUUCUACAUAUGGCUGCAAUUGAUCUUGCGAAUGCUUGCUUCUUGCCUAUGCGUCUGAUGAUCUGAAAUUUUCCUAGGAUUCAGUUCACUUCAAGCUUAUUCCUAUCAAGCUGCAGGAAACUGAAUCUAUGAAGAACUGCACCUAGGAUUCUCAAUCAUACUCCACCUCUCCCUUCGUGGCAGCUUAUAAAUUGAGCUUCAGAAUUCCUGCAGUAAAACAUUUCAGUUUAGAGCUUGACCAUGCCGAAACAUUUUGCAGAAAUGUAACCUUGAUCUUUCUCUCUGUAGUUGAGCUGGUGACAUGUUGCUUUGUUCAUGAGCCAAAAGAAUUCUUAAAGUUGGAGUUGAGCCGACUACAUGCGAACUGAAGUUUGGAUAGUUGUUUGAUGCAGGUAACAAACCACAGACCUGACAACAUCUUGGCUGCUACUAGAUGCAAACUAUAAUAACUAGCCAGAUGAGGUGCUGAUUUUGUAAUCAGAUAAAGCUGAAACAGAUACUAUUGAGGAAUUUAGAAUUAGUCAGGCCCUUGGAAUAGAAUUAACACUUGACGAUUCCCAAUCAUCCUCCACCUCUGUCUGCGGCGCAGCCUAUAGAUCGGUGCUGGCUCUAAAUUGGACAAGUAAUAAGCAAGAUUCUUCAGAAGUACUGCAGACAAACAUGGCAAAUUAGAGCUUGAUCAUGCCGAAACAUUUUGCAGACAAUUGAUCCUUGAUCUUUCCCUUUGUAGUUGAGCUGGUUACAUGUUACUUUGUUGGACAAAAUAAUAAUUCCAGUUGGAGUCGAGCCGGCUACAUGCGAACUGAAGUUUGGAUAGUUUGAUGUAGGUAAAAAAACACAUAACGUUUUGGCUGCUAUAGAUGCAAACUACAAUAACUCGCCAGAUGAGGAGCUGAUCUUGUAAUCAGCUAAAGCAGAAACAGAUAUUGACAAAUUUAGAUACUAGGAUCAGUCAGGCCCCUUAAAAUGGUCCAGUAGAAAAAUGUUCUUCACCGGAGUGCACAAGAUUUCCUGGGUAAAUAAGCAAGUUAAUGUUGCAUGGUGGGAACAAUAGUAAGAAAGAAUUUCAGUAAAACUGAUGAAUAGGGAAAAAAUAGGUUAAAUGCAGAGUGGGUAUUCCGUAUAUCCAUCUGUUAAUUUUUUUUUACCAAAAAUAGGCCCAGUGGUGGGUUAACUUUUCUCCAUUCUGCUUUCCCCGUUGAAAUUUUAAAUUUGUUGUGGAAAACAGGCAUAUGGUAAUUUUGAAGUUCGGCAGAUGAUUGUUUAGAUAUUUUCCGCUUUAGGAAAACAAGCUAGGAAAAGCAAUUUAGAUGUUUCAUUCUAGCUAAAAGUUUUUUAAAUGAGUUGAAGACUUUUCAAUAUUUCCGCAUAUACUGACAGUCCUUCUCGUUUGAUUCUGGUUUGAUUUGUGGUAUGAUUGUGAAUCUGGUUUGAUUUAUGGUAUGAUUGAAUGUGCUCAUACCACUGCUCGUCUUCUGUUUUGUUAAAUUUAUGACUUGUGUCCGACUUCUUCUAUUUUGUGGUAUGUGUGGACAAGUUUGCAGACGCACUUGUAUGAGUAUGAGUGCUCGUCAGUCCUUCUAAUAACUUGGUCAUGUGUGGUCUCUAGCGAUAUGAGCUACGCUGCGACCGAGGGCUGUUGUAUCACUAGUCAACCGAUGGUGUUACGGCCCAGGGGUACCUCACCUUGUCGGUUACCGGUCCAAGUAGGACGGCCCGAGGCCCCUAGGGCGGUACCGCUUGGGCCAUCUUGUCAGCCCAUUGGCCCUCUAGGAGAAAUUUUUUUGAAGCCUUUUCGUUCAAGAGAAAGAAGUCGGAUCCGUGGAGGACUCCUCUCCACCGACGUUGCCAACUAGGACUCUUAAAACCCUAGGGCCCCCGAUAUCUUAUAUAAGCUAGGUUUGGGCUAGUCAACUAAACAUCUUAGACAUUACAAUCCUUCGGUAUUACAUGUACUUUGUAUACCCCGGUCAAAAUAUACACAAAGUAGGAGUAGAGGUUUUACAUCAAUCAUGAGGGCCUGAACCUUGGUAACUCGCUUCUUCUUUCUCCUCUAGCCUAAUCGCCAUGCCAGGAUACCCUACUGGGGGAUAUACCGGAAUCAUCUCCGACACCAUAAAAGGACCACAUCAGCCGGAAAACAACACCACAUCAACACUGAUACCACAGUACCAUUAGAGGGACCAACUUACUGUUAAGUAGUACACAUCCCAUAAGAAGCAGGCUUACCAGAACCCAAAGAACAAGCUACCUAAGCGAUAAGGUAGGAGAUAAGGAUACUCUCAGGUAGCAUAGAGGUGGGUGGCUGCUCCGGAUCCAGGCAGAGGCAUGGUGGGGCGCAGCGUGGUCCAGUUCUGGGCCUGGCAAGCAGGCGCAUGCAUGCAAGACUGGGCGCACCGAGAAGGUGCACGUGGUCCAGAUCGCAUGGUGCACGACGAGCUCGGGCAGGCCGGAGUAGUAGGGUGUGACCCGAAGGUUUUUGUGGCUCGAGAUCCGCGUGGUGCUUGCUCCUAGUGGCGUGUUGCUCGUGAGUGUGCACUUUGCAGCACGAUGGAGGAGCUUGAUGCAAGAUGCUAAGCGAGUGGUUUGAUGCGCAUAUGGCUUGUUAGGGGGGUUGCCCGAGUCCUGGGGCUUGGAGGGUGAUGAAGGCGAAAGAUGUAUUCUCACGAUGGCGCCUUCGAGCCCCUUUUCCUUGUUGGAGGUGUCAAGGUGGAAGUCCUCACUCCCCCCUCCCCCCGACAAGCUACAGUGGAAAACCUAGAUUUGCUUUACUGGGCGACGACAGUGUUGUUAGCUUUGCUUGGUGUGGCGCGCAUGCCCUCUUGAUGGCAUCGUUUCAGAGAUGGCGGUCGGUGGGACCUGUGGCUGGUGGAGUUGGCCGGUGACGGCUACUGUGUUUUCGCCCGUGUGGCGUGCUUACUGAAUUGGGUGGUGGGUAGUAGGAGCAUCCUUCACAUGUGGCGUGCGUCGGGUGAGGCACAUCAGCCAACCUCAUGGGAUGAAAACUGCAUGUGUUCGAUUUAACAGACAUAUCAGUCCUCUCUAAUGUCGUUGUGAUUCGUGAAGAAUCUUGUGAUAAGCCCAGACUAAUGCAAUGGCUUUCAGCAUGCAGUCUGGUAGCGGCGAAGGCGCUGGAGCCAGUUUUCCUCAAAUAUAAACCGAGCGGCCCUUUCUUCAUUCUUCUUUCUCUAGCACAUGCUUAUGCGGUGCAUUGCUUUAUUUGGGUGUUCAUGUAACACCCGUUUCUAAUCAAUGUUUCUUUUUUUCGGGGUUCUAAUCAAUGGUUUUAUUUUUUUUUAACUCUCUUUUCAUGCUCUGCAACGUGCUGUAUGUACACGGGAGUCCACACAUCCAUCGAUCCGCUCCGCUCUAGCUCGCGUACGUUCUCGCCACGUCAUCGAUCCGCGCCCAAGCGCAUCGGGUCCGUCCGUCCCAAGCAUCAUCGAGCGGCUGGAACCACUCCACGCCAUCGAUCCGAGGCACCAUCCUCUCCGCCAACCGCAGCCCACCUCCCUCCUCCUCCCCCCGCUCCCUACAUAACCCCGCCGCCCCAUCCGUCUCUUCACAUCUCAGCAUCAGCAGCCCCCCUCACAUCCCACCCAACAAGCCCCACCUCCCCACGCGCUCCAGCCAGCAGCACCCAUGGCACCCAAGGCGGCGGAGAAGAAGCCGGUGGCCACGGCAGAGAAGACGACGGCGGGGAAGAAGCCCAAGGCGGAGAAGCGGGCGCCGGCGUCCAAGGAGGCCGGCGGCGAGGGGAAGACGAGGGGCCGGAAGAAGGGCAGCAAGGCCAAGAAGGGCGUGGAGACCUACAAGAUCUACAUCUUCAAGGUGCUCAAGCAGGUGCACCCCGACAUCGGCAUCUCCUCCAAGGCCAUGUCCAUCAUGAACUCCUUCAUCAACGACAUCUUCGAGAAGCUGGCCGGCGAGUCCGCCAAGCUCGCCCGCUACAACAAGAAGCCCACCAUCACGUCCCGGGAGAUCCAGACCUCAGUGCGCCUCGUCCUCCCCGGCGAGCUCGCCAAGCAUGCCGUCUCCGAGGGCACCAAGGCCGUCACCAAGUUCACCUCAUCCUAAGCUGGCCUCGUCGUCGUUUCAUGACGAGUUGAGGGCGGCAGGCGUCGUGUGUGUAGUUAGCAGUAGUACGAUGUUACAAUCUUUGUAAGAAUUGUUCUGCUUGCUUGUGGCCUUGAAGGAAUAGUGAUGUUGCUGUUUGAAUCAAUGUUCGUCUGUGCUUGCGUGUCUCUUCAGAGUUCAGACUAACUCUUCUUGAUGCCAUUUGUUUAUGUCAGCAAGUUUCUACUGUGAUGGUUUAUCUAGUAAUUUUAAUUUGCUGUCAUUUUAUCUAUUGUGAUUGUUUCUAAGUUUCUAGAUAGAAACCUUUGAUUUUAAUUCUACAAUCUUUGAAGUUUGAAAUUAUGUACUACCAGUUAAAUCCAUGAUUUUCCUUCCUCUUUUGGCGCUAUGUAACUAACCUAUAUACUGUUGCUGCCAUUUGAGUAAAACUGAAGUUGGUGAGGCUUGUUAAUUUCUGACAGAACAUUCCAAGUUUUUUCCUCAGUGGACUUGUCAUCCAUAUGGCAAGAGGCCAAGAACAGCCUGACCGCCAGUGCUCAGAAAGUCACAAUGCAUUAGAUUCGGAUUAGCUUCUUGAGAUAAAUUAGAGGCUUUUUGCAAAAAAAGAAGCAAUAAAUUAGAGAAAGCGCACCCAUGUUUUUUAGAGUCAAGGGACAAGCUAGAUGUAACCAUCAUCUUUUUAGGAUGGCAUACCUGAGUUUUUUUUCUCUGUAUAUGUUUAUACUACAGUAGCUAAUUUUCCUUUGAUCUACUACUACACUUGGUAAUUUCUGAUCACGAAGCCACCAAUUUUGUCAAGGUGCAUUUUUUCUAUCGAUUCAUUUCUCUAUGUUUAUGUACAUUUGUAUGGAUAUAUGAAUUCUAAGUUAAGUGCAUUGGCAAGAACCAUUCACCACUCAUUUCCAGCCAUGGCGUUUCCACAAUUCGAUGGGGAAAACCCACGGUUGUGGAAAGGGAUGUGCGAGCAAUACUUUGCCAUGUACGGGGUUGACCAAUCCUUUUGGUAGCCCAUGGCUACGCUGAACUUCUCCACGACCACGGCCAUUUGGCUGCAGUCAGUUCAGCGCAAGGUCGCCGGCCUUAACUGGGAGGGGUUAUGCGAGUUUCUUUGCAGCAAGUUCGGGCGCGACCAACACCAACAACUGAUUAGGCGAUUUUACCACACUAGGCAAACUGGCUCCGUGGCGGAGUAUAUCAAGCAAUUUGAUGCUUUAAUGAACCAUCUGCUAUCUUACUCUGAAGCUAUUCACCCCCUGUAUUUUUUGACGAGGUUUGUGGAGGGUCUGCGUGAUGACAUUCAGGCGGUCGUGCUGAUCCAGCGACCCGUCGACCAGGAGGCGGUCGGCUCCCUGGCCCUUCUACAAGAGGAGCUUGCGGAGGGCUUCCGGCGGGAUCGCCCGCGCCGCUCUGACGCACCGACAACAAGGGCCGCCAUCCGAACGGCCCCUCUGCCGCUGCCGGCCGCUCCUCCUCGGGGUGGUGGGGUAGCUGGUGCGGAGGACCGGCACGCUCUGGAGGCAGCGCGGCCCGCACAAGACGCAGACAAGGUUGCUGCCCUAUGCGCCUACUGGUGCGCUAAGGGACUCUGUUUCACCUGUGGCGAACGCUGGGGGCGUGACCACCACUGCCCAGCCAAUGUUCCCCUCCAUGUCAUUGAGGAAUUACUUCAGAUGCUGGAAACAGAAGACGGGUGCACCCUGCCAACCGAGGAACAACAAGAAGAUGCCAACUGCGCAGCCAUUUCGUGCCAUGCUUUGGAGGGCACGGCAUCCCCAAAGGCUCUGCAACUCCAAGGGUGGCUAGGCGACACCAAGGUGCUCCUGCUCGUUGACUCGGGCAGCUCGUCUUCCUUCAUCAGGCACGACUUGGUCAGAGGAGAACUCCGGGCGGUCCCUCUAGCGCGCCGUCUCAGGGUGCGCGUAGCCGAUGGGGGAGAGCUAGCUUGUACUCAGGAAGUACCGGACUGCCAAUGGUGGAGCCAUGGACAGGAAUUUCGCUGCAAUCUGAAGGUGCUUCCAUUGCACAGCUAUGAUAUUAUCCUCGGGAUGGAUUGGUUAGAAAGUCACAGCCCAAUGCAAGUUGACUGGGAGAAGAAGUACAUCGAGUUCCAAUACCAUGGGGGCACGAUCCGACUGCAAGGCUUGCCUAGCAGCGACACCACAUGCUCCACAGUGUCGGCUAUGCAACUCCAGGCGCUGUGCAAAGAGAAUGCCAGUUUGCUCGUCCUCCAGCUAUGCCAAGUGGUUCCACAACAGCCUUCACCUAUGCUGCCCCAAGUUGCCGAGUUGCUCAGCCGCUACAAAGAAGUCUUUGAUGAACCAACAGGGUUACCCCCAAAACGGGCUUGCGACCACCGCAUACCCCUGCUGCCAGGUGCUCAAUCGUUUGCCAUCCGUCCAUACCGCUACUCUCCAGCCCUCAAGACAGAAAUCGAGCGCCAAGUGGCUGACCUUCUGAAGAAAGGGAUCAUACAAGUCAGUUAGAGCCCUUUCUCCUCUCCUGUGGUCCUGGUGCGCAAGAAGGACUUGACUUGGCGACUGUGUGUCGAUUACAGGCGCCUCAACGCUCUGACUUGCAAGACUACUUUUCCUAUCCCAGCGAUUGACGAACUUCUGGAUGAGCUCGCAGGCGCGCGCUGGUUCUCUAAAUUAGAUCUCCGCUCGGGGUACCACCAGAUCCGGUUGGCUGAAGGCGAAGCACCAAAGACAGCAUUCCAAACACACAGCAGCCACUACGAGUACAAGGUGGUAUCCUUCGGACUCGCCUACGCACCGGCCACCUUCCAGGGAGCAAUGAACGUCACCCUGUCUCCUGUAUCCCGCAAGUGCGUGCUUGUCUUCUUCGACGACAUUUUGGUGUUCAGUAUUACCUUGGAGGAUCACUUGAGAGACUUGGAAGAGGUGCUCGGGCUGUUGAAGAAGGACCAGUGGCAGGUGAAUGAAUCCAAGUGCUUAUUCGCGCAACAGCAACUAUCUUACCUGGGCCACCGCAUCAGCGCAGAAGGGGUCGCAACCGAGGAGAGCAAAAUCGCUAAAUUCCGCGACUGGCCAGUGCCCGAAUCAGUGAAGGAACUCAGGGGCUUCCUGGGUCUAGCAGGUUACUAUAGGAAGUUUGUCUGUCACUUCGGGAUGAUCUGCAAACCCCUGACUCAGCUGCUGCGCAAGGGGGCACUCUUUGUUUGGACUGAUGAGAGCCAAAAGGCAUUUACAGCUCUCAAGGAAGCCCUCAUUUCGGCUCCGGUACUGGCCCUGCCCAACUUCACCAAAACAUUCGUGGUCGAAACUGACGCGUGUGAUAGAGGCAUUGGGGCGGUGCUGCAGCAGGACAACCACCCCAUCGCUUUCCUCAGCAAAGCCCUCGGGCCAAAGGCGGCAGGCCUCUCCACCUACGAGAAGGAAUGUAUGGCAAUUCUGCAUGCGGUUGACCAAUGGCGCCACUACUUGCAAAUGGCUGAAUUUGUGAUCAAAAUAGACCAAAAAAGUUUGGUGCACCUGGAAGAGCAACGCUUGUCGACGGUCUGGCAACACAAGGCAUUCACCAAAUUGCUAGGCCUGCAAUACAGAAUCUGCUACAAAAAAGGAGAGGAUAACAAGGCAGCCGAUGUCCUGUCUCGUCGCCACCACGACCCGCAGGAGGCCGCACUUGCCAUCACUGAAUGCAAGCCUGCUUGGUUGACAGAGGUGCAACAAGGGUACGUCGAGGACGCCCGAUGCCAGAAACUUCUCGCUAGCCUAGCCACGACACCGCAACAAGGAGCUUUCAGCUUGCAACGGGGUUUACUACGCUACAAGGGCAGACUGUGGCUAGGGCAAAACCGUGCGCUGCAAGCCAAGGUUACUUCAGCCUUGCAUGAUGCAGCAGCAGGGGGGCACUCGGGCUUCCCGGUCACCUUGGCGCGCGUCAAGCAGCACUUCGCCUGGCCGGGGAUGCGCCGCACCAUCAGGGAGUUCGUCAGCACCUGCUCCACGUGCCAGCAAGCUAAACCUGACAGGUCUCGCUACCCAGGGCUCCUGCAACCCCUACCAAUACCAAAUCAGCCGUGGGAGAUGGCAACUAUGGAUUUCAUCGACGGUCUGCCCCCGUCUGGCCGGCACAACUGCAUCAUGGUGGUCGUGGACAAACUAACCAAGUAUGCCCAUUUUGUGCCGCUCGUGCACCCUUUCACCGCCCAGACAGUAGCCCAGCAGUUCAUGGAUCACAUCUACAAGCACCACGGUAUGCCCAGGUACAUUGUCUCUGACCGUGACCCGCUCUUUACCAGUCGCUUCUGGCAGCACCUUUUCAAACUCACCGGUACGGAGCUCCUCAUGAGCACGGCGCGCCACCCUCAAACUGACAGGCAAACGGAACGUGUCAACCAGUGCCUGGAAACAUUCUUGCGCUGCUACUCGCAGGCAUCCCUUCAGCAGUGGUCCAAGUGGUUGUCACUCGCAGAGUUCUGGUAUAACACGAGCACGCACUCAAGCCUGGGCAAGUCGCUGUUCGCGGUGCUCUAUGGGAGAGAGCCUCGCGCCCUGGGGUUAGCCACCGCAGAUGACUGCCAACCACUCGACGUCCGAGCAUGGCUCGAGGAGCGGCAACUGAUGCUGGCUUUGGCGAAGCAGCACUUGCACAGAGCACAACAGCGGAUGAAAGAACAAGCAGACAAGAAGCGUUCCGACCGCUCCUUCCAACCAGGAGACCAAGUGUACCUGAAAGGCUGAAACUGCAACCUUAUGUGCAAACCUCCGUCGCUCGGCGGGCGUGCCACAAGCUGUCGUUCAAAUUCUUUGGCCCCUUCCAGAUUCUGGCCAAGAUUGGAUCCGUGGCUUACCGCCUGCAGCUCCCAAAAGGAUCAGCAGUCCAUCCAGUCUUCCAUGUGUCGCAACUCAAGGCGGCUCACCUCCGUCCUGAAGGUUCGGUCAGCGCUCUGCCGACUAAUGUGUCUGCGUUUCAGGUACCGCUCGAAGUGAUCGACUACAGGUGGCGCAAGGCCCCCAACAAGAUGGUUCGUCAGGGCAAGAUUUGCUGGUCUGGCACACCCGUGGAGGACACCACUUGGGAAGACCUGGAAGAUCUCCACCGCCGUUUCCCGCGCGCUCCAGCUUGGGUCCCGCUGCGCAUCCUCAGCCUCCGCGACAAGAAAACCGGGCGCUCGACCGUGCGCCAGGGGACAAGCCCUUUUUCAAGACAAGGGGAAUGUCAGCGACGCCCAGGAGACGGCCCCUGACAAGAUCACCUCAAGCGACACCGAGCCACCACAGGAGGUCGAGCCCAACAGGCCCAGGCGCGAGCGGAAGCCCAACAGCAAAUUCAUCGGGCCCGCGUGGGCAAGUGGCCCACGGAAGUGAAGACUCACCUGCAUAUAAUCCCCUCCUCCCCCGCGAGCUAGGGUAUCCAGAGGAUCAAGAACUUGGCGGCGGCGGCGGCUCUCUACUACCUUCCUCCUCCUUUCCUUAGAUCUGGCUCGAUGAGCAUGUAAUCAAACCGAAUUCCUGUGAUUUGAGAGUGAGGACACUAGUAGUUCCUAUCAAUUUGGCUGUUUUAAUUGGGUCCUGUUUGAAUCGUUUUCAUUUCCAAUUUUCUUGAUCUUUAGCAAAUGAUCCCUUCCCCUCCUAAUGCAAAAGCAGAGCUCCUGCUGUCAAAGUCAAAAUAGAUGCAAAGGCCACAAAUGCAGAUGAACGCAUUUUUCAACCAAAAAAUAGAAGUCGGAAUGAGAGAAAUGAUUAGAGGGGACUGAAGCUCGACAAACAGAAAAGGUGGAGCGGGAAAAAAUGAUUUGAUUGUCUGAAGGAACAACUUGUAGCGCUAAAGAUGCAGUUGAGGUACAAGAGAAACAAUACAAUUGGAGGUAUACCCUUAGCUAAAUCCAGUAGUACAAAACAACCAAGGCUCCAUGGACAUGAGGCGAAAACAAUCUGGUACAACAACAUAUGCCUAGUUUUUUUUUUCCGAUAAAGGGUGUUUUUUUAUUCAUAAUGUAGCAUGGAGGGAUACAAUGAUAAUUUAUACACACCUGGUCUCUACAUAAUUAGGAUGCACAUAACCAACAAAAAGACGCACUAACCGACCACACCGGCAAAAAGCAAGGUCAAAUAACACCAGAGCCAUGCCUAUUCGGAGGAAAAAACCCCAAGCAAUAAAAAUAACAAUUGACAAUAUAUAGCAGUGACCAUCGGCACCAACCAUUCAUCGGCAACACAAGGACUAUGAACAACAUAUGCCUAGGUACAAACCGUGACGUGGGUUUUCCAUUAGUAAGAAAGAGUGAAAACUGGUAAACUAAAAUGAACUUCAUAGCGGCCUUGGCCAUGGAUAUUUCUUACGUUGGAGCUGGUAAAUCUGGCAGGCGAUGACUAUACAGAACUUUUUGACAAAGCUUGCCACCAAAGGGAACUAGGGGUCUACGGGCAUCUCCAUGGGAAUCGUUGGUACAAGUACAAAUACAGUUUGGUGUUCCUGGUCACUUUUUCAGCAAGAUCUUGCAAGAGAGUCCGCCAUUUGGACCCUUCUGGUUCAGGAUCAUGAGACCCGAACUACAAACAUAAUCUCUGUUCUCGACAAUAGAACGAUAACCCAUCACCAAUUUACUGACUUGGCAAAUUGGCAGUCCAUCCAAAACGGCAGCCUGAAACAUGUCUUUGAGCAUCAUUUGCUUAGCUUGGUAGAUUCUGCAAGGCGUCCAAGCUUCUGCCUAUUCUUUCUUCUAUCCAGGCAAGUCUCCUCUCAAGUUUUAGCACACUGGCAUGAAUAACCCUAAUAUCAACCUCCGCAAGCUUGGAAAAUGAGUGUACCAACAUGUAAUAAUCAGCGUGUCCAACACAAACAAGAUUACCGGUUACUGUUUUCUUUCUAUAGUGAAGAUAGUCAUCUGAUCUCGGACACUUCCUUCGCGGCAUAUAACAAAAUCCAUGGUCUUCCAUUUCUGAUUUGAUACUUAGCAUCCCUGAUGAUAAUGAAGAAAAGCACCGUCCACAAAAGUUCCAUCCCGACCUCGUUUAUUACUCGAGUUGUGGUUCGCAUUUCCUCCAUGUGUGCUUUUGGAUUCUCAUCCUGCAGUGCAACAGAUUUAGCCAUCAAGUCAAUAACAACACCCCCAAAAGAGAUGUAGCAAAUCCUCAAGGUACUACAUUGUACAAAUUUUAAGCUCAGAUAUGCUGCGAAUAAAUAGAGAUUUUUUAGAUUAACAAUUGUUUUUUCAUUUAUCUUUUAAUUUUAUAAUUUGGUUGUUUCUCAAAAAGAAAACCAGUUGUGUUUGGUUUCUAUAAUCAUUUAUGUUCUUUCAUGCUGAUUUUGUUCCUGAAAUAACAUUCAUAGAUAGAAGGUUGUUAAUGGUUUGUACCCAGGGUUCAGAAAUGGUACAUCCGUAGAGAUUAGAAGUUCAAAAUAAAUACAGUAUGUGGUUAGAGUGAAAUAGAAAACCCUUUCUGAAUGGCAACUUUAUUGUUCUUAAUCUUUUAAAUUUACAAUAUGGCAGCUCCUAAAAUAAAAUAAAAUAUCAUUCAAACCAAUUGUGUUUGAUUUCUAAGAUCUUUUGUGUGUUUUUGUUCUGAUUUUGUUCCUGAAACAGCAUCCAUACAUAGAACCUUGUUAAUGGUUUGCACUAAAGGUCCAGAUCGAAAGGCACUAGGCACUAGGCGGGCGUUUUGUGAGAAUUCAUGAUGAAUAUUAUUAAAUACAGGAUGAAUAAUCCCAAUAAAGUAGUACACGAAAAACAUUUUUAGUACUCCCUCCGUCCGGAAAAGUUUGUCCCAAUCUUGUUUCUCAAAUGGAUGUAUCUAGCACUAACUUGGUACUAGAUACAUCCAUCUGAGGGACAAGCUUUUUUGGACGGAGGGAGUACAUAGUCUUUUUUCAAAACACGUGGAUUAUUGUUAGUGAAAUAUAAGUAUUUUUUACACACUAUAAACAUUUUUAAAUGAAAUCUUGUCAUUUUCAAUAAAAUGUAAAACAUUCUUGAUAUACAUCAAAUAUUUUUUGAACCAAUAAACGUUUCCAUUAAAUGAUUCUUUAAUACACAAAGAACAUCUUUUAAAUAAUUGGCUAAUAUUUUUAAUACAUAAUAAACAAAUUAAUACAUGUUUAAUGUUUUUAUAAUACGCAUACACAUUUUUAAUACUCCCUCCAUUCGAAAAUGUAGUGCGUACAUAUUUUUUGAAAAGUCAAACUUUACAAACGUUGACCAAAUUUAUAGAGAAAAAUAUUAAUAUCUAGAAUACCAAAUAUAUUAAAUACUCCCACUGUCCAAAAACAACUACCGCUCAAACGAAUGUAUCUAACACUAAAAUACAUCUUGAUACAUCCGUUUGAGUGACAAUUAUAAGACGGAGGUAGUAUGAGACUAUAUCUUAUGAUGAGUAUAAUGAUAUAUAGUUUUGGCAAUCUAGAUGUAAAUGUUUUUCUUUAAAAAUAUAGGUCUAAAUUGGUGAGGUUUGACUUCUCAAAAAAUUUAUAUGCAGUACAUUAUGGAACGGAGGGGGUACAUGACAAAACAUAUCUCGAAACACGGGGACCAUUUUGUAGAAAGUGAUUUCGUAAAUGGUAUGAGAAAAGGAAAAAGAAAUAAACAGAAAAAACAGGAGAAAGGAAACCCCAAAAGGGAAACAAUAAAUGUAUAAAAAUAAAAACUAAUAGAAAAGUAAAUAUGAAAGAAAAAUUAAGGUGAAAGAAACUGGAAAACAAGAAAAAAAGUGGGAAACCAGAGUUAAACAGAAAAAUAUGGACAUAAACCACCUGUCCCAUAGAAAACAAGAGGCAAAACCAGGGAGGCAAACCACCAUACCUUGCCCGAGCCACGGCCCAUGUCGAGAUUGCUAGAGGCGAGUACAUGGUAUAUCUAGCAAUAAGCGAGAUAUUCUUCGCAAAAACAAACAACCAAAUGGGAACCGCUGCCAAUACAUAACAGAGCGGCUCCAGGCCACUUUAUGCAUUAAAGCCACGAUGAGCUUGGCGUACUUUCACUAUGAUGCUGCCUUCGUUGCAUCUGAAUUCUAAAUGCCAUCUUGUUUCCCGAUUGAUGAAGUCCACUCUCCGAACCAACUCCCAUCGUUGUCCUUUAAGAGAAUCUCAAAUGGACCCCGAAGACAGGGAGGGGGGAGGGGGUACUGAACGGUUUUUACUAGGCAUGAUCCCCACAAUAAUGCAACCUCAACCCUUCUUAAUAGCGUGACUUUCCUUAGAUUUAAAUAAACCAGAAAAUACUUCGAGUCCUUCGACAAACCGACACAUUUCCGGGGAGGGUGAGGGGUGAACCAUCUCCUUCCUUUUCAUCAAGGAACCAAUGUCGUCAAAUAAAUUUGAUAAAGGUCGUUAGUCCUACUAAACAUAUUAUCAUCACAACAAAAUACAAUUGGCGUCUAUAUGCACUCUCAAAAUUGUUUACUUUCCUUUUUUUAGUUAAAUGCACACAACUAAUUAAGAAAUAUAUUAAGAUAAAUACAUGUACGCAUUGAUGGGUUUUGUGUACUAAUAAUAACUACUUGAUUGGUUUUGUGUCAACGAACUCAUAGUUUUUUCAGUGAACAAAUAUAAAUCGCUUUGGCGGCUCAGCGUUCUUAUGGGCCGACCCAGGUGAGCGCCAUUGCAUAGUAGCGUCUGGUUGUGCCUGGGUGAGCUAUAUCUCUUAGUGCGAGACAAAUCGGUGUGUGUUCGGUGAGUGGGCCGACUAAGUGGAUUUCAGAACCCUCCAUGGGAGGCCUGGAUUAGUUUUAGGAACCUUCUGGUUGGUUUUCUGUCAAUUUUUUCUCCUUUUUGUAUGUUUUUUCUCUACUGGUUUUCAUCGGUUUUCUUUCUUUUUAUAUAUUUUUGUUUUCUUUGUUUUUCCCUUUUCCAAAUAUAUGCCAACUUUUGGUUAAUGUACAUUGAACAAUUUCGCUACAUAGGUUGAACAUUCUUCACAUACUCCUUGAUUUUUCUAAAUCUGCGUUAAAUAUUUUUUCUGUUUCACUUUUUCUGUUUUUCUCCUUUUUGUUUUUAGGUAUUUAUUUUUUAUUUUCAAAUAAAAAACUAAAUACUUGAUUUUUUAUCAAAGGUGUCUUGCAUUUUUUCCUCAAUAUAAACAAGGUUAUAUAUCAUAUCAACAAUUAUAUUUAGAUGGUAUGCAUACACCAAAGAAUUAAUCCAAAGAAGAAAAUCUCGAGAUAGAAUGAAACUUCUAAACUAUUCUCUAUCUUUUCUUUUCUUGAACGGGGAUCUAUAAACUACUAUCUGUUCUUCAAAACGAACAAAAAUUUCAAGGGGAAAAACAAAGGAAGAAAAUGAAACGUGAGAAGCAGAGAAAUGGUAAUACGAUGGGGGGCUUGGACUGGGUUGGCCUGCUACGUGUCGGGUGCAGCUGCAAGUCCAAUACACAUAGACUGAAGGCCCAAUGCCCACAAAAAAUCAUACUAAAUCGAGACGAUGGGGGUAAGAGGGGAGCUAUGCCUCUUAAGAUACAGUCAUAUGUAGAAGGCAUGUCUAAGGUUCAGUUUGCAAUUAGUGAAUUAUAAUGUCAUUUGCUUAUUUUAUAAUUAGGUAUGAAAAAUUAGACACAAAAGUAGGCAAAAACAGGUCAAAUAAACACGAAAAUAUGGACAAAAAAGGGUGGGGCAAACAAGAAUAUGAGAAUACACCAUGAUUCAAGCGCAUCAUAAAGUACCAAGUUAUAUAUUUCCGACAGUACUAGUAGAAGAAAAUUCACAAAAUAUUGAAGAAAUCUAAUUAGCAACAAAUGUCCUCUAGUUUGCUUUUUUCUUAAAGAAUAAGAUGAGAGGUUAGAAGUUCAAGUGCAUUGGGAUGCUUAGUUGUGUACUGACAAUAACAAUUUUGAUUUUUAGAGCAGAGUUACAGUUGGCGCAAAAUGUAAAAGAGAAAGGAGCAAGAGGGGUACUUAGGGCAUCUCCAGCCGCGCCCCCAGGAAGGCCUCCCCAGGUGUUUUUCUUGCGCCGAAGCCGAAAAAUCGGCCCAGUCGCGUCCCCAGGAGCCCGAUUUUCACCGGCCUGGGCCGAAAACAGCGCCGGCGGACCUAGGCCAAACCCGGUGCGCUGAGGGGCGCCCGAGGGCGCCGGGCGAACUUUUUUGGCGCGAAAAAGCCGCGGGCCCGCCGCGUCAGCGACACGGCUCUCUUCUCGCCCCUUCGUCGGCCUCAUCGCCUCGUUUCCCACGGAGAAUCAAUGCCAAAGCUACCGCGCUGCCGCGCCGGUCAGCCUGCACCAUUGAUGCCUCACGGGCGGCGCAGUGAAGGCCGGACGACGCGCGUCCCUCGCCCUCCCUCGCCCGCCACGCGUAACACGGCGGCCACGCGUACGGGCGGCGUCUCGGCCUAUAUAAGACGCGCAACAGCGUGCUCGGCGACCACACUCUCUCGCCGUCGUCGUUCCUCCCUUUCUUCUCUUUCGCCGUCGUUUCUCCCUCUCCUCUCUCUCGCCGUCUCCACUCAUGGCCGAGCGCUUCCCUGGUGACGGCGCGGCGGCGAACGGCUUCGGCCGCCGCCAUCUCCAUGAAGACGAGGCUCGCCUCCUUUACGAGGCCGGGUACCCGGUCCCGCCAGACAUGCGGGUGCCCGGCGUGUGGAGGAUCAGCGCCGGCGGCGCGCCGGUGCCACCACCACCCACCGGGGCGGCGCGGCGUGCGGAGAUCGCACGCAUCCGCGCGUCCCUACCGCGGCCGGCGAGGGAGGGGCCACGGUACGUCCCCGAUAGCCCGCUCUGGGAGUCCUACUUCCGCCGCCGUCACGCCGAGCAGCUCGAGGCCACCAACGGCGUCGAGCCCUCCGGCAGGCUCAACUCCAACGGCCGGCGCCGAUGGUGGGGCGUGCCCGGGCGCACGUUGGAGGCCGUCCUCGAGUACAUCAAGGGCGGCAACACGCCGUCCCUCGAGUACCCCGAUCCCCCGUCCUUCUCACGCCGCCGGGGAAGUUCCUGGACCUCGAGGCGCAUGGAGACCGGGGGGUCCUCCUCGUCGUCCGGUGGCUCGCCCUGCCUCCGCCCCGUCAAGCCAGAGCCCCAGGACACGCCGGUCAGUGCCCGCAUGCGCAGCUCCGGCAUCCGCAUCGGCGGCGCCAACGCCUCCCCACCCACCGGCCGCUUCGUCCUCGUCAAGCCCAAGCCGGAGCGCGGCCUCCCCGUGGAGUACGAGGAGAUAGCCCGGCGCGGCAUCUCCGACGAGGACGCCCUGCGCUGGGCGCGGGACGACUACCUCCGCGACGAGAUGGUCCGGCAGCGCCGGGCCCUGGAGGAGAUCGCCGCCCGCAAGCGUGGGCACGAGGACGAGCACGGCGUCGUGGUCCUCGACAGCGACGACGACGACGACGACGCCCUCGGACCGUCCAACCCGCCGUGCCAACCGGGGGAGGGAUGCAGCAAGGGCGACGGAGGCGCAGGCGGCGACGACGACGACGACGGCGGCGGCGACUACACGCGGUUCUACCGCCUCCUCGGCAUGUAAACCGCGUGGGCGGGCAGCGAGGCGGGCGGCGAGGGGGACGGCGGGGGUAGCUCGCCGAAGUUUUUUUUUAUAAAAUAUGUUUAAGUUUGAACGAACUCGCCGAUGUUUGCUUAAAUUUCAGUCGUGUUUGUGUCGUAUUUGAAUUUUUUUUAAAAAACGUGGGGCGCCGCGACUGGGGGGCAUCACGCCUCCAGUGCGCGGUUUAGCGCCGACACGCCCUCGGGGGCGAUUUUUAGGCGUCCUGAGAGGCCGAACGGCUGAAGAUGCCCUUAUUACCUGUUAUUGUCUCCACAGUGGUGACUUGGUUUUCUGAAAAUGUUUUUUUAUUGAUACAGGAAGGGCAGCAUCGACUUGGUUAUUUAUCCAGCAAUACUUGCCAUCCCGUGACAAGCAUUCUUCUACAGGAGUAUCUUGAUUUCUCAGUCCAAAACUAAUGCUGGUACAAAACUAAUGUUGGUACUCAGGAGUAUCUUAUUUGCCUAAUUGCACAUUACUCAGAGCCGCCAGUUUUGCCUAAAUGAUUUCUCAGUACGUACCUGUUUCUCAGGUUCAUUAUCCCGAGUUUAGUUCGGUUGCCAUGGUUGUCAUUUGCCUUGGCAUGUUUGUCUGAAAGCAACUUACUAGUACUCCCUUCAUUUUAAAAUAUAAUGCGUCCAUACUUUUUGAGAUUCAACUUUGACCAUAAAUUUAACCAAUAAGAUCAACUGCGGCGGGAGAAAAAUUUAUAUAAUUGAAAACUUCCUUUGAAUACGAAAUCACUGAUAUAAUAUUUGCUCCCGCCGCAAUCGGUCUUAGUAGUUAAAUUUACGGUCAAAGUUGAAGCACGAGGAUAGAGGAAGCACUACAUUAUGGAAUGGAGGGAGUAUCUCAUUUAGUAGUACUCCCUCUGUAAACUAAUACUCCCUCCAUUCCUAAAUAUAAGUCUUUGAAGAGAUUUCACUAUGGACUACAUACGGAGCAAUAUGAAUGAAUCAUACUCUAAAACGCUUUUAUAUACAUCUAUACGUGGUCCAUAGUGAACUCUCUACAAAGACUUAUAUUUAGAAACGAAAAGAGUAUAAGAGAAACACUCUUAUAUUACUUUACAGAGCGAGUACUUCUGAAAGCAACUUAGUGCUCUUUUAUUUAGUACUGUGAUAAAAGAUACAAGGUGUUAAUAACCAAAAGCUGACAGUCUCUGAAGCAAAGGCAGGUAACCAAACAUGCACAAAAUGGAUCGCAAGCAAAGGCAGAUAAACAAGAGAACAUGAUUGAAAGGAUUGCAUCUUUAGCCAUUCCGGACAUAAAUUAGAGAUAAAAUACAGCCCUCAGUGGCCCGUUCAUCAAACCAAUGAAAAAGUCACUACAGACUAGGCAAUUACAUACAUGAUCCAAUCAACCGAACCUCAUCUUUCUCUCCCUGCUAUGGAUCUAAGCAAUGUCAUGAUAGUAGUCUAUGGUGGCUGCUACUCCUUGGCAGCGACCUUCUUCUUGGGGGACUUGGUGGUGGUCUUCUUCUUGGGCGACUUGGCCUCCUUCUCUGCGGUGGCGGGGGACUUCUUGGGGAGAAGCACGGAGUUGAUGUUGGGGAUCACGCCGCCGUGGGCGAUGGUCACGCCGGCGAGCAGCCUGCCGAGUUCCUGGUCGUUGCGGACGGCGAGCAGCAGGUGGCGCGGGAUGAUGCGGGUCUUCUUGUUGUCCUUGGCCGCGUUGCCGGCGAGCUCCAAGACCUGCGAUUCAUAAAGGAAAUCGGUCAGUUAUCAGUCGAGCACGACGAGAACAGAGUAACGAAGGCUCCAGGAGGGGAGAGAUCGGUGCAUACCUCGGCGGCGAGGUACUCGAGGACGGCGGCGAGGUAGACGGGGGCGCCGGAGCCGACGCGCUGCGCGUAGCGGCCCUUCUUGAGGUAGCGCCCGAUGCGGCCGACGGGGAACUGGAGCCCGGCCUUGACGGACCUGGUCACCGCCUUCUUCCUGUCGCCGCCCUUCCUUCCGGCCAUCUUGCUUGCUACUUCUCCGGCGAGCUGGAAACUACUCGAGAUGCGUGGGCGGCGGUGCGGGAUCGGAAUGCGCUCUGCUCUGCGUUUGUGGGUUGGGACGCCAGCGAGGACGCGGCUUUUAUUGGGGAGAUGAAGCUUCGUGGGGACGGCGGCAGGGGGGAGCGAUCCGCGUGACGCAGUGUGCCUGCCGUUGGAUCUGUGGGGAGUGGGCGGUGGGGAUUGGUUUGGGGGUGCGAUCCGCGAGAGGGUCUUAUCGGCCAAUCACAGCGCAGGGAUUUGCAUCACGAAGGGAUUUUGCUUUAAUUAACACCUGGUUUUCCUUUUGUGCAUCAUUUAGGCUUUUUUUUCCAUUUUAUCUUGCAUCUAAUUGGUUUUUCAGAUGUAGUGGUAUUUGCUUAUACAUGUAUGUAUGUUUUGCUAUUACCUAACGUUUCGGUUUGGAUGCAUGUACUAAGGCCCCAAAUUGGAUUUGGUAUUCCCCAAAUUGCAAUCUGGUUGUUUGGGAUGCACACGAAAUAGUUGUCCGAAAUGGAACGAAUACAUGCAUGAAAUCGCUCACACAUGCCCGAGCCCUCCCACAUUUUUGAGCUCUUCGGCUUCGAUUUGGCUGGGAAUCACCCAUCGUGCAAAGGGUAAUGAUUUUUCCCUUCUUUUCCCCAUCGACAACGGCACCCAUAACCUCCCCUCGCCGGCCAUCCUCCUCCUCCUCCGGGACCUGAAUCCCCGACGCCACAGCUCGUUCCCCUCCUCCCAUGCCCCCCGUCUCCUCCUCACGUGGCCUCCACGGCCUGGCCCUAGCCGUCUGUCGCCGCUUCUCCUCCAAUAUUAGAACUACGAAAGGUACAUGAUGUUGAUGAAAGUAAUUAUCCUCACAAUUUGUGCCCACGCAAAUUGGCAACGAUAGAACGGAUCCGACAAAAUAGAAAGAGGAAAAAGAGCUCCAAGAAUAACCUUAAGAAAAUUUCUUGGGUAGAGCGUAAGGAUGGGCCUUACUAUCCCAAGAAUCUCCAUCCUCUCCACUAAGGUAAAAUAAUUCAAUUUCACUAGCUUAUUCUAACAAAGUUGUGUUGGCUGCAGGUUUUUGUGAAGGGUACCGAUGAAGCUAUGUACCUAGGGUAGGGUCAUGGACCUGUCCUAACUGCCCUACCCAAGGACAUCCCUAGAAGAAAUCACCUUUCAAUCGCCUUGGAGGUGUUCCACUCGACAGACUCGAAGACACUCGACCACGAAGCAACCACUCGACCAAGACCCAACCACUCGAUGGCCAGGAGACCUAAAGUCACUCCGCACGCUAACGGUCGGUCAUUGAGUAGGUUUUAUGGUCAUCAUAGCACUUUAUUAGAGGCGUUACCAGUAACGCCCGACCUUAAUGUACUUAAAUCCCUGCAUAACUGAGGGCCGAAGGGGCCUGGCGAACUCUAUAUAAGCCACCCCCUUCCUCAGUGUAAAGGGUUCGCACCCCUGUAAUUCAUACACACAUAAUCCAGUCGACCGCCUCCGGGCUCCGAGACGCAGGGCUAUUACUUCCUCCGAGAAGGGCCUGAACUCGUAAACCUCGCGUGCUUACAACUACUCCAUAGCUAGGAUCUUGCCUCUCCAUUCCUACCCCCCCUACUUUACUGUCAGACUUAGAACCACGACAGUUGGCGCCCACCAUGGGGCAGGUGUCUUAGCGACUUGUUGGAGAAGUUGUGAUUUUUUCCGAUCCCUUUGAUCAUGGUUUCGGGCGGAGUUUUGGUGGAGGGCCGCGAGAUCCGUCUCGGCGCGCUCACGUUCAUCGCUGACGACUCCGCUUGGCUUCAGGAGGCUCCACUCGACGUCGACGCGCUCCCCGUCCGCGGGGCGACGCACUUCCGCGCGUGCGUCCGCGGCGUCCUCCUGCGGCAGCCGUCGACCCAGUAUCGGUCGGCUCCUAUGGCGUCCUCCCUCCCUGUCUCCCGCCGGCGCAAGCGCUCCGGUCGGUCAAGGCUUCAGCGGUGGGUGAGGCAUGCGGUGGCCCGCCAGUCGGCCACCCCUCAAGUCGCGGCGAUCGAGCCCGACGAAUCCCUCUACGGCCUGUUCGACUGGCUCCGCAGAGACUGCAUCCGAGUGCGAUAACAGUGAUCCAGCAGCGGAGGUUCUGAUGGUUGAUGGACCACGCAGUCCUCCUGGCUUUCCCCGCAUAGACGGAAGCGAAGGCAGAGGCGACCCGUCGCAUGCCCAUGAGGAGUAUCUACCAGAGCCUCUCACUUCGCUGCAAAGAGAAGAACUUCGCCGCCGAAACAUGGAUGCGCUGCACACUCCUAUCGUUGGAGAAACCCCCGAGGCCCGUGCCUUGGAGGACGCGCGCCUGGCCAACUUGGCUGAGUGCACUCGACUGGAGAACCUCCAGCGAGCACUCGACGAGCGUGCACGACAACGGGUCCCAGAAUCCAUUCGCCGUCAGCUCUUUCCGCCCCCGUAGGUAUAUCGAACUCCGAUUCAGAAUUUAGCAGUAGCAGCCCAUAUAGCAGAGUCGAUUCAGCCUUCCCAGUCAGAGGCUGGCAGAGGCUUGCUGCAGAUCAGAGUGUUACUCCGGGCAGCAGGAGACCAGAAUUCCGUUGUUUCACAGUCGCGGAACAGGAUCCACAGCAAAUCCGUUGUUGCAGAUACAGUCCAGUCGGCUCACAACCCAAGAUCGCCCCCGAGGCAUGAGGGACGUGGAGACCGGCGUGAUCAGUACAGGAACCGUGAGCAGUAUGAUCACCUAUUCGAUCGUGACGAUCGACGUCGAGUGCCCACCCUCCCCCGAGGAGUGGGUCGUAUGUGCCUCGACAGCAAGAUGACAGGCGCCCUCACAGUGUUGGGCGAAGAAUUCCAGUCGAUCCCAGGGAACCAGGCUUUGAUGCGAGAUCCAUUCUCGUUCAAGGUUUGGUCGACAGGAAUAGAGCUCACCGAGAAGGUCAUGACAGAGAUGCACCUACCAGCAGCAGAGUGCAUGUUUCAGGGCCAGAGUGCUUUAGCAGAGCCAUCAGGGCCGCAGUGAUUUCUCCCAACUUCAGGUUGGCGACUGGAGUUAGUAAGUUCGCCGGAGAGUCCAAGCCUGAUACUUGGCUUGAAGACUACCGAGUGGCUGUUCAGAUUAGCGGCGGCAAUGAUGAAGUGGCCAUGAAGCACUUACCUCUCAUGUUGAAAGGCUCGGCCAGAGCGUGGCUGAAUCAGUUAGCACCCAGCAGCAUUUACACUUGGGAAGAUCUUGCCCGAGUGUUUUUCACAACAUUUGAAGGAACGUGCAAGCGACCAGCAGGGCUAACAGAAUUGCGGUCUUGCGUGCAGAAGUCAAAUGAAACUUUGAGGGAUUACAUCCAGAGAUGGAUCAUGUUGCAUCACACGGUAGAGAAUGUGUCUGAUCACCAAGCAGUCUGUGCCUUCAAGGAAGGCGUCAAGUACAGAGAACUGAAUCUGAAAUUUGGUCGAACCAGAGACAUGUCUUUGACUCGGAUGAUGGAGAUUGCCACCAAGUAUGCUAAUGGUGAAGAUGAGGAUCGACUCCGGAGUGGUAAGCUCAAGUUAGUCGCCCAAGAAACCGGAGGAGGAAAUUCCAGUCGGAAACAGUAGCGGAAAGCCAAGCCAGCUGCUCCUGGGGAAGCCUUGGUUGUAACUCAAAAAAAGUUUAAGGGGAAACCCAAAGGGCCUUGGAACCCCAAGAAAGUUAAAGACCAAGAUGGAAAUGAUGUGUUGGAUUUGUCAUGUCACAUCCACACAAAGAAAGAUGAAGAGGGUAAACUCAUUUACCCGAAACAUACCACUCGACAGUGUCGGCUCUUGAUCCAGCAAUUCCAGGGCAAACAUCCCAAAGAUAAGGAAAAGGAGUCGGACAAAGUUGAGGACAAGGAGGAUAGUGAUGAUGGAUACCCCUAGGUCAAUUCCACCCUGAUGAUUUUUGCUGAUGUUGAAAGCAAAAGUCGACUGAAAGUUAUCAACCGUGAGGUGAAUAUGGUUGCUCCGGCGACACCCAGUUAUUUGAAGUGGUCUCAGACUGCCAUCACAUUCGACCAGUCCGAUCACCCAACGCACAUUGCCACCCCUGGGAGGCAAGCUUUGGUGGUCGACCCAGUUGUCGAAGGCACUCGACUGAUGAAAGUCUUUAUGGAUGGUGGCAGUGGUUUGAACAUACUGUAUGCAGAGACGUUGAAAGGGAUGGGCAUUCCGAUGUCCAGACUCAGUACUAGCAACAUGAGUUUCCAUGGAGUCAUUCCUGGGAAGAAGGCUGAGUCACUCGGCCAAAUUGCUCUUGAUGUGUUUUCCGGUGAUUCCAAGAAUUACCGCAAAGAAAAGUUGACGUUCGAAGUUGUAGAUUUCCAGAGUGCUUACCACGCUAUUUUGGGCAGGCCAGCUUAUGCAUGUUUCAUGGCUCGACCAUGUUAUGUGUACCUCAAAUUAAAGAUGCUUGGUCCCAAAGGUGUGAUCACUGUUACGGGCAAUCGGAAGAAGGCAGAAGAGUGUUUUCAGAAAGGCUCAAAGAUCGUUGAUGCUCAGAUGGCAGUGGUAGAGCUGCAGGAGUACCAGAAGACUGCAGACCCGAGUGAUUUGUUGCGAGCUAAGAAGCCUGCUACGGAAUCAACGUUUCAGUCGGUGAGACAAAGCCGAUUCACAUUCACCCGACCGAUCCCAACGCUGCUCCGACCCAUAUCUCAACAACACUCGACUCCAAAUAGGAAGAAGCGCUCAUCCAGUUCCUCCGUGAGAACUGGGACAUCUUCACAUGGAAGCCUUCUGACAUGCCAGGUGUUCCCAGGGGGCUGGCUGAGCACCGCCUAUGAGUCGACCCAAAAAUUAAACCUGUCACAGAGCAUCUUCGACGGUCCGCCGUCCAGAAGAGAAAGGCCAUUGGCGAAGAGGUGGCUCGGCUCUUAGCAGCAGAGUUUAUCCGAUAGAUUUACCACUCCGAGUGGCUCGCCAAUGUUGUCAUGGUCCCCAAAAAGGACAAGUCACUUCGCAUGUGCAUUGACUUUAAACAUAUCAAUCGGGCCUGCCCGAAAGAUCAUUUUCCUCUCCCCCGCAUCGACCAGAUAGUCGACUUGACCGCGGGAUGUGAGCGCCUGUCUUUUUUAGACGCUUAUUCCGGGUACCAUCAGAUCCAUCUGUAUGGACCCGACGAGAUCAAAAUAGCUUUCAUCACUCCAUUCGAAUGCUUCUGUUAUGUUACCAUGCCAUUCGGCCUCAAGAAUGCCGGAGCCACGUUCAUGAGGAUGAUUCAGAAGUGUUUGCUCACUCAAAUCAGUUGGAAUGUGGAAGCAUACAUGGAUGAUAUUGUGGUCAAGUCACGGAAGAGUUCCGACCUGCUGACUGACCUUGCUGAAACCUUUGCCAACCUCGGGAGGUAUGAUAUCAAGCUUAAUCCAUCAAAGUGCACAUUCAGAGUUCCUGGCGGAAAGUUACUCGGUUUUCUCGUUUCCAAACGGGGAAUCAACGCCAAUCCAGAAAAAGUUGGUACUAUAUUCCGAAUGAAACGUCCUGUGCGUGUGCACGAUGUCCAGAAGCUUACUGGUUGCUUGGCCGCUUUAAGUCGAUUCAUCUCUCGUCUCGGUGGAAAGGCAUUGCCUCUUUACCAACUGAUGAAGAAGUCAGACAAGUUCGAGAGGACUCCUGAAGCUGAUGCAGCGUUUGCAGAGCUCAAAGCUCUGCUCUCCACCCAGCCGGUGCUUGCUACCCCAAUCAGCAAAGAGCCUUUGCUACUUUACAUUGCAGCCACGGGACAAGUCGUCAGUACAGUACUUACGGGCGAGCGGGAAGAAGAAGGAAAGGCCUUCAAAGUUCAGCGCCCAGUAUAUUAUGUUUCUGAAGUUUUGACCCCGUCAAAGCAAAGAUACCCUCAUUAUCAGAAGCUUGUAUAUGGGAUUUAUAUGACCACAAAGAAGGUUGCUCACUACUUCUCUGAUCAUUCCAUUACAGUCGUCAGCGAUGCUCCAUUGUCAGAGAUUCUGCACAACAGAGAUGCAACUGGUCGAGUGGCAAAAUGGGCGAUUGAACUCCUUCCCCUAGAUAUCAAGUUUGAGGCAAAGAAAGCUAUCAAGUCCCAAGCAAUAGCAUAUUUUGUCGCCGAGUGGAUUGAACAACAACUGCCGACUCAAGUUCACUCGGAGCAGUGGACCAUGUUCUUCGACGGUUCCAAGAUGCUGAAUGGUUCCGGUGCUGGGGUAGUAUUGGUUUCCCCCCGAGGAGAUAAGCUUAGAUAUGUUCUCCAAACCCGCCUUGCAAUGCCGAAGACAAUCUGCGCGCCAGGCUUCAAUGACGACGAGUCCGACGCGCAGAUUGUCUUCGGCAUUGCAAGGCGGGUUCCUCCUCCAAGUACUUCAUAGAAGAUUUUGAACACCAGGAUAGUGUCCGGCUCUGCAAAAUAAGUUUCCACAUACUGCCAUAGAGAGAAUAAUAUUUACACAAAUCUAAUCUGCUGACGUAUUCCGCAGCGUGACAUCACACCACGGCCAAGCCUUUAUUCGAAUCGUUUUUAUUGUCCCACCUCAGCGCGUUUAGCGAGGCAGUUUCCUUGGCACGUCCUGUUGACGCAGAGAUCGUGUUCCCUUUAUUUACGGGAUUCUCAUCAAUACGGAUGUGGGUGACCCAAUCGUGCCCGUUGGCAUGUUUUCUCGAUUAAAGGCGAGUCCCAAACGGUUACGGGGAGGGCCCUUGGUAUUCAACCUCUUAUAAAGAGACUAAGGCCUUACUCCUUUCUUUCAAUCUCAAACGAUUUCGCCCUUCGCCUCGAGUUCCAACACCCAAGGCUCCAGAUUUCGGGCGCUUCGAAUCUUCGACAAUGUCCGGUUCCGACCUUCGAGGCCGAUGGGUGCCCUCUUCCAUCACGGAGGAGGCCGUGCUAAAGCUGAGAGAGGCCAGGUUCUUGACCGGCGAAAUCUUGCAUAGGUUGCCUGCUCAAGGGUAGGUCAUUCCCACUCCCAAGCCUAGUGAGAGCGUGGUGUUCAUAUCUCACUUCCUUCGGGGGCUAGGCUGCCCGAUGGAUCCCUUCGUGAGGGGGCUCAUGUUUUAUUAUGGGCUGGAAUUUCACGACUUAGCUCCGGAGUCCAUCCUCCACAUUUCCUCUUUCAUCGUUGUGUGUGAAGCCUUCCUCCAUGUUACUCCUCACUUCGGACUAUGGCUCAAGACCUUCAAAGUAGUGCCGAAGACGAUCGAGGGGCGGCACGCAGAGUGCGGAUGCGCUGUUAUAAGCAAGAAUGCUGAUGCUCCAUGGCCUGAGGGCUCUUUUCAAGAGGAGUCCAGCUUAUGGCAACGAGAGUGGUUCUAUAUCACCGCUCCCAGGGGCACCAAGUGGGUGGCGCCUCCUGCCUUUCGCUCGGGUCCCCCACCACAACUAGCGUCAUGGGUCAAUAAAGGAUUAGACUGGGGGUCAUCCAAGGACGUGCCCUUGUUGCAGGGCCGCAUCAGGGAUCUCUUAGAAAGAGACCUCAGCCUGGUCAAGGUGACACAGGUCAUGCUGAUCCGCCGAACCCUGACCGGCAAACGUCGCUCCCUUCGCCUAUGGGAGUUUAAUCCGGAGGGACCGCGAGCUCUCCAGCAUUUCAUGGGCGCAACGCUCGUGGAGAUGUAUAAAUUGUUCUUCGGAUCACAAGCAACGUGUCCGGACUUGACCGAGGACGCAGGUCUGAGCUGCAAUCGCCCGGAUACUCAAGUAAGUAGCCUUGUGCCCGGACUCGCUUAUCCGUAUAUUUGUCAUAAAACUUGCCCCUAAAGAGCUGUUCUUUAAGCAGGAGUGGAUAGCGAAAGCAAAGCUUAUCAGGUGUCCGGCUCCCCUCCCCGAGACCACGCAGGAUCCCGUGCUGGUCAGAAUGUUGAAGAUUGUGCCUUUGGAGGAAAGCAAGGGAGGGGACUAGGAAACUACGGCCUCCUCGAAGGAGGCUGUUCGGAGGGAAGGAAUCGAAAAUUCCUCUCCUUAGGUGAAGAAGAGGACCGCCUCUGAAGACCCGGAGACCAUGGCCUCAAAAUGGGGGAAGAAACCCUCGUCAGAGGGUCCUGCGCCGGGGGAUACCCCGGCCGAAUUAUGCCCUCAAGGGGGUCAGCCAUCCAUCGAGCCGUAAGUAUAGAGAGGUUUUUCUUUGAGAAGAAUCCUUGUUUUAUAUCUGAGAAGAGUAACCGAAAAUUUACCUUGUAGUUCGGACCUCAGCCCUUCUUGGCAGAGCUCGUCUUCGGGGGAUCUUCUUUCGGAGAUGAUGGAAAGCGGAACGCCUCCCCCUGCCGUACCGCCUAGCGAGGCGGGCGACCCCGAGGUAUCAUCGCGGAGGGUUUCUCCAAAUCCAGCAGGGGCGGAAGGUAGCCAUAUGGCCCCCCAAGGCUCUCCGCGUCCGGCCUUCGAAACAGGCCAUAGGACGAGUCCGGCACCGUUCGGUGCGCGGUCGGAGGAGCUGAAGAAUCUGCUAGGGCGAGCAUCUAUCUCGGAGGAGCACCGUGCAUUGAUGGGCACGGUGAUUGAAAGGAUUUCAUCCGCGGAAAGCGGAUUGCACGAGGCCGUUAGAAGUUUACCGACGGGUUUUGAGGUAUGCGGAAUAACACACCCUUUUUGACAGUUGUGCAUAAAUAAUAUGCGCCCUGUGUAGAUAGUAGCCCCUGAGACUCUGUGCGUUGUCAAAAAGUGACGGCGCAUAGAGGAUCAUAAUCCCAGGUCUAAAAUGCCGCCUUUGUAUGUAGGUGGCGAAGUGUCCGGCAUCCAGCCGGACUGAUGAAUUUGCCGAGCUAAAGCAGCAACUUGACGUGGCAGAUGCCGACAUCGUGCUUGUUAACAAGCGGCUGGACGAGACACAAGGUAUGUAAUCCCUCCGGUGGCACCUGGUAAGAGGAGCUUUUUAUGCCAUUUUCUUACUAUGUGUAUGCUUGAUGCAGAUGGUGCGACUGCCAUGGAGAAUCUUCGGGCGGAACUUGCCCGAGCCAAGGAGCAAGCCAGAAAAAGUGAUGCGGCUACCGGAAAGUCAAUUGAAGAGCUGAAAGCCAAACAGGUUGCUCACUGCCGAAGCAAGAAGGAAAUGGCCGAGAUGGCCGUGAAGCUGAAGAGCGCUGCUGACCGUUGCAAGCUUCUUGAAAAAGAAGACCGAGCGGGACAGACGGACUUAGAGAAGGCCAUUGCCGAUGCCAAGGAUGCUCGCUCUGCGAUGAGAGCGGCGAAGAAGGAGCUGCGUCAGGCCGGAGAAAUCGCGGCUGGAAAGCCCUUUAUGCUGCGGAGGAAGUUUUGUGAUCCUAAGCAUGCUCUGCUAGAGCGGUUAUGGAGUACGGCGGACACCUAUCUGGAUUUGGCAGCGAGUGCUGCUGAUGCGACCGAGCACUUUCGAGAUCAAGAAGAUCGCGAAGUGGAAAAGCUCUUCUGGUCGCAGUUCCGCAAUCCAGAGCAUCCACUGUCGGUGGCCGAUCGUCUGGCCGAAUGGGCCGAACUGAAUAGGUUGUCCGGACUCGCCAUGAAGUGCGUCAUGAGUCAUCUGUGACUGGAGAGAUCGGAGCCGAAAAGUUAUUUCAGCUUGGUGCAGCAGUUCCUUGGUGCGGUGCCGCGUAUUAAUGCAGUGAAGAGGUCAGCAUGCAUAGAGGGUGCACGGAUGGCUCUUGCCCGUUUCAAGACAUACUGGGCGGAGAUGGAAACCACCGCUGUUGCAUCCCGAGAUUCGGACGGAAGCCGAGUACCUGCCGAGCACUAUUUUCCAGAAGUUCUGCAAGGCGCUCAUGUAAUAGAGACGCAGUGCUCUAAGGAUGCUAUAUUCGAAUAGCAUGUGUUAUUGUAAAACAAUAUUUUGAUAAAUUGUAGAAGCUUUUUAUACUUGUGCCCUCAAGUAUUGUAACACCUCCUGUGCGGCCGUUUAAGAUAUAUAUAUAUAUAUAUAUAUAUAUAUAUAUAUAUAUAUAUAUAUAAUCUGAAAGAUGACAGUCGUUGGCUUCAGCCCCCACGCAAAUAAUGCGGGGGUGUUCGCAGAAGGCGUAUUUUCACACUUGAUCCAACGUCUUGGUCCUACAAAGGAGGUGAUAGCACAUCGAACUAGGCAAUCGGACUAUAAUGCUUUAUCACUUUCACUUAGCCAUAGGAGCUUGACAGUGAGGCUACUUAGAUAGCCCCUGGUGGCGACCGCGCUCGCCCGAAUUCGGGGCGCGUAUGUGCCUGGUCGGGAAAUGGCCCUUCGUUAAUAUGGAGGAAUCCUAUAGAUUCCGGUAAGUCAUUGAGUGGUUGACCAGUCUCACGCUAUAUCAUGACAGUCAUUUUUCGGCUUUCUCUACUAAGGUGCUCGCCUGGACGAACCGGGGCACAAUCGCAGUAGUUCUCCUGGUGCCAUCUUAGCCGAUAGAGCGGAACGUAAGGCAGCAAAACACAGGAGCCGGGCAACCCAACAUUUGACCAAAGACAUGAUUCGGAGCUGAUGCAUAUAAGGCCAAACUCGCGACGCCGAACACUCCCUAAGGUAUUCGGUCUUUAUGAGGGCGGGCAAGACAACGCCUUUAGUUAUAAGCCCCUAGUGUCCAGGUACGCGCAAAAAUUCUGACGUGGCCACAUGCCAAGACGCCAGCCUCCUCCUUGGUUAUACAAAAGAAAAAACCAGGGGAUGUGUAUCAACAAGAGACAGUAAAAAAGGUUUACGCAGGGUCUUAAUCUGAAAAGAAUCCUUGGAACGGGUCCUUGCUGCACGUCUGCGCCUGUGUCUCCAUUGUGCCUUAUCCUAGACGGGCGCAACACGGUGUUCAUCUGUAAAAGAGAGGAACUUAGUUGAAAAAAGGAGCGUGCCGAACUGAAAUAAACAAAGUAUAAAUUGAAAUGGGUAAAAUUGAGCUUGAUUUUCUCUUAUUUUAUAUGCGCUGAGCCCCUAGUGCAGGGGUAUACGGCUAUUAAGCCUUUAUUAGUUAUAUGUUUAUACCGGACUCGUCUAGACGUGUCCGUGGUCUUAACGACCUGUUUAGAUGUUUUCGCUGGUGAAGCCGUUUUAUUGUGGGGCUAUUAAGGCAGCCGCACAAUGGGGGGGGGGGCGCACUCAAUGUUUUCCCUUUAAUGAGAUGAUGCCUUGUGGACCGGGCAUCUUGAGCGUAAGAGACGCAUAAUGCGGUAUUGCGUUAAAGCGGGCGAAAGCUUCGCGUCCCAGUAGUGCUUGAUAGCUACUUGAAAAAUGGGGCGAUAUGGAAGGUUAGCCUUUCACGACGGAAGUUGUCGGGGGUGCCGAACAUAACUUCUAGCCGGAGAGAGCCCGUGCAAUGGGCAACCGGGCCUGGCGUUACUCCUUGAAAGGAAGUGUUGCCAUGGCGGACUUUUGUUGGGUCUAUCCCCAUGCGGCGGAUUGUGUCCUGAUAUAACAGGUUUAGACUAUUGCCGCCGUCCAUCAGGACAUUUGUAAAGUGGAGUCCGCCAAUUAUUGGAUCUAAUACCAAGGCAGUCCAGCCUGCGUUCCUGAUACUUCUAGAGUAAUCUAGAUGAUCGAAGGUGAUUGGUUUUAACAACUAGUGGCGAGACUCCUUUGGGAUAGGCCGUACGGCGCGUACCUCUAUGGGCGCCGCUCGUUUUGUUAUGUGAAGUAAGUUUACUGUUUUUACUUCUUAUGGGAAAUUCUUUUGUUUCCUGGUGCUCUGCUUUUGGGGUUCGUCAUCGUCUUCGCUUGGUGUGUCGAGCCCCUUGUGUUCGGCGUUGAGUUUGCCGGAUUGCUUGAAAACCCAACAAUCUCUGUGGGUAUGGUUUGCAGGCUUCCCGGGAGUACUGUGUAUUUGACAUAUCUUGUCCAAGAUUUUGUUUAAAUUGGAUAGCUCGUCCCUGUUAUCCUUGAGGGGCUUAGCUGCAGUCCAGUACUCGCCUAAGUGUUUGAAAAUCCUACCGAGUGGUGAACCAGCCUCCCACUCGGGGGCUUAGUUGCAGUCCAGUACUCGCCUAAGUGUUUGAAAAUCCUACCGAGUGGUGAACCAGCCUCCCACUCGGGGGCUUAGCUGCAGUCCCAGUACUCGCCUAAGUUUAAAAAAUCCUACCGAGUGGUGACCCAGCCUCCCACUCGGGGGCUUAGCUGCAGUCCAGUACUCGCCUAAAUGUUUNNNNNNNNNNNNNNNNNNNNNNNNNNNNNNNNNNNNNNNNNNNNNNNNNNNNNNNNNNNNNNNNNNNNNNNNNNNNNNNNNNNNNNNNNNNNNNNNNNNNNNNNNNNNNNNNNNNNNNNNNNNNNNNNNNNNNNNNNNNNNNNNNNNNNNNNNNNNNNNNNNNNNNNNNNNNNNNNNNNNNNNNNNNNNNNNNNNNNNNNNNNNNNNNNNNNNNNNNNNNNNNNNNNNNNNNNNNNNNNNNNNNNNNNNNNNNNNNNNNNNNNNNNNNNNNNNNNNNNNNNNNNNNNNNNNNNNNNNNNNNNNNNNNNNNNNNNNNNNNNNNNNNNNNNNNNNNNNNNNNNNNNNNNNNNNNNNNNNNNNNNNNNNNNNNNNNNNNNNNNNNNNNNNNNNNNNNNNNNNNNNNNNNNNNNNNNNNNNNNNNNNNNNNNNNNNNNNNNNNNNNNNNNNNNNNNNNNNNNNNNNNNNNNNNNNNNNNNNNNNNNNNNNNNNNNNNNNNNNNNNNNNNNNNNNNNNNNNNNNNNNNNNNNNNNNNNNNNNNNNNNNNNNNNNNNNNNNNNNNNNNNNNNNNNNNNNNNNNNNNNNNNNNNNNNNNNNNNNNNNNNNNNNNNNNNNNNNNNNNNNNNNNNNNNNNNNNNNNNNNNNNNNNNNNNNNNNNNNNNNNNNNNNNNNNNNNNNNNNNNNNNNNNNNNNNNNNNNNNNNNNNNNNNNNNNNNNNNNNNNNNNNNNNNNNNNNNNNNNNNNNNNNNNNNNNNNNNNNNNNNNNNNNNNNNNNNNNNNNNNNNNNNNNNNNNNNNNNNNNNNNNNNNNNNNNNNNNNNNNNNNNNNNNNNNNNNNNNNNNNNAAAAAAUCCUACCGAGUGGUGAGCAAUCCUCCCACUCGGGGGCUUAGCUGCAGUCCCAGUACUCGCCUAAGUUUAAAAAAUCCUACCGAGUGGUGAGCAAUCCUUCGACUCGGAGGCUUAGCUGCAGUCCCAGUACUCGCCUAAGUUUAAAAAUCCUACCGAGUGGUGAGCAAUCCUCCCACUCGGGGGCUUAGCUGCAGUCCCAGUACACACCUAAGUUUAAAAAUCUUACCGAGUGGUGAGCGAGCCUCCCACUCGAGAGACUUAGCUGCAGUCCAGUACUCGCCUAAGCUUUCUCCACCUCAGAGCUGCAUUCCAAGCACAAGGAGUAUUCCAAGUAAAAACAAGUUCCAGUCGAAAGGAAACACCAGCAUACUCAGAAACAAACCAAGUUCGGAUAAAUCCCAAGGUUCCAAACGGCAGAUCAAAAGUAUUCGAGCAUCAAGCCCGAAGAAGUUUAACGGUUACACCAUCACUCGGCAUUCCGAGGCAAAUUUAAAGCGAAGCAUAGAAGUUUUACUCCUCAGGUGGAGGACUAGAGGGCGCGACAAACUGGUCCAGGUCAAUCCCGUCAGCAAUUCGAGUGGCAGCAGCAAUGAAGGUCUCCAUGAAAGACUGAAAGUUGUGCUUCCUGGUAUUGGCAACUUGGAGAUCCGCCAGCUUUUCCUCUCGCGCCUCCUUGCAGUGAACACGGACCAAGGGCAGAGCGACGUUAGCGCCACACCUAGCAGAAGACUUCUUCCAUUCCUGCACUUGACCUGGAACUUCAUUCAGUCGAGUCAUCAGAGACUCAAGGUCAUUUUGAAGCGUCGUUCCAGGCCAGAGCAUCAUGUCGAUCCGUGACGCCGCAACCUUCAGUCGAGCAAGGUAGUCCACCACUCCAGCAAUACGAGACUCCAGUCGGAGCACGUUCAUAGCAGCCUCAUCCUUCACCGGAGAAUGAAUGGGGUCCAAGUUCGUCUCCACUCGACUGGUCUCCUCCUCGAAGUUCUGGCAGAAUUCUGUAAACACAAUUCAAAGAUAAGUCAGUGGCUCUACAAUGGAUUGAUGACAACAAGUCAGUCGGGUAGGAGUGAUUACCCUCAAGCAUGACAAAUAACUUCUUGGCGAGCUCACCCAAAUAAGCCUCCAGAUCGUUCUUCUUCCCCGCCAGUUCACUUGCCUUGUCAUUCAGAGCUAUCUUGUCAUUCUUCAGACGGCUGGCCUCUUUGUUGGCGGCGUCGAGAGCAGUUUUUAGUUUGGAGUUCUCCUCUUCGAGAUUACCGACUGAAGCCAGCUUUUCUUCCGCAAACCUCGUUUUGUCCAAAGCCGCCUUCUGCGCCUCGGCAAGGUCAUGGUCCUUCUUCUUGAGAGCCUCCUCCAUUUUAUCUGCAAAACAAUCAACGGGAUCAACAUCAGAAAUGGGCAGAAAAGAAAGACAGUCGUCAAGUUCUCACCAGCCAUACCUUGCGCUUCAUCCCUCGCCUUCUGCAAGUUCUCCUGGGCAAGCUUCAAGUCGAGGUUGAGCUGGAUCUGUUUGUUUUCCAAUUCAGUAUAGCGAGCCACAAGCUUGCAGGAUUUUUGCAAAGAGUCAGUCGACAGACGUCAAAGAUAGGUUGCUUCCGAAGGACUAAGAGAAAAAUCGUAACAUUUCGAAGACUACCGUCGAAUCAAAAAUAUCCGACAGUAGUCUCCGGGACUACACCUAGUGGGUGCACUCAGCGUGCCCCCACUGGUUUGACCGACUCGGCUCGACCAGUCGACAGAAAGAGACUAAGAGGUUAUGAUCUCAUCAUGAUCUGCAAAAAAAGAGGGAGGUUCUUCAGACCUUAGUCGACUGCCAGCAAUCGACCAUGGUCUCGGGGACUACACCCAGUGGGUGCACUCAGCGUGCCCCCACUGGUUCCAAGAUCCCAUUCGAAAUGGCCUGACCAGACCGAGUGAAGAAAUUCGAGUAAAGCAGCACAAUAUAAAGACUACAGUCGACUGCCAGCAGUCCACCGUAGUCUCGGGGACUACACCCAGUGGGUGCACUCAGCGUGCCCCCACUAGUCCAAAAAAUUCAAUCGACACACCCAGUGGGUGUACAGAUGCAAAGAUCUUCGGAAAAGAGAGUCUUUAGAUAACACAUCCCAACAGAACAAGCGAUGGUCAACUAACCUGGACAUUGCUUUGAAGAGCUGAACUGGCAUCAUAGGCCGCUUGGCUGGCUUCUCGGACCACCUUCACCUGCUCCAUCAUGAUCCCCGCCUGGCGUAUAGCCUCUUUAGCAGCACCCACUUGGUCCUCUGGGAUGUGGUGUGUGGCAAAAAGGGAGGGCGGAUCAGCAGUCGACGAUGAAGGCCGAACACUCGUCAGCGGCACAACGAAGGACACAGAAGUCCGAGUGGUGUUACCACCCUCCUGAACUACUGUCUCAGGCGCUGACGCAGUUUGUGGUGUCUUGCCAGUUGACUCCUUCCUAUUCUUCCUCGCCCUCAGCGGCACUUCGUCAUCAUCAUCAGGAAGAUCAAUGACAUGAGGAGGAGCUAUAAGAAAAAUCCAAAGUUAAAGACGAAAAUCCAAUCGACCAGAGGAGACCGUCAAUCGACUAAGAGUGAAACAUCAAAAACUAUACCAAGGUUGGAGGUAACAGCGUCUUCCAUUUCCUGGUCGUCGUUCUUGGCGGAGAUCUCGGAGGUAGCAGCACUGCAGAUUUCAGAAACCAGUCGGUUUAGUCAAUGAGUCGACCAAGAGUUCGUCCAUGUUCAACAAAAAAAGCAAGUUCUGCUGUUACCCGGAAAUGGUGGGAACGGUCAUCUUCAUCUUGGGCAAGGCCUUCAGUGGCUUUGACGACGCCGCUCGUGGAUGCUUUGGCGCUUUUUCAGUCGGCGCUGGGGAAGACGUCCGAGGGCGUUUUGACGACUGCCCAACAGGCACGGUCGCCCUGCCUCGUUCGCGCGCAGGGUCGUGGGUGAGCUUGGAUCGCCUUUCCGUGCGGGGAGGAUCGACUUCUUCCUCCUCCUACUCUCCACUGGAGUCGUCGUCAUCAUCCUCCUCCCCUUCACCGUCAGAUUGCCACUCUUCUCCAGUUUCGCCUCCGCUCGCUUCCCCCUCCUCGACCUGCUCUUGCGCCCCGUUGGGCAUCGAGUACAUAUCAGUAAUGGUCUGGAAGACAACAAACAAGACAAAAGUCAGUCGACUAUUUUUAAGCAAACAAAAUGAAGAAAGCAAGGUCACAGUCAAAGAUGCAGAAUCGGACCUGGUCUACUUCGUACGUCUGGUCGAGGGGAGGAAUCCUCCUGGCUCCUCGGGGGUUGUCCUUGUUCCCUGUGAUACUUGACAGCCACCCUUCCAACGUCGCAUCGUCGACCUCCUUUGGAUGAAUCCGAGUGGUGUCAUCGAGACCCGAAUACAUCCACAUCGGAUGGUCACGAGCUUGGAGUGGCUGGAUGCGCCUCCGAAGGAAGACCUCUAAUAAAUCCAUGCCAGUCACCCUGUCGCGGACAAGCUGAACCACUCGACCGACCAACACUUUGACUUGCGCCUUUUCUUCUGGUGUCACUCUCAGAGAGGAAGGUUUUUCUGCUUGGUUCAGGGAGAAAGGGGGAAGGCCCGUCGCCUGUCCUGGAGUCGCCCGGUCUUUGCAGUAGAACCAGGUCGACUGCCACCCGCGGACUGACUCGGGAAGAGUCAUAGCUGGAAAAGAACUUUUGCUUCUCAUUUGGAUCACAAGGCCCCCGCACAUCUGAAUCACUUGCGUCCUCUCAUCACUCGACUUGGCUUUCUUAACCGACUGAGAACGACAAGUGAAAAUGUGCUUGAGGAGGCCCCAAUGGGGACGGCAACCCAAGAAAUUCUCGCACAAAGAUACAAAGGCAGCAAGAUACACGAUGGAAUUUGGAGUAAAGUGAUGGAGCUGCACUCCGAAAAAGUUCAAGAAACUCCGGAAGAAAGAAUGAGGAGGCAGAGAAAAUCCGCGGUCGAUGUGAGUGGUGAAGAGGACGCACUCACCCUCGCGAGGCUGAGGUUCGAUCUCGUUCCCCGGGAGACGCGCAGAUUCAUGGGGAAUGAAUCCCCCGUCGAUCAGAUCAUCGAUGUCAUCUUGCCGAAUCGCCGAGGGCAUCCAAUCGCCCUAGAUCCAGUCCUUCGGCAGAGCGAACCUCGAAGAAGAUCCGCCCCGACCGGACUUCCUGGCCUUCGCCCGCUUCGUCGCUUUCUUCGCACGCUCCAGGGCCGUCGUCUUCUCCUUCACCAUCGCCGCGGAUGAAGCUCGAACAGGCCGUCAACGCUGAGACGAGAGCAGAGGUGGCGGAAGAAUUCGAGAAGGAAGGGGAAAUGUGAAGGCGCACUGUUCAAAAGCCCUGGCCCGGCAGCUUAUAUGGGGUCGCUUCCGAGUGACUGACCUGUAGGCCCAGGCGAUCCUGUUAAAUCCCGCAAUAGUCACGCACGCGAUACAUGGCGAAAAAGGUGGCGUGGAGAUCGAGGAGGCUCCAUUCUAUCCCAUCCGAUUACUGCGGCCUCCUUCGUCCCCGCGCUUCCCGAAAUUCGAAUCCCGCGAAAUCCGCGGGCAGCAGAACAACUCGUCAGAUGGAGGAUCCCCUCCACACAACCACUCGGGAAUCUACAAGUAAAGGAAUUCACUCGAUUAAAGAAAACUAAGAAUGGAUCAAGGUGACUGAAAAAGAAGUUGGUGACGUCACCCAGGUUCAUUGAUCCGAAACAAGGUGUACUCAUGGCACGAAGAAUGGGUCGGAAGAAUUCUCAACUCCUUCCCCACUCAAACCUCGAUCCAUUCAGGGGCUAAUGAUGAAGCUAUGUACCUAGGGUAGGGUCAUGGACCUAUCCUAACUGCCCUACCCAAGGACAUCCCUAGAAGAAAUCACCUUUCAAUCGACUUGGAGGUGUUCCACUCGACAGACUCGAAGACACUCGACCACGAAGCAACCACUCGACCAAGACCCAACCACUCGACGGCCAGGAGACCUAAAGUCACUCCGCACGCUAACGGUCGGUCAUUGAGUAGCUUUUAUGGUCAUCAUAGCACUUUAUUAGAGGCGUUACCAGUAACGCCCGACCUUAAUGUACUUAAAUCCCUGCAUAACUGAGGGCCGGAGGGGCCUGGCGAACUCUAUAUAAGCCACCCCCCUCCUCAGUGUAAAGGGUUCGCACCCCUGUAAUUCAUACACACAUAAUCCAGUCGACCGCCUCUGGGCUCCGAGACGUAGGGCUAUUACUUCCUCUGAGAAGGGCCUGAACUCGUAAACCUCGCGUGCUUACAACUACUCCAUAGCUAGGAUCUUGCCUCUCCAUUCCUACCCCCUACUUUACUGUCAGACUUAGAACCACGACAGGUACGACUGCUGGUACAAGCGUGACUACUCGUACCACACCCUAUCGUGCCUCUAUUAAAUUUUUACCAAUGCCAAGAGACUCGGUAGUGCUCGUACCAUGGGCCAAAUUCUUCUUUGAAUGGAGGCAAUGUCUUUGACGACAUGGUAAAACCUAUGUUACAAGCACGAGCACUCAUACCAUAGGCUGUCUUCCCCUUUGACCCCAAAACCUUAAAAGCAUUUUCUUUUUCCCAUGUGUUGGCACCCUAGUUAGACCAUCGGUACGAGCCUGGCCGCUCCGACUAGAGGUCGUCUUUCUCUCUAGAAAAUAAGAUAGUUUUUGCCAAAACCCAGUAUGUACACGUGUGCGAGCACCAGCGCUUGACCCACCCUGUCUUUUUCUCUGGUUCCGUGAUAACUUGCAAAUUCUCUAGAAAUUUGCUUGUUUGUUUCCUAAUCUUAUUUUCUUAUCCUUAUCUCAUGAAACUGUGUGGUUAUGCCCUAAGGGGACCACCGGCGGAUUGUUGACCCAAAUUGUCAUUUCUGGUACCGACCAUAUUCUCUUUAGGCGGUUAUGCCCUAAUAGAAGUCAUACGUCUGGUACUAAUUGGAAGGAUCGAUGCGAUCGACUAGAGGGGGCGAACUACAAGUUUUAGGCUUAUCUUCUAAUUUUAGGGAAUUCUGGAUAAUGUAGGUUCUCUAUUUGUGCAACUAUGUGAACACAACCUGUAUGGAAAAUAAGCUCAAAGCAAAGUACGAUAGGCAACAAUCUAAUUAGCAAGCCAACAAGCAAGCAAGUGAAGGGAGAGAAAUGAUUAACCACCAAUUAGCCGACGAUGCGUAUAUUAUCUCAAAGUUCACACACUUCUGGGAGUGCUAAUCUCCAUUGGAGCAGUGCCAAAACCCAAGUCUGGAAAGCCACCAUGUGGAUCACUAUAUACUACCUUUGAGUCACCCCAAGGGAUAAGCCUCGAAUCACUCGGGGUUUGUCUCGAUGGCAACCACCACACCUUUACAAACUUCUCUAUGGCACACCAGAUGCAUGGAAACUUCUGGAGGAACCUAUACCACCUAGAUUAGUGAUGGCCCGUGCUUCCCUACACACCUUCACUCCCUUAAGCUUAUGUUCUUCCUUGGCUUUAUUCAGCAAAGCAGUCAAUCCUUCAGUAUGUAACAUAAACAAAUAAGGUGACAAUUGAUCACCUUGUCUCAAGCCUCUGGUUUGUUUAAAAGUUUCUGUUUCUUUUGAGUUAAAACGUACAUGGUAUUCCACUGUACUAAUACAUUGCAUAACCAGUUUAACCCACUCUUCAGGAAAUUCCUAUUUCAGUAGAAUACCUUCCAAAUACAGCCAUUCAACUCGGUCAUAUGCCUUAUACAUGCCCAGCUUCACUACACACCAACCAUUAUGGCCAUCUCUCAUCUCCUUUAUCACAUGAAAACUUUCAUAGAUAGUCAAUCACACUCAAUUAGCUAGAGUAUAGAAGCCCUAAGGCUCCCGCUCCUAACCCUACCCUCACUCCCGCUCCAGUGUCGUGCCGCAUCGGAGCGCCCCUUCCUCCGGUCCUCUCCAACACCAUCUCCCCUACCGCCACCGCCGGGGGCUCGCGGGCAAAGCUCGUGUGCCGCAGCGGUGGGGGCGAUGCUUGUCCUCGGCAAUAUCUGGUCAGAGGCAACGGUUGAUUGCUUGUAUCUGCGUUGGUAAUUCCCCGAAGAGGAGAGAAUGAUGCAGUACAACAAAGGUAAGUAUUUCCCUCAGUUAUGAAACCAAGGUUAUUAAUCCAAUAGGAGAACCAAGCAACACUAUGUAAACAACACCUGCACACAAACAACAAAAACUUGCAACCCAACGCGUAGAGGGGUUGUCAAUCCAUCCUCGGUAUUGAGAUAGAUAAAAUUGUAUGAGAUUUGAUAAAUAUAUCUAACUAAAACACACACAGAAAAGUGCAACACGGUAUUUUUAGAUUUAAUAUGAUAGGAAAUAGAUCCGGGGUUUGUAAAUUUCACUAGAGGCUUUUCUCAAGAAAAUAGCAUACGGUGGGUAAACAAAUUACAGUUGGGCACUUGAUAGAAAAGCGAAUAAUCACGACGAUAUCCAAGGCAAUGAUCAUGUAUAUAUGCAUCACGUCCAAGAUUAGUAGACCGACUCCUGCCUGCAUCUACUACUAUUACUCCACACAUCAACCGCUAUCCAGCAUGCAUCUAGUGUAUUAAGUUCAUGGAAAAACAGAGUAAUGCAAUAAGAACGAUGGCAUUAUGUACACAAGAUCUAUUCAUGUAGGAAUAGACCCCAUCUUGUUAUCCUUAAUAGCACGAUACAUGCGUGGCAUGUCUCUUUCUGUCACUGAGAUUGAGCACCGCAAGAUCGAACCCAUCACAAAGGACCUCUUCCCAUGAUGAGAAAAAUCAAUCUAGUUGGCCAAACCAAACCAAAGUUUCGGAGAAGAAAUACGAGGCUAUAAAAUCAUGCAUAAAAGAGUUCAGAAAAGACUCAAAUAAUAUUCAUGGAUAGAACUGAUCCUAAACCCAUAAUUUAUUGGAUCCCAACAAACACACCGCAAAAAGUCAUUACAUCAAAUAGAUCUCCAAGAACAUCGAGGAGAACAUUGUAUUGACGAUCAAAAAGAGAGAAUAAACCAUCUAGCUACUACCUACGGACUCAUAGGUAUGUGGUAAACUACUCACUCAUCAUUGAAGGGGCAACAAGGAUGAUGAAGAACCCCUCCAUGAUCGUUGCCCCCUCCGGCAGAGUACCGGAGAAGGCCUUGUGGCACCCCAGCUCAGAGCAACCGGUUUACCUUGCAUUGCCAGCCCAGAGAUCUAGUCUUCUGGCAAUACACAACAACAUGGUACAUAAACAACGACUUUAUUGAUGCUAGCGGAUUACAUAAGUCUGACAUUACAUCAAGAUACGAGGCCAAGCGACACACACGGUGCUGCUAGACAGUAUGUACAUUAUUUAAUGAACAUGACGGGGCCUCGAUCACACGAACUAUGCGGUAGCGGAAGAACGACGAAGUGGCACUCCAUAGCACAGGGACACCGACGUGGACACGGCCUAGACACAAGAUGCGCUCCGAUGCAAACCGAGUUGCCUGAAAGCUGGCAUAACACGCCAGGUCAGUACAUUGAAUGUACUUGCAAGCUCACAACAAACAUAAGCACGAUGACAAACAAUAUCAGGAUAAUUAAUCAGGUUAAUUCAAUGCAAGAAAAACUAUAGAUGCAAUGCAAACCAUGCGUGCUCCGAGUCUCACGGACUCGCUUACCAGACGGUUACAUAGUAACCAAACGAUGACCAUACCGGGGUCACACCUGAAACCAUUCACUCAUGAACACCUCAAGAGUUCAUGAUUCACUAUGAACCAAUGCAUCACAACAAUUACUUAGUUUGCAAGAUUAAUUAUAAAAGUUGAUCCAUGGUGUGACUUACUCACGAGUUAUUCCCAUAACCGAGGACGCGGAUAUCGAUAGAUUAAAUACACUCUGUAGAGGUAGCGCACUUUACCCACACUAUGGAACACCUGGCCUCGUAUUCCCAUUCGGGUGGACCAAAGCAUUCCGACGAAACCCUCCCUUUGUCAUGCACUCUCCCCGGCCACUCCGACCAACUCCCACUCAGGGCUAGGUCUUGGGUGGCCCCGUGUCUACCAAAGACACCAACGGCCACUGUCGUGCCAAAACGGUCCCAAACGGGGACAAGGUACCAGAAAAACAAAAAUGAGCACAUAAGGUUAUGUCUGCCUACCAGGCCAGGGUAUGCACACCCAUAACCUUCCCUCGCGGGAGGCACCGGUGAGAGCCACAACAAAGGACCGAAUCAAGACCUUCCCACAAGGUAAAUGUGGUCACACUGAAUUAGAAACCCAAUUCAGUGGCACCAUGAUGUGAUCAACAUCAUAUUCAAUUUGAACUUAAUCAAAUUUAACUUUGAUAAAAACUUUUUAUCAUUAACAUGAUAUAAUGCCAAUAAUCAUGCAACUACUCGUCAUGCAAAGCAAACAACUCAUAGUCAUGGAUCAAACUUAACAACAUGAUUAUCUUGCAAUACGUAAGAUCAAAACUCUCUGGUUAUAACUCAUUUUUAUUAUCAAGCAAUAUUUUUAUUAGUUCAUCAUUUAAAUAAAAAGUAUCACUUAAUAAAAGAACUUUCAUUAUUUACCACAACAACAUAGCUAGUGCAAAAUCUUAUUCUACUUGACCAAACAAGUUCAUGCAUUCAACCAGUAACUAAAACAAGUAUAUCAAGCAUACUAAAGUAACUAACAAUUAACCAAAUUUAUUUAUCAAAUUUUAAAUGCAAAUAAGAACUCAUAUUUAAGUAGAAAAUCACAGUUAUUGAAAUAACACCAUCCAAAUGCUGGUGUGGCUUGCCUUAGUGUAGAGGAGGAUCACACCCCUCUUGGUUUGCUUCAAGACAAGCUUCUCCUUCUGAAAAGAAUUUAAAACCAUAAAAAUAAUUUUCAAAACACAUUCUGAAAAUCACCAGAAAUUCUAGGCAGCAAGGAAAAAUCCACCUUUUGGUGUGCUGCUAGAGCUUUCUGAAACAAAGACAAUGCAAAAAGAAUCAAAUCAUUUGGACUUAUGGUUUAGAAAUGGUGGCUCGUCAAAGUUUAGUCAAAUUUCUGAAUAAUAUUUGAAUUAAACAGAAAUCCUGGGGGGGUGACGUCGAAGGCGUAAAACAGAAAUACGCCUCCACUCGUACCGCUUCGAGCGCGAGUGGUGAGACCGACAGGUGCGUCCCAUGUGUCGGUGGGAAACGACACCUAUGGAUCACGGGAAUCCCUUUCUGCGGUUGCGGGGCGCGGGGGUCGUGAGAAGAGCGGAUCGAGCAGGCAGUACACGAUUCCUUUACCUAGGUUCGGGCCACGAAGAUGCGUAAAACCCUACUCCUGCUUUGGUGGAUUAUAUGUUUGUGUUCUUGAGCUAGCUAUGGGGCAUGAGGAGCUCCAAAAAGCCGAAUCCUCUUCCUGGUCACCUGGGGCCUCCUUUUAUAGGGAAAGGGGCUGCCACAGUGGCACACAGGAGGUGGAAAGGGUACAGUGAUGCGAGGUUAUCCCUCGCAUUACAUGACAAGGUGCAUUUAAUGCGCCUUGCUUAGGUGUCCUUGCUUUAUCGGGGGCGGGGGAGAGCCCUGUCUCGUCCGUCGCCACUCUCUCCCGCGUCGACACGUGCCCUGGCCAGCGGUGGGUCUCCACGAGGAUCUGCAUGCCGCCACGCAGGUGCCUGCCCAGCUGGUUGGGUCGACAGCUGCAUAUGAAUGGUGGUGGAGGUGUGACUGGCGCGGGUCCGAUGGUGGCCCCGCGGGUGUCCUUGGCAAGGGCCUUGCCGGGACCCCGGCAAGGGUCUUGCCACGGCGCCUGCUGUCAUCCCCGUCAAGGCUCUUGCCGGGGGCCUUGUGGUCCUUCUUGGCUGGAAUCCCGCCAAGGGUCAUCACCUUUUUAAGUGGGCAUCUGGUCUUGAAUGUCUUCACAAAGAUCUGCACGCCACCAUGGGGAUCUCUCCCGAAUCCUUGCCCCAUGGGGGCAGUGGACUCAAGGGUGACCCGCUCCGUAGGUGUGGGGCGAGCUGCCACGGCAAGGGUCUUGCCGGGUUGGCAAAAACCGCCUCCCGGCAAGGAUCUUGCCGGGAGGGGCCCGCUUCGCCCCCUUUGCUCUUUGUGGUCUUGGUCUUGGCGUCGUUCUGCUCCUCUUUGGCUUCGGCCUCACCUUGGCUUACCUCCCUUGCCUUGCUCAGUGUGGUAGUGCCUGUGGCUCAGACUGCCCGUGCACAGUUAUAGGGGUACAAAAAGUGUACCCCUCUUUUUGUACACCGACAGGAUCCCCCAGGCCUGGGCCACACGUAAGCGCAAUCGCGUCAUUGGGCUAGGCCCAAAAACGGUGCGCGGGCAGGCGGGGCGGUUUUUACCGCGGUAAGUUUCUUUGCGCGUUGCGCUCCCCACGCGUCCCGCGCGUGGCGCGGCGUGGGGAGGCGUGUGUGACGUGAGCGGUGUGCGUGGGGCUGAGCUCCGCAUGCAUGCAUCAUGUUGUAGUAAAGGAGGCGGUUCGCGCCUUCCCCAUAAACGGAGGGAGGCGUGGAGGCGCGUUCCAUUUAUUGGACGGGGCCGAGGCGUGGUCUUCGAGGCGUCCACUCCCCACGAUCACGGGGUGGGGAGAGGUCGCCUUAUCCGUCGCCUCGGUUCUGCACGCCUGCCACACGACGCUUGGGGUGGCGAACGGUGGAGGCGGGAAACCAGGCCGUCGUGGGCCGAGGCAGCGGGUCGGUCCCAGUUCCCUGCGCCUUCUGCGUCUUGAUUGGCUGAGCGGGGCGGCCGAGCCCCCACCCCGUUCCUUUAUAAGGAGCGGGAGGGGGAGGAUGGCACCCCGCAUUCUUUCAUCUCCUCCUUCCUUCAGCGUCUGCUCCCCCUCCCAUCCGCUAUGGAGAGAGGGAACCCUGGUCCUUCAACGGUGGCGGCGAGGGUCGCCGCUCGACAACGCGUCCCUCCUUCUCCCGCACCUACGGUGGCAGAGCCAGCCGCAAGGGGAAGAGGGAGGGGGCGAGGCCGUGGGCGAGGUCGAGGGCGAGGUCGAGGCGCUCGGGGAAGAGGAGGACGGGGCGGCACGCCGGCCUCGCCUCCGCCAGUGGUUCCUCUUCCCAUGGCGGUCCAUAUUGGGGACGACCCUUGCGAGUUCUUCGUCAGGGUGCGUCGGCCGCCUCGUCGUCGCCUUCGUCUCCCGACUCCAUUCGCGCGGGAGAUGGAGCUGGAUCCGCCGGAGUCUCUGCGGCUGCACAUGAGGGGUUGCGGGAUUAGCGGCACACGGGUUCGCGUUGAUUUCCCAGCCCCUCACAUGAUGUAUCUUCGUCGAGGAUGGAAGACGUUCGCUCGCAUCCACAGCCUAACGGAGGGGCUCACUCUCCAUUUCAAGCUGAUGGAGGGUGGCCUCCUCUCCAUCAAGGUCUUCGGGCUCUUCGGGACCCGUGCAAGGUGCUGUGUGGAGAGUUCUUCCGAUAGCGAAGACUCUUCCUCGGGCGGGAGUGACGAGGAGGACAGCGGCAGCGACGACGAGGGCGGUAGGCGGCAGGAUGACGGGUCCGACUAGGUGUCGAGCGUCGCUCCGUGCGGCACCGGCGUCCCCAUCAUCCGUGUCGCCGGCUCCCUGAACUUCUCGGGGUCGUCUCCUUGGGCGGCUGGUGUUGGGAGGCUACGGAAGAGAAAGAGGGCGGGCGGCAAGGCUGUCAAGUCGGAGUACGUGGGCGUGAUGCCCUCGACAGCGUGCUGAUGUCCUACUGCCUCGUCUUCGAGCCCUGCUUCCGGCGCCGCCAUCACCAUCCAGCCUUUGGACGGCCACCGAGAUGUUCUCUUGGUGUCUUCUGGCACCCGUAGCUCGCCUAGGCGCCUCUUUUGCCCUUUUCGCCUCCUUGACCUGCCUCCUGAGGAGAGGGACAAGAAAAGGAUUACGGGCACCUUAUCUCUUUUUAGUUUGUAAGCCUUCGGGCCUUAGCUGAAUUUAAAACUUGUAAUCCCAUCAUUCAUGUUUUUCAUUCCCUACAGACUGUACCUGAAUGGAAUGUUUUUAAUGAAAAAGGGAUGUUUGCCGGGCCAUUUGUUGGCGGGUAGAACCCACGACAAGGAGUAAACCCUUGAUAUCUUUAAGAUAAACAUUUCCUCGCCCGGCAACAGGCCUUGCCGUCUCUCCACCUCACUCGACCCUUCUCACGCCCUUGGCGGAGGCAGGGAUGAGGCGGGUUCAGGCUCCUCAUUUCACCCUUUUGCUGUCGCGGCUACGCUCAAACCUGGCCCCAGGAGCGAGUCCUAGGGCCUAGAGUUAGAGGAGCAUAGUAGCUUUUAGGAAGAAACGAGGUUUCACAUACCUCAGUCCAUAAGGGAAUGCAUGACAAGGGAUGAAGAACUUAUCUAAAACUGCAGCCCCCGGCAACUCUGGUUCGCCGUGGGUGAAUCUUUGUACUUGCAGCCCCCGGCAACACUGGCUUGCCGGGGUCCAGAUGCUGGUCCGUCCCUCUUCGCCCCUUUUUUAUCCUCAAGAGAUCCGACAAGGAUAUCCGAGCCCUGCGAACCAAGGGAGACAAAAGAACGGCAAAGAGACGCACACUCGACCUCUAAGCUAGGGGUUAGCCGCCGCUAAGCACUAUCAACCCUAACCAAGGACGAGACUCGAUCUAGCAUGCAUGCUAUAACUUAGGGCGCCAGCGCUUCAUUUAUGCUCAGGGUCUGCGCCUGGCUUUGUACAAAGGGUUACAUGCAUCAUCGGCAAUGCUUGUACAAAAGGUGGCUUGCUGGGAGGCCCGACAAGCCGUGCCUUAUGGGUAAAACUUGCGAAGAUGCUCGAUGUUCCAGGAGUUGCUCACCGGAACGGCAUCUUCGGUCUCCAGGCGGACUGCACCGGGCCUGGUGACUCGUAUUACCCGAUAAGAGCCUUCCCACUUCAGCGUCAACUUGUUGGAAUUCUUGGCUGAUUGAACGCGCCGAAGAACAAGGUCACCUUCCUCAAGGCUCCGGGCAUGAACCUUGCGGCUAUGGUAGCGACGCAAGGCUUGCUGGUAGCGUGCUGCUCUCACAGCCGCCCGAAGACGAUCUUCCUCAAGGGGCAGUGCGUCGUCUUGCCGCAGUUGCUCUUGCUCAAGCUCAUCAUAAGCAAGCACUCGAGGUGACCCGUAUAUGAGUUCAGUGGGGAUAACUGCUUCUGCCCCGUAUACCAGGGCAAAGGGUGUCUGGCCGGUGGCUCGAUUUGGUGUCAUCCUGAUUGACCAAAGAACCGUCGGCAACUCAUCAAUCCAGCGCCUUCCGCUCUUGUGCAGUCUGUCAAAGGUCUUGGUCCUUAAGCCUCGCAACACUUCAGCAUUUGCCCUCUUAGCUUGCCCGUUGCUCUGCGGGUGAGCGACGGAAGCGAAUCAGACUUUGCCGCCGAGAUCCUGAGUAUAUUGCAUGAAGGUGCGGCUUGUGAACUGCGUACCGUUGCCGGUGAUGAUCCGGUUGGGUACACCGUACCGGCACACUAGCCCCUUGAAGAACUUGACGGCUGACUGAGCUGUGACCUUCCUCACUGCCUCCACUUCUGGCCACUUUGUGAACUUGUCGAUGGCUACGUACAAGUACUCAAAGCCCCCGACAGCGCGGGGGAAAGGGCCCAGUAUGUCGAGCCCCCAGACCGAGAAGGGCCAGGAGAGAGGAAUGGUUUGAAGGGCUUGAGCUGGUUGAUGAAGCUUUCUUGAAUGGAACUGACAUGCCUCACACCUGGUGACGAGUGUCGUUGCAUCCUGGAGGGCGGUGGGCCAGAAGAAACCCUGCCGGAAUGCCUUGCCGGCAAGGGCUCUCGACCCAAUGUGGGAUCCACAUAUGCCUCCAUGUAUCUCUGCGAACAGCUCCAGUCCUUCCUCUCGAGGGAUGCACUUCAAUUUCACACCGUUCGGUCUCUUCCUGUAUAGGACGUCAUCGACGAACUGGUACAUGGCAGAGCAACGGGCUACUUUUUCCGCUUCUUCCUGCUCCUCAGGAAGCUCCCCUGUCUGGAGGAAUCAGACAGUAUGUUGUGCCCACGCUGGAGCCUGAGGCUCGACGGCGAGGACUAAAGGCAGUUCCUCCGCUAUAGGGGCGACCGUCUCGACGGCAAGAGCUCGGCGUCCUACCGGAGCUAGCCGUCCCGUGGCGGGUUCAGUGUCCUCAGCAACAUCCUUGCCGGCGGCUCCGGGGAGCUCGGCGGGAAAGUACUUGCCGGGUCCUGAUUUCCUUCUCUUGUUCUGUUCUGUUGAUGGAUCAACAGAUGGCUGAGUUAGCUGAAGCACAAAGGUACCUGGUUCCACAGGUAGCUUGAGGGCAACGCGCUUCGACAGGUAAUCGGCGAUAUCGUUCUCCGUUCGGGGAACGUAUUUAGCCUGGAUACCGUCGAAACGCUCUUCCAGCUUUCUCACUUCAUCGACGUAGGCCUUCAUCAACGGGCUCUGGUAAUCCUUAUUGACUUGCUUGACGACAAGCUACGAGUCGCCCCUGACGAUGAGCUUUUUGAUUCCAAGGUACAUCGCGAUCCUAAGACCGGCAAGCAGCCCUUUGUAUUCCGCCGUGUUGUUUGUUGACGCCUCCCUGGGGAAGUGCAUCUGGAUCACGUACUUGAGGUGCUCUUCAGUGGGGGCGACGAGCAGUAUGCCAGCCCCGGCACCCUGGAGGGAGAAAGCCCCAUCAAAGUACAUAAUCCAAUCGCAACUUGCCUCCUUGCCGGGGAGAGAAGUCUCUUGGGCUUCUUCGUCAGGUGUGGCGGUCCAUUCUGCAAUGAACUCUGCCAGGACUCGGCUCUGGAUCGUCGAAGUACUUUCAAACUUGAGGCCAAAGCUGGACAGCUCCAGUGCCCAUUCCACAAUCCUCCCCAUCGCAUCUGGGUUGUGCAAUAUCCGCUGCAGAGGGAGGCGAGUGACGAUAGUGAUCUCGUGUGCCUGGAAGUAGUGACGCAGCUUCCUCGAGGCCAUGAGGAGGCCGAAGAGCAGUUUCUGCACACCGGAGUACCUCGACCUAGCCCCCUGCAAGAGGGAGCUAACAAAGUAGACCGGGCGCUGCAUCACUUUCUUCUUUGGCGGCACCUCGACCAACUGUGUCACCUCCGCACUGGUGGCGUCGGGCUCUGUUGCUGCCAUUACCUCGUCGUCGACCUCCCUCUGCGCCACUAGUGCAGCGCUGACCACCUGGUUCAUUGCCGCUAAGUAGCAGCAACGGCUCCUGGGGCCUGGGCGCAACUAGUAUUGGUGCGGAGGAGAGGUACUUCUUCAGAUCUUGCAAUGCCGCUUCGGCUUCCGGUGUCCACUCCAUCGGGCCCACCUUUUUCAGGAUCUUGAAAAAGGGAAGGGCGCGCUCGACGGACUUGGAUAUGAACCUGCCCAGGGCCGCGACGCAACCAACGAGCCGGCGCACAUCCUUCAUCCACUUGGGUGCUUCAAUCUGUUCUAUAGCUUUGAUCUUGUCCGGGUUGGCCUCUAUCCCCCGCUGCGACACAAAGAACCCGAGAAGUUUGCCGGAUGGGACACCAAAGACGCACUUCUCAGGGUUCAGCUUGAGGUUGAUCUUGCGCAGAUUUGCAAAUGUCUCCCGCAAGUCUGAUAUGAGGGUGGCCCUGUCCUUGGUUUUGACCACUAUGUCAUCCAUAUAAGCCUCCAUAUUUCUAUGGAGCUGGGGCUCAAAACCAAUCUGGACCGCCCUCGCAAACGUCGAUCCAGCACUCUUCAACCCGAAAGGCAUCCGCAUGAAACAAUACGUACCACAUGGGGUGAUGAAUGCUGUUUUCUCUUCGUCUUCUUUUGUCAUGAAGAUCUGGUGGUACCCGGAGUAGGCAUCGAGGAAUGACAACAGAUCACACCCAGCCGUGGAGUCAACAAUCUGGUCGAUGCGCGGCAACGGGAAGGGGUCUUUAGGACAAGCCUUAUUGAUAUCUGUGUAAUCAAUACACAGUCUCCACUUCCCAUUUGCCUUGCGCACUACGACCGGAUUGGCCAACCACGUCGAAUGGAGCACUCCUCUUACCAAACCCGCUGCCUCCAGUUUCCGGAUUUCUUCUAUGAUAAACUCUUGUCGUUCCAAAGCUUGCUUUCUGACCUUCUGCUUGACGGGCCGCACAUGAGGACAGACAGCAAGGUGGUGCUCAAUCACCUCCCUGGGAACGCCGGGGAUGUCGGAAGCUUGCCAUGCAAACACAUCGACAUUUGCCCGCAGGAAGGUGAUGAGCGCGUCUUCCUAUUUGUCGUCAAGGGUGGAGCUUAUGGUGAAAGCUCCUCCCGUGCCGUCCUCGUUGACGGAAACCUUCUUGGUUCCCGGCGGCGUGGCCCUGGACCUCUUGCUUCCGCCGGCGGAGCUCUUUGGCACGUCCUCGACGGCAGCGCUACACUCCAAAGAGGUGCGCUUGCCGGAGUGGGUGUCCGAGGUCUCACCGGCCUUCUUCUUCUCCCCCCCCGGGGUCCCGGCAGCAGGAGCGAGUGCCCCAGCGGCGGCAGCUGCUGCGACUGCUUGCUGGUACACUUGAUCAGCGCAAAUCAGCGCAUCCUUCUUGUCGGAGGGGAUGGUGAUGACCGUCACGGGCCCUGGCAUCUUCAGGGUAUUGUAGGCGUAGUGCGACACCGCCAUGAACUUGGCCAGCGCUGGGCGGCCAAGGAUCCCGUUGUAGGGCAAGGGGAUACUGGCAACAUCAAACACAAUCCUCUCCGUCCUGAAGUUCAGGUCGGUCCCGAAAGUUACGGGCAACGUGACCUUUCCCUUGGGUUGGCUUCUCCCCGAGCUAACCCCUUGAAACGUGUCCAUUUCUUCGAGGUCUCCAUCAGGGAUCUGCAGCUUCUCGACCAUGGCAGGCGAGAUCAAGUUCAGACCGGCCCCGCCAUCUACUAACAUUUUUGUCACCUUGAGGUUGCGUAUUGUUGGUGACACCAACAAUGGCAAGCAACCGACCGCAGUAGUGCGAUCAGGGUGAUCCUCAGAGUAAAAAAUGAUAGGUGUGCUGGACCACUUCAGCGGCCUCUGGGCAUCAAAUGACGGCUCUGCUGCUGUAAUUUCUCGCGCCCACUGUUUAAGCCAGCGCCGAGAGGCAUGCAGCGAAGCGCCGCCGUCAACGCACAUGGCCUCUGUAGCUUUCUGAAACUCUUGGUCGCCGGACUCGUCGUCCUCUUCGUGAUUGUCAUCUCCUGGCUUUUUGUCACGGCCCCGAGCGGGCCUCUCUUGUUGCUUGUCCUUGCCGCGACGGCCCGCCUGGCCGUCGCGUUUCUUGCCGGAUCCUUCAGCACCGUCUUGGCCCUUCUCCUUGUCCCGCCUCUCAUAUUCAGCCCUCUGCUUCUCAGCGAGGAGCUCAACCUGCCGGCAGUCUUGGAGAGCAUGGCCUUUGGUGCGAUGGAUCUUGCAGUAUCGCUUGUCGGAGUUGCCUGGCUUCUCGGCAACCGCCAAGGCCUGGCAGGCGACACAUCCGGCAAUUUCCUUGCCGGGGUCACCUGCCUUGGUCUUCUUGGUGGAGCCGGUGUCGUCAGACCCCUUGAUAGCAAGCACAGCUUUCCCUUUGCGCUUCCUGUUGCGGCGCCGGCCUUUCUUCGCCGGGGCGGCGGUGUCUUCUUCCGAGGAGUCGGUUUCCACGCCGGCAUCUUCGCCGGGGUACUUCCUCCCCUCUUCAGCCCGGGCACAUUUGUCCGCGAGAACAUAGAGCUCCGCGAGAUCUUUCACCUUGUUCAUCACCAGCUCUUCGCGCAUCUUGCGGUUCCGAAUGUUCUGAUGGAACGCGUUGAUGAUGGCGGCGGGGUGAACAUCCGGAAUAUUGUACUGCACCCGGCUGAACCUCUGUAUGUACUUGCGGAGACUCUCGCCUCCCUUCUGGGGAAUGACGUGGAGAUCACUCGCUUGGCCAUGAGCUUGGUGACCGCCAGUGAAGGCGCCCACGAAUUCAUGGCACAAAUCCGACCAGGAGGAGAUGGAGUCCACCGGCAAGUGCAUCAACCACGACAUGGCGUUGGGUUUAAGAGCCAACGGGAAGUAAUUUGCAAGCACCUUAUCAUCACGAGCCCCGGCAGCCUGCAUCGCGAUGGUGUAGAUGCUGAGGAACUCGGAUGGGUGGGUCUUGCCGCCGUACUUCUCGCCCACGUUAGGUUUGAAAGUGCGGUGAGUGGGCCACUGGAACUGCCGCAGCUCACGGGUAAAAGCCGGGCAGCCUACCUCGUAAGGUAGGCCCCCAGGGCUCUCCGGUGCUGGGUGGUCCACAGUAGGCCCCGCUCGCCUAUCUGACUGGUGGCGCGCUCCGCGCCGGCGCUCCGCGCCGGCGCUCGAUGGUGGUCCGAGCGUCUUCAUGUUCCUGAUCCCGAAGGACCUGGCGUUGGUCCUGGUGGGUCCGCGGGUCGGACGAUGCUAUGGAGAUUUCGUCGCCCGCAACGUCGCGACGGGCAGGCGUCCGUGGCACCAGGCGAGGAGGAGGCGAGUGCACCAUGGUCGCGGUGCCACCAGCCUUCCUGCCACUGGUACGCGGGACUCCGUCAGAACGUCGACCCAGGGGCUCCGUCAGGGUCGGCUCAUCUUUGUUGGCCACCGCAACAAGGCUUCGGAUGGUGGCUCUCCAUUCGUCGAGUUUCCCUGUAGUGGGAGGAAAGUCGAGGAGCAACUGCGCGCGCGCCAGGGCUUCUGCUGGCGUCGGUGGCAGCGAAACCUGCACGGAUCGCGACGCGCUUCGACUUCUGACCAUGUCAGAAGGAGCGCUACCACGACCGCGCGGUCGCACGCCAUGCUCACCAGCGCCUCAGCGAGCGGGCAGGUCUUCUACAUCCCGGGAGUGGCGCUCGGGGCUUUUCCCGCGGCGAUGCCCGGGGUCUUCGGGGUGAUCACGCCACUCGUCGCGCGCCGCUUGAGAGGAACACGCCGUCGGCGCCGGAGAGGGAGUCCUGGAGGCCCUCGCGCCGCCAGCGGGCGGGGCAGCAGCGACCCCGGAAGGUCCCGCGCCACCUGCGGGGGGCCCGGCUCCGUCUUUGGAUUUGGCGGCGUGCGGCCCGUUACCGGGCGCAUGAACACCGCCGCCUCCCAAACUCCGGCUGCUGGGACGGUGUUGGUGUUCACGAACAGCGGCCCGGGUCCUUUCGGCGACCGGUCCGCUGCUCGCCCACGUCGGGACGGGAUGCCCGGCAUCCGACGGGCCAACCGCCACCGUCGUCUUCUUCUUGGGCGCCAUGGCGAUGAAGAAGCGUUGAACUAACUGCUAAAGCCGAUUCUCACAUCUGCGCAGCCCCUGCCUGGCGCGCCAAAGAUGUCGGUGGGAAACGACACCUAUGGGAUCACGGGAAUCUCUUUCUGCGGUUACGGGGCGCGGGGGUCGUGAGAAGAGCGGAUCGAGCAGGCAGUACACGAUUCCUUUACCCAGGUUCGGGCCGCGAAGAUGCGUAAAACCCUACUCCUGCUUUGGUGGAUUAUAUGUUUGUGUUCUUGAGCUAGCUAUGGGGCGUGAGGAGCUCCAAAAAGCCGAAUCCUCUUCCUGGUCGCCUGGGGCCUCCUUUUAUAGGGAAAGGGGCUGCCACAGUGGCACACAGGAGGUGGAAAGGGUACAGUGAUGCGAGGUUAUCCCUCGCAUUACAUGACAAGGUGCAUUUAAUGCGCCUUGCUUAGGUGUCGUUGCUUUAUCGGGGGCGGGGGAGAGCCCUGUCUCGUCCGUCGCCGCUCUCUCCCGCGUCGACACGCGCCCUGGCCAGCGGUGGGUCUCCACGAGGAUCUGCAUGCCGCCACGCAGGUGCCUGCCCAGCUGGUUGGGUCGGCAGCUGCAUGCGAACGGUGGUGGAGGUGUGACUGGUGCGGGUCCGAUGGUGGCCCCGCGGGUGUCCUUGGCAAGGGCCUUGCCGGGACCCCGGCAAGGGUCUUGCCGCGGCGCCUGCUGUCAUCCCCGGCAAGGCUCUUGCCGGGGGCCUUGUGGUCCUUCUUGGCUGGAAUCCCGCCAAGGGUCAUCACUGGCAUCUGGUCUUGAAUGUCUUCACAAAGAUCUGCACGCCACCAUGGGGAUCUCUCCCGAAUCCUUGCCCCAUGGGGGCAAUGGACUCAAGGGUGACCCGCUCCGUAGGUGUGGGGCGAGCUGCCACGGCAAGGGUCUUGCCGGGUUGGCAAAAACCGCCUCCCGACAAGGAUCUUGCCAGGAGGGGCCCGCUUCGCCCCCUUUGCUCUUUGUGGUCUUGGUCUUGGCGUCGUUCUACUCCUCUUUGGCUUCAGCCUCACCUUGGCUUACCUCCCUUGCCUUGCUCAGUGUGGUAGUGCAUGUGGCUCAGACUGCCCGUGCAUAGUUAUAGGGGUACAAAAAGUGUAGCCCUCUUUUUGUACACCGACAGGAGCCCCCGGGCAAAGGCCACACGUAAGCGCAAUCGCGUCGUUGGGCUAGGCCCAAAAACGGUGUGCGGGCAGGCAGGGCGGUUUUUACCGCGGUAAGUUGCUUGAGCUCGAGAGGCACUGGAGAGCGGCUGCUGGACUACGGAGAUCGCUAGAGUCCUCUGGUCGGGGCGAUAGCCAGAGGCCUGCCCGACCGAGCUACUGCUCGUCUACGUGUUCGUGGAGGUGGUGUGGAUUGGUGCUUGGCUAGAAAUCGAGGAGGGGCGCGCUAUAUAUAGCCGGAGCGAGGGGGGGACGUGUCGCCGCCAGAGCUCUCUGGACACGCGGCGAAUGACAACGAGAAGCUCCAAAACAAGGGGGCAAACACUCAGCAUCAAUGCAGGAGCUUGCCCAUGCUCGCGGACGAGCACAGGAGGCGGUUGAGGAAGUGGACAAGCGCACGCGUGCAUUGUGGCAUUUUGGCUGUGACGUGCCCGUGCUUGCUGCGGCGGCUCCAGCGUCGGCGAGUGCCAGGGAGCGGUCAAAUGUGAUGGGUCGGGGCUCGUGGCAUGGCGCGACAGUCGUCGGCAAGCGCUGGAACGAGCACGCGCGAAACAGAGAGGAACGCGCCACCCAGAGCGCGUCGAGACGCUGCCAGGCGCCGUGUCCUCGCGUGGUCACCAAGCUGGCAUGGUCAAAACGACGCCCAGGAGCGGCCAAACCUUGUCUACGCAUUCGACCGUGCAGUGUUUAGUCUAGGAGUGGUGAUAGCUCAUACCCAGGCCGACCAGAUUGGACUCAACUCAGCUGACAAGUUUCUGACCAGAAACUUGGUCGCCAAGUUAAGCCACCUUCUAGAAGGCCAUUAGGGCUGAUCUCCUGGGGUUUAGGGUUUCUUAGGAGGGUGUUUAAGCUCAAGAAAGAUCAAGGCCAAAAUCUCAAGGAAAAAUGCACUUGCUGUACAAAGUGCAUUUUUGGUCCAGAAGUGAAAAGAUUUUCUACAGCAAAAAUAUUACAAAAAGUGAUGCAAUAUUUUUGCAUGGGAAGGUGUGCCAAGGUUCUAAGAAUAUUCAAGAAUUAAAUCAGAUUUUUCUGAGCAAGAAAAAUUGGGGUUGCUUUGGAGCACAAGUUUCUGAGUGAAAAAUGAAUAUUUUUCUUUUAUGAAAAUAUUCAUUUGAUUAUUUUGGGGAUUUAUGAGAGGAUUAAAUUAGUAGGUCACUUGGGUGAAAGCCAAGGAUAUGCCCAAGUGACAAGUCCAUUUGAAAUGAUUCCAAAAUCCAAAUCAAGUGAGGGAAAAAACCACGGUAAAAACCAAGUCCGAAAGAAGAGAGAAGACAAGUCCGGAAAAAGAGAGAAGGCAAAAUCCAGGCUGUCACAUGCCUCUAGAUAGGAUCUAGUGGUUCUGGAACUUGCGGCGGCUGGAAAAGUGUUUCAUCGACUCCCCUAGGGUUUUUGGGAUUUUAGAGUAUUUAUAGAGGUGGAUGUCAGUAGAGAAGCUUCCCAUGGGCUCCACUACCCACCAGGGCACGCCCUGGUGCCUAGUGGGCCCCACAAGCCUCCUCCCGUGCACUUCUUUGGCUCCCUAGGUGUCUUCUGUCCAGAAAAAAUUCUCCGAAAAGUUUCAUGGCAUUUAGACUUUGUUUGGUAUUGAUAUUCUUCAAAGUAAAAACAAGCAGAAAACAACAACUCGCACUAGGCACUAUGUCAAUAGGUUAGUCCAAAAAAAAUGAUAUAGAGUUGCUAGUAAAUGAGUAUAAAACAUCCAAGAUUGAUAAUAUAAUAGCAUGAAACAAUAAAAAAUUGUAGGUACGUUGGAGACGCAUCAGCGGUCCACGCCGGCCGGACAUAUGUCAAUGGCGCAGGGCAGCGGCGGCCAGUUUCUGCAUGCAGGCGGCGGCAUACGGUGACGUGUCCAGCACCGGUGGCUUGGGUGCCCGAUCUGAUCUCAGAUGGGUUUCGGCAGGCCGCACAAGCUGUUGUCGUGUACCAUCCCUGUUCCAUCAACGACAUGCUGCCACUGGGCUCUACUUGCAACACGAGGACGUUGGGGGCUCCAGCCCUGGGCGUGGCGGUGGUGGCCACCUCAUUCGCCGAAGUUGGUUGGCCUGAGGCUGGGUGGUCGAAUCUCAAGAUCGGUCAUCUAGUCCCGGCUGCGAGUUGGGGAGACAUAGUUGCCGAUGAAAACCGAGUUGAUGGCGGCGUUUUGCUUCGUUACCUUGUUGAAGGCAUCAUCGUGUAGCUGUUGUCGACCCACUCGUGCUGCUUCAUGGAAAACCCUAAGAUUUGGUCUUCUAGAUCGGACGAUGGCGGUACUGCGGUGCCGUUACUCUCUUGGGAGCAUCAUUUGUGGAGCAGCGCUAGAAGACAGAGGCAAGAGGUGGAGCGGCUUCGUCUUGCACGGAGCUUCGGUGGAGCUGUCAAAUCAUGCCUGACCGACAGGUGCUACGCUGAGUCAUGCCUGGUUGGUAGGUGCUACGCACAAAAAAUCUUCCAGAGUCUUCACGUCUGGACGGACGAGCGUAGGGCGGUGGCACCUUGGGUGUAAGUGCAUCCAGUGCCCCUUAGUGAUUUUGGUGUAUUGAAGACUUAUAGGUUAAGGGACUAAUGUGUUUGUGAGUGCACACAGGUCUAUAAGUCUAUGAGGAGUUUGAUAUUUACAGAGAAAGUCGACCCCUAAAAAUGAAUGUCUUGAACUGAAGACUUUGGCUUUCUGAAGACUUUGAAAGUGAAGAAAUUGGUGUGACCGUGAAGACUUAAUAUUCAUGCGAGGAAUAUGAAGUGUGAAGACUUUUGUUUUCGUAGUUUCGUUUUCUCUUUCGUGAGUCAUAGGAAACACCGUACUGUUAAAGGGUGUCGAGGUAAAACUAAGGAAAAGUUCCCAAGUGAUGCUCAUCUCAAAAUCCUACACCUACCAAUCCUUUCGAGUGAAGCCAUUGGAAAUCUCAUGCAAUUCAGUCAAGUUCUUCAGUGACAGAGAUGAAGAUCUUUUGAUCUCUGAGGAGUUUGUUCUCACUGAGGAGUUAGGAAUUCGCCAGUGCAGAUUGCCUACAAGUGAGGAACAUGAUAGCCCUGAGGAAUUUGAUACUCAAACAUCCGACCGUUGCUGUGCUACGCGCCACCUGUCCCAAAAUAUCUACCCUCCUAACAGUCAUAUCAUGGAAGGGCAUUUAUGUCUUAUCAUGUCGGGCUGCUCCCUAGGCUAUAAAUAGCCGCCCCCUACAACCACUAGCUGGUUGGUUGCUCUGAGAGAAACUGACACUUGUCAUUGAGAGCAUCCCAUCCUCCAAGGACUGUGAGCGAAAAUCAUGAAGUGAGGAAAACCCAAACUCAAACACCUACAAACCCAAAGUGAUUGAGCAUCACUGAAGAGAUUGUUCCUGUGUGGAACCGACACUUGUUACCUUUGAGGACUGUGCAUCCUUCAGACGGUUAGGCAUCAUGGUCUAGAGCAUCCAAAAGGAAAUUGUGGAUCGCCGAGUGACUGAGUUUGUGAAGGUUUGGAAUCACCUGAAGACUUACCACAAAUGAUUGGGCGAGGUCUGUGUGACCUUAGCUCGAGGAGAAUACGGUGAGGACUAUGUGUCGAGGACUGUGUGUCCUCAGGUUUAAAUACCUAGCCGCUCCAACCAGACGUACGACUGCCACAGCAGUUGGAACUGGUCUACCAAAUCACUGUCUUCACCGAGCUACUGGUUCUAUUUCCUCAACCCUUUCAUUUCCUCAUUACUGUGUUGUUGUACUUGAUCGUUUCUGUUCGAAGACUUUGACUGAAGACUUUCUCAAUUUCCUCAGUCCUAAUUCUUAAGUCACCUUGUCUUCAGCCUACUUAUCCUAUGUUUACGCUACUUGUACUUUGUGCUUGUUUUCAUUUCAUCAUGAUGAUUGUGCUACUAUUCUGUUAUGCUUGCAUCUGAAUACUUAUUUCGCUACUUGUAGUUCAUGACUUAAGAAUUUCUUCACCUUGAAAUUCCUUAGUGACGAAUUUGUAAAAAUCGCCUAUUCACCCCCCCUCAAGUCAAUAUAACGCACUUUCAAUUGGUAUCAGAGCAAGGUACUCCCUUGUUCUAUGUGAUUUUGGUUUAACCGCCUGGAGUUUUAGUUAUGUUGACCACAGGAAUGAAGAGUGUGUCAUGCCCCAUCUUUGACGGUCAUGAUUAUCCCAAGUGGAAGGCCAUGAUGAAGAAGCGCCUCAUGGCGAUGAACAGCGAAUUGUGGACCGUCACUGAGAUUGGUCUUACCAAUCUAUGCAAGAUGACGGAGGCUGAUGAUAUUCGCAAGUACACCCUACUUAACCUCACGGCGAAGGACAUAAUCUGCUCCUGUCUGUCCCAAAAUCAGUUCAGGAACAUUAUGCAUCUCAGUCAUGCGAAGCUUAUCUGGGACCGACUCUUUGAGGUCUAUGAAGGUCAUCAAACUCGUCAUGAUCCCUGGUUUGAGGAUUUCAAGGAAUUGCUCAAGGCGAUGACUUUCGAUCCGGAAUCAUCAUCCUCUGCACCAUGCCUUAUGGCAAAAGGUGCCAAGGUAACUGAAUGCUACCUAUCUGAGUCCAGUGAUGAUGAAUCUGGUGAUGAAUUUUGACCCAGCUAUACCAAACUUACCUCCCUUGCCACUAAACAACAAAGAGCUUUGGAAAAGGUUCAAAAUAUGCUAGAGAAAAGCGAUGACCUGUUGGGUGAAGAAAUGGAUCACACUCAAACCUUGACUGAUAAUCUUCAAAGACUUCAGUACAAGUUUGAUAACCUUCAGAGUCAUCAUAACACUCUCUUAUCUGAUCAUGAGAAGCUUUCUUAUGAAUUUCUUCAAAGAAAGCAAGAUAUUGAGAAGCUAAGGGAGAGUUAUGAAGAUCUUCAGAAGGAACAUGAUUCAUUGCUUGCUCAACAGAGCAGUGCCUCUCAGGAAAAAUUCAUUCCACCAUGUUUGAAAUGCAUUGAACGUGAAUCUGCUAAUUCUUCACCUGAAAGUUCAAAUGCUUCUAUUGCUGCAAAUUCUUCAACUAUCUCUGCUAUCACAAACUCAUCUCGGGAUGCUACUAGUAUCACUAACAAUGCAGGGCUGAAGGAAUUGUAUGUAACAGGCAUGUACAAAAGCCUCAAAGGGCAUCAAGCUCUUUGUGAUGUGCUUAAAAAGCAGAUCCUCAACAGGAACCCUAGGAAAGAGGAUAUUGCCUUUGAAAGGAAACUCAAUGCUGAUGAGACCUACUAGAAACCUGAGCAGUAUCCCAAAACCUCAUGGGUUGCUGCAAAGGGACCUCCCGUAGAUCUAUCUACUUUAUCUGGCUUUACAUGUGAAUCUUCAUAUUCUUCUGAUGAGUCAUUUGACUGCAACUAUAAACUAUUCAAAAAUCAGAAUGGUGAAGUCUUUGCUAGAUAUGUUAGCACUAACUGCAGGAACGGUCCCCCUAUGAAGAAAAUCUGGGUUCCCAAAAGAUGCCUUGAAAAUCUUCAGGUGAAUGUCAUCAUGACACCGCCUGUGAAGAAUAGGAACCCCAGAUCAAAUUCUUCAUAUGGACCAAAGUCUUCAUAUGGAUCAAAGUCCUCAUAUGGACCAAAUUCCUCACGUGGAUUAAAUUCCUCAUAUGGAUCAAAGUCCUCAUACGAACAUCAUCGUGCUAACACUUCUGUUUCGCAGGGAAAGACUAAGGGCUAUGAAUAUGUGCAUUAUUCUUCAAAUCAUUAUGUUCAUAAGUCCUCGAAGAAUUUCUCUGCUUAUUCAUAUGUGUAACGCCCCGAGACCGAUGUGCCAGGUGUCAUUCUGUUAUUCGCUAUUGUUGCGUUGUCAUUGCUUGCGUGUCAUGCAUUGCAUAUCAUGUCAUCAUGUGCAUUUCAUUUGCAUACGUGUUCAUCUCAUGCAUUCGAGCAUUUUCCCCGUUGUCCGUUUUGCAUUCCGGCGUUCCGUUUUCCUCCGGUGGUCAUUUCUACCUUUCUUUCUUGUGUGGGGAUUAAACAUUUCUGGAUUGGACCGAGACUUGCCAAGCGGCCUUGGUUUACUACCGGUAGACCGCCUGUCAAGUUUCGUAUCAUUUGGACUUCAUUUGAUACUCCAACGGUUAACCGAGGGACCGAGAAGGCCUCGUGUGUGUUGCAGCCCAACACCCUUCCAAAGUGGCCCAAAACCCACCUAACUCUGCUCCAUCAUCUCGGUCGUUCGAUCACGAUCGCGUGGCCGCAAAACGCACCUCAUUUGGACUCUCCUAGCUCCCUCUAUGCCUAUAUAUACACACCCCUCCGAAAUUCGCGGUUCAUUCUUCCCCUAACCCUAGAUCCAACUCCCUCCGCGCCGCCGGACGUUUCUUCCCGCGCCGGACACGUCCACCCAGCCCCGCCACCGCCACGUGUCUUUGUCUGGUUCGCCGAUGCUCGGUGCCCACUUCGCCGCGCCGCCGGGCCUGGAGUGCCCGCAACCGGCCCCCGCGGCCCAUCCAACGCCGCCGCCCAAGCCCACGGGGAGACCGGAUCCGCGCCGCCCGGUCCUCCCUUGCGCCGCCGCAUGCCGUCUCGACGCCGGCCGCCCGCUGACGCCGCUCGCCGCCUUCUCCAUCCUCCCGGCCUCUCUCUCCCGCAGGUGCUCGCCGGCGACGAGGCGUCAAGCUCGUCGUCCCGAGCCGCUCCCGCCUUUUCCGCACAGGAUCCGAUGAGCCACCGACCGGAUCUAUCCAUCCCCGGCGCUCCCCGUCGCUCUCCGACCGUCGUCGUGCCCUCCCCCCUCGCCGGGAACCCGGUGCGCCGUCGCCGCCAUGGAUCGGGAACCAGUUCCCCGCUCGAAGACGUUGACCCUCCGCGUGGGCCGGUCCACCUUCCCGGCCAGCGCAGCGCCGAGUCCAGGCCCAGCUCCCCUUCGUCCGACCCAGUGCAGCGCCAUUGCCUCUGGGCCUCCUCUCGCGGAUGUGGGCCGCCGUGCGAGAUCCGGCCCAGCCCCGAUGCCCCAAGCCGGCCUGUCUCUCCCUCCGACCGGGCCAUGACCCAGGGUGAGCCGCCCCAGCGCCCCCCUCCUCUUGUUAAUUUUUUUCCCUGCUGCUGGGCUAAGCCAGAUUCGGCCCGUGAUGUUUUUUUCAGCGUCUGGACGAUUUGUCUAUUAUCCAGAGAUUGCAGUUUUGCAGUUUAGUCCCUCAUGUCCAUGCAUUUAAUAACUCACAAACCGUGCAUCGGAUUAAAAUGUUUUAUAUAUGAAACUUGCUCAGAAUUUUGUGUAGAUUAAUAAUAUCCAACUUUCAUCUAUGUUUGAAAUGUUUAAAAUUUUGUUUGCAUUAAUUUGCUCCUAUGCCAUGCUAAAAUGAUUUUAUUCAUAACUAAAUAACCGUAGCUCCGAUUUAAAUAAUCUUUAUAUGUAAAUGGGGUAGAAUUUUGCCUAGUUUAACAUGGCGCACUCAUCUUGCAUGUUAAACAACUCUAAAAUGUGGCUUAGGGCAGAACAGUACCAAACCUUAAAUUAUGCACAUGAGGAUUUUUCGGACUUGUUGUUCGUUGCUUCCGGCCUCAUUUAAACUUGCCUAGAUAGGUAGUUUUGUUGUGCUUCACCUCUUGCCAUGUUAAUCAACAUUUAAUAUUGUUGGGUACAUAAACGAGAGUGAACUAAAUAAUUGAUGAGCUCCACUUAAUUUGUAGGAUUGCUUGUGCACUUUGCCAUGCCAUGCAUACUUAAACCGGACAUGCAUCAUACUCGAUUGUGCAUCAUGUCAUGUUGAUGCGUUGGUUAUUUACUAUGUUGUGUGCUUCUUUUCCGGUGUUUUCUUCUUCGGGUUGGUUCCGGUAACGUCGAGCUUGUGAGGAUCCGUUCAACUUCGUCCGUUUGUCUUCUUCAUGGACUCGUUCUUCUUCCUUGCGGGAUUUCAGGCAAGAUGAUCAUACCCUCAAAAUCACUUCUAUCUUUGCUUGCUAGAUGCUCGCUCUUUUGCUAUGCCAAUGCUACGAUGCCUACCAUUUGCUUGUCAGCCUCCCAAUUGCCAUGUCAAACCUCUAACCCACCGUGUCCUAGCAAACCGUUGAUUGGCUAUGUUACCGCUUUGCUCAGCCCCUCUUAUAGCGUUGUUAGUUGCAGGUGAAGAUUGAAGUUUGUUCCUUGUUGGAACAUGGAGAUGUCGUUCCUUGUUGGAACAUUUGCUUACUUGUUGGGAUAUCACAAUAUAUCUUAUUUAAUUAAUGCAUCUAUAUACUUGGUAAAGGGUGGAAGGCUCGGCCUUAUGCCUGGUGUUUUGUUCCACUCUUGCCGCCCUAGUUUCCGUGAUAUCGGUGUUAUGUUCCCGGAUUUUGCGUCCCUUACGCGGUUGGGCUAUAAUGGGAACCCCUUGACAGUUCGCCUUAAGUAAAGCUUUUCCAGCAAUGCCCAACAUUGGUUAUACCAUUUGCCACCUAGCCUUUUUCCCUUGGGAGUAGCGCAUACCGAGGGUCAUCUUUAUUUUAACCCCCCGGGCCAGUGCUUGUCUAAGAGUUGGUCCGAACUAGAGUCCUUUGCAGCGCCACCUCGGGGAAACUUGAGGGCUGGUUUUAGAUGUACGGAGCGCUCAUCCGGUGUUGCCCUGAGAACGAGAUAUGUGCAGCUCCUAUCAGGAUGUCGGCGCAUCGGGCGGUGUUGCUGGUUUAGUUUUACCCUGUCGAAAUGUCUUGUUGUACCGGGAUACCGAGUCUGAUCGGAACGUCUUGGGUGGAGGUCUAUUCCUUCAUUGACCGUGAGAGCUUGUGAUGGGCUAAGUUGGGACACCCUGUAGGGAUUUGAACUUUCGAAAGCCGUGCCCGCGGUUAUGGGCAGAUGGGAAUUUGUUAACGUCCGGUUGUAGAAAACCUAAAGUUGACCUUAAUUAAAACGAAUCAACUGUUGGAAAUAUGCCCUAGAGGCAAUAAUAAAUAAGUUAUUAUUAUAUUUCCUUGUUCAUGAUAAUCGUUUAUUAUCCAUGCUAUAAUUGUAUUGAUAGGAAACUCAGAUACAUGUGUGGAUACAUAGACAACACCAUGUCCCUAGUAAGCCUCUAGUUGACUAGCUCGUUGAUCAAUAGAUGGUUACGGUUUCCUGACCAUGGACAUUGGAUGUCGUUGAUAACGGGAUCACAUCAUUGGGAGAAUGAUGUGAUGGACAAGACCCAAUCCUAAGCAUAGCACUAGAUCGUGUAGUUCGUAUGCUAAAGCUUUGCUAAUGUCAAGUAUCAUUUCCUUAGACCAUGAGAUUGUGCAACUCCCGGAUACCGUAGGAAUGCUUUGGGUGUACCAAACGUCACAACGUAACUGGGUGACUAUAAAGGUGCACUACAGGUAUCUCCGAAAGUGUCUGUUGGGUUGGCACGAAUCGAGACUGGGAUUUGUCACUCCAUGUGACGGAGAGGUUUCUCUGGGCCCACUCGGUAGGACAUCAUCAUAAUGUGCACAAUGUGAUCAAGAAGUUGAUCACGGGAUGAUGUGUUACGGAACGAGUAAAGAGACUUGCCGGUAACGAGAUUGAACAAGGUAUCGGGAUACCGACGAUCGAAUCUCGGGCAAGUAUCGUACCGAUAGACAAAGGGAAUUGUAUACGGGAUUGAUUAAGUCCUUGACAUCGUGGUUCAUCCGAUGAGAUUAUCGUGGAACAUGUGGGAGCCAACAUGGGUAUCCAGAUCCCGCUGUUGGUUAUUGACUGGAGAACGUCUCGGUCAUGUCUGCAUGUCUCCCGAACCCGUAGGGUCUACACACUUAAGGUUCGAUGACGCUAGGGUUAUAAAGGAAGUUAGUAUGUGGUUACCAAAUAUUGUUCGGAGUACCGGAUGAGAUCCCGGACGUCACGAGGAGUUCCGGAAUGGUCCGGAGGUAAAGAUUUAUAUAUGGGAAGUCCUGUUUUGGUCACCGGAAAAGUUUCGGGGUUUAUCGGUAACGUACCGGGACCACCGGGAGGGUCCCGGGGGUCCACCAAGUGGGGCCACCUGCCCCGGAGGCUUGCAUGGGCUAAGAGUGGUGAGGGACCAGCCCCUUAGUGGGCUGGUGCACCUCCCACAAGGGCCCAAGGUGCCCAAGAGGUGGAAAGGGGGCAAACCCUAAUGGGAUAUGGGCCUUAGGGCCCAUAUAGGGGCGCCUCCCCCUUCUCCCCUCCCUUGGCCGCCACCCCUUGGCCCCAUCUAGGGCUGCCGCCCCCCCUAGGGGUGGGAACCCUAGAGGGGGCGCAGCCCUCCCCUUCCCCUAUAUAUAUGAGGCCUUGGGGGCUGCCCAGAACACGCGAUUAAUCUCUCGUUGGUGCAGCCCUGCAUCUCUCUCUCCCUCCUCUUCUGUGGUGCUUGGCGAAGCCCUGCAGGAUAGCCACGCUCCUCCAUCACCACCACGCCGUUGUGCUGCUGCUGGAAGGAGUCUUCCUCAACCUCUCCCUCUCUCCUUGCUGGAUCAAGGCGUGGGAGACGUCACCGGGCUGUACGUGUGUUGAACGCGGAGGUGCCGUGCGUUCGGCACUUGGUCAUCGGUGAUUUGAAUCACGACGAGUACGACUCCAUCAACCCCGUUCACUUGAACGCUUCCGCUUAGCGAUCUACAAGGGUAUGUAGAUGCACUCUCUUUCUACUCGUUGCUAGUCUCUCCAUAGAUAGAUCUUGGUGAUACGUAGGAAAAUUUUUGAAUUUCUGCUACGUUCCCCAACAGUGGCAUCAUGAGCUAGGUCUAUUGCGUAGAUUCUAUGAACGAGUAGAACACAAAAUAGUUGUGGGCGUUGAUUUUGUUCAAUAUGCUUGCCGUUACUAGUCUUAUCUUGAUUCGGCGGCAUCGUGGAAUGAAGCGGCCCGGACCAACCUUACACGUACUCUUACGUGAGACCGGUUCCACCGACAAACAUGCACUAGUUGCAUAAGGUGGCUGGCGGGUGUCUGUCUCUCCCACUUUAGUCGGAUCGGAUUCGAUGAAAAGGGUCCUUAUGAAGGGUAAAUAGCAAUUGGCAUAUCACGUUGUGGUCUUUGCGUAGGUAAGAACCGUUCUUGCUAGAAACCCAUAGCAGCCACGUAAAACAUGCAAACAACAAUUAGAGGACGUCUAACUUGUUUUUGCAGGGUAUGCUAUGUGAUGUGAUAUGGCCAAAGGAUGUGAUGAAUGAUAUAUGUGAUGUAUGAGAUUGAUCAUGUUCUUGUAAUAGGAAUCACGACUUGCAUGUCGAUGAAUAUGACAACCGGCAGGAGCCAUAGGAGUUGUCUUUAUUUAUUUAUGACCUGCGUGUCAACAUAAACGUCAUGUAAUUACUUUACUUUAUCGCUAACCGUUAGCUGUAGUAGUAGAAGUAAUAGAUGACGUGACAACUUCAAGAAGACACGAUGAUGGAGAUCAUGACGAUGGAGAUCAUGGUGUCAUGCCGGUGACGAUGAUGAUCAUGGAGCCCCGAAGAUGGAGAUCAAAAGGAGCAAAGUGAUGAUGGCCAUAUCAUGUCACUAUUUGAUUGCAUGUGAUGUUUAUCAUGUUUAUACAUCUUAUUUGCUUAGAACGACGGUAGUAAAUAAGAUGAUCCCUCAUAAAAAUUUCAAGAAGUGUUCUCCCCUAACUAUGCACCGUUGCUACAGUUCGUCGUUUCGAAGCACCACGUGAUGAUCGGGUGUGAUAGAUCCUUACGUUCACAUACAACGGGUGUAAGACAGUUUUACACAUGCAAAACACUUAGGGUUAACUUGACGAGCCUAGCAUGUGCAUAGACAUGGCCUCGGAACACAGAAGACCGAAAGGUCGAGCAUGAGUCGUAUGGUAGAUACGAUCAACAUGAAGAUGUUCACCGAUGUUGACUAGUCCGUCUCACGUGAUGAUCGGACACGGCCUAGUUGACUCGGAUCAUGUAAUCACUCAGAUGACUAGAGGGAUGUCUAUCUGAGUGGGAGUUCAUAAGAUGAACUUAAUUAUCCUGAACAUAGUCAAAAGGAUUUUGCAAAUUAUGUCGUAGCUCACGCUAUAGUUCUACUGUUUAGAUAUGUUCCUAGAGAAAAAUUAGUUGAAAGUUGAUAGUAGCAAUUAUGCAGACGGUAAAAGGCUUAUGUCCUUAAUGCACCGCUCAGUGUGCUGAACCUCGAACGUGGUCUGUGGAUGUUGCGAACAUCUGACAUACACGUUUUGAUGACUACAUGAUAGUUCGGUAAUGUUAAAUGGUUUAGAGUUGAGGCACCAAAGACGUGUUUUGAAACGUCGCGAAACAUAUGAGAUGUUUCGAGGGCUGAAAUUGGGAUUUCAGGCUCGUGCCCAUGUCAAGAGGUAUAAGACCUCCGACGGUUCUUCUAGCCUACAUACUAAGGGAGAAAAGCUCAAUUGUUGAGCUUGUGCUCAGAUUGUCUGAAUACAACAAUCAUUUGAAUCAAGUGGGAGUUGAUCUUCCAGAUGAGAUAGUGAUGUUUCUCCGAAGUCAUUACCACCAAGCUGCUAGAGCUUCGUGAUGAACUAUGAUAUAUCAGGGACUUAAAUGAUGAUCCUUGAGAUAUUCGCGAUGUUUGACACCACGAAAGUAGAAAUCAAGAAGGAGCAUCAAUUGUUGAUGGUUAGUGAAACCACUAGUUUCAAGAAGGGCAAGGGCAAGAAGGGAUACUUCAAGAAACGGCAAUUCAGUUGCUGCUCUAGUGAAGAAACCCAAGGUUAAACCCAAACCCGAGACUAAGUGCUUCUGUAAUAAGAGGAACAGCCACUGGAGCAGAAUUACCCUAGAUACUUGGUAGAUAAGAAGGCUGGCAAGGUCGAUAGAAGUAUAUUGGAUAUACAUUAUGUUAAUGUGUACUUUACUAGUACUCCUAGUAGCACCAGGGUAUUAGAUACCGGUUCGGUUGCUAAGUGUUAGUAACUCGAAAUAAAAGCUACGGAAUAAACGGAGACUAGCUAAAGGUGAGAUAACGAUAUGUGUUGGAAGUAUUUCCAAUGUUGAUAUGAUCAAGCAUCGCACGCUCCCUCUACCAUCGAGAUUGGUGUUUGCGUUGAGUAUAGACAUGAUUGGAUUAUGUCUAUCGCAAUACGGUUAUUCAUUUGAGGAGAAUAAUGGUUACUCUGUUUAUUUGAAUAAUACCUUCAAUGGUCUUACACCUAAAAUGAAUGGUUUAUUGAAUCUCGAUCGUAGUGAUACACAUGUUCAUGCCAAAAGAUAGUAAUGAUAGUACCACCUACUUGUGGCACUGCCACGUAAGUCAUAUCGGUAUAAAACGCAUGAGGAAGCUCCAUAUUGAUGGGUCUUUGGGCUCACUCAUUCUUGAAAAGUUUGAGACAUGCGAACCAUGUCUAUUGGUGUAUAUGCAUGAAGAAACUCCAUGCAAAUGGACCGUUUGGACUCACUUGAUUUUGAAUCAGUUGAGACAUGCAAAUCAUACCACAUGGGCAAGAUGACUGAAAGCCUCGGUUUCAGUAAAAUGGAACUAGAAAGCAACUUGUUGGAAGUAAUACAUUUUGAUGUGUGCAGUCCAAUGAGUGGUGAGGCGUGUAGUGGAUAUCGUUAUGUUCUUACUUCACAGAUGAUUUGAGUAGAUGUUGAGUAUAUUUACUUGAUGAAUCACGAGUCUGAAUUAUUGAAAGGUUCAAGUAAUUUCAGGGUGAAGUUGAAAGAUCGUCGUGACAAGAGGAUAAAAGAUCUAUGAUAUGAUCAUAGAGAUGAAUAUCUGAAUUACGAGUUUGGCACAGAAUUAAGACAUUGUGGAAAUUGUUUCACAACCGAUACAGCCAGGAACACCAUAGUGUGAUGGUGUGUCCGAACAUCAUAACUGCACCCUAUUGGAUAUGAUGCAUACCAUGAUGUCUCUUAUCGAAUUACCACAAUAAUUUAUGGGUUAGGCACUAGAGACAACCACAUUCACUUUAAAUAGGGCACCACGUAAUUCCGAUGAGAUGACACCAUGGUUUAGAGAAACCUAAGCUGUCAUUUCUUAAAAGUUUGGGGCUGCGACGCUUAUGUGAAAAAGUUUCAGUCUGAUAAGCUCGAACCCAAAGCGGAUAAAUGCAUCUUCAUAGGACACCCAAAGCAGUUGGGUAUACCUCCUGUCUCAGAUCUGAAAGCAAUAAGGGAUUGUUUCUAGAAUUGGGUCCUUUCUCGAGGAAAAGUUUCUCUCGAAAGAAUUGAGUGGGAGGAUGGUGGAAACUUGAUGAGGUUAUUGAACCAUCUCUUCAACUAGUGUGUGGCAGGGCACAGGAAAUUGUUCCUGUGGCACCUACACCAAUUGAAGUGGAAGCUUAUGAUAUUGAUCAUGAGACUUCGGAUCAAGUCACUCCCAAACCUCGUGGGAUGACAAGACUGCGUACUACUUUAGAGUGGUACGUAAUCCUGUCUUGGAAGUCAUGUUGCUAGACAACAAUGAACCUACGAGCUAUGGAGAAGCGAUGGUGGGCCCGGAUUCCGAUAAAUGGCUGAAGGCCAUAUAAUCCGAGAAAGGAUCCAUGUAUGAAAACAAAGUGUAGACUUUGGAAGAACUACUUGAUGGUCGUAAGGCUGUUGAGUAUAGAUGGAUUUUAAAAGGAAGACGGACAAUGAUGGUAAAUGUCACCAUUAAGAAAGCUCGACUUGUCGUUAAGAUGUUUUCGACAAGUUCAAGGAGUUGACUACGAUGAGACUUUCUCACCUGUAGCGAUGCUAAAAGUCUGUUGGAAUUAUAUUAGCAGUUACUGCACUAUUUAUGAAAUCUUGCAGAUAGGAUGUCAAAAAACAUUGUUUCCUCGAUGAUUUAUGAGGAAAGGUUGUAUGUGAUACAACCGGAAGGUUUUGUCAAUCCUGAAAUAUGCUAAUAAGUAUGCAAAGCUCCAGCAAUCCUUCUAAGGACUGGAGUAAGCAUCUCGGAGUUGGAAUGUAUGCUUUGAUGAGAUGAUCAAAGAUUUUGGUGUAUACAAAGUUUAUGAGAAACUUGUAUUUCCAAAGAAGUGAGUGGGAGCACUAUAGAAUUUCUGAUGAAUGUAUGUUGUUGACAUAUUGUUGAUCAGAAAUGACGUAGAAUUUCUGGGAAGCAUAUAGGGUUAUUUGGAAAGUGUUUUUCAAUGGAAAGCCUGGAUUAAGCUACUUGAACAUUGAGCAUCAAGAUCUAUAAGGAUAGAUCAAAACGCUCAAUGGAACUUUCAAAUGAGCACAUACCUUAACAUGAUCUUGAAGGUGUUCAAGAUGGAUCAGUCAAAGAAGGAGUUCUUGCCUGAGUUGUAAGGUAUGAAGUUAAGACUUAAAGCUUGACCACGGCAGAAUAGAGAGAAAGGACGAAGGUCGUCCCCUAUGCUUAAGACGUAUGCUCUUCAGUAUGCUAUGCUGUGUACCGCACCUGAAGUGUGCAUUGCCAUGAGUCAGUCAAGGGGUACAAGAGUGAUCCAAGAAUGGAUCACAGGACAGCGGUCAAAGUUAUCCUUAGUAACCAGUGGACUAAGGAAUUUUUCUCGAUUAUGGAGGUGGUAAAAGAGUUCGUCGUAAAGGGUUACGUCGAUGCAAGCUUAACACCUAUCCGGAUAACUCUGAAUAGAGAUACCGGAUACGUAUAAUGGAGCAACAAUUUAGAAUAGCUCCAAGUAGAACAGUUAUUUGGAAUAGGUCCAAAUAGAACGUGGUAGCUACAUCUAGGAGAUGACAUAGAGAUUUGUAAAGCACACACGGAUCUGAAAGGUUCAGACCCGUUGACUAUAACCUCUCUCACAAGCAUAACAUGAUCAAACCCAGAACUCAUCGAGUGUUCAUCACAUGGUAAAUGUGAACUAGAUUAUUGACUCUAGUAAACUCUUUGGGUGUUACUCACAUGGUGAUGUGACCUUGAGUGUUAAUCACAUAUCGAUGUGAACUAGAUUAUUGACUCUAGUGCAAGUGGGAGACUGUUCGAAAUAUGCCCUAGAGGCAAUAAUAAAUAAGUUAUUAUUAUAUUUCCUUGUUCAUGAUAAUCGUUUAUUAUCCAUGCUAUAAUUGUAUUGAUAGGAAACUCAGAUACAUGUGUGGAUACAUAGACAACACCAUGUCCCUAGUAAGCCUCUAGUUGACUAGCUCGUUGAUCAAUAGAUGGUUACGGUUUCCUGACCAUGGACAUUGGAUGUCGUUGAUAACGGGAUCACAUCAUUGGGAGAAUGAUGUGAUGGACAAGACCCAAUCCUAAGCAUAGCACUAGAUCGUGUAGUUCGUAUGCUAAAGCUUUGCUAAUGUCAAGUAUCAUUUCCUUAGACCAUGAGAUUGUGCAACUCCCGGAUACCGUAGGAAUGCUUUGGGUGUACCAAACGUCACAAUGUAACUGGGUGACUAUAAAGGUGCACUACAGGUAUCUCCGAAAGUGUCUGUUGGGUUGGCACGAAUCGAGACUGGGAUUUGUCACUCCGUGUGACGGAGAGGUUUCUCUGGGCCCACUCGGUAGGACAUCAUCAUAAUGUGCACAAUGUGAUCAAGAAGUUGAUCACGGGAUGAUGUGUUACGGAACGAGUAAAGAGACUUGCCGGUAACGAGAUUGAACAAGGUAUCGGGAUACCGACGAUCGAAUCUCGGGCAAGUAUCGUACCGAUAGACAAAGGGAAUUGUAUACGGGAUUGAUUAAGUCCUUGACAUCGUGGUUCAUCCGAUGAGAUUAUCGUGGAACAUGUGGGAGCCAACAUGGGUAUCCAGAUCCCGCUGUUGGUUAUUGACUGGAGAACAUCUCGGUCAUGUCUGCAUGUCUCCCGAACCCGUAGGGUCUACACACUUAAGGUUCGAUGACGCUAGGGUUAUAAAGGAAGUUAGUAUGUGGUUACCAAAUAUUGUUCGGAGUCCCGGAUGAGAUCCCGGACGUCACGAGGAGUUCCGGAAUGGUCCGGAGGUAAAGAUUUAUAUAUGGGAAGUCCUGUUUUGGUCACCGGAAAAGUUUCGGGGUUUAUCGGUAACGUACCGGGACCACCGGGAGGGUCCCGGGGGUCCACCAAGUGGGGCCACCUGCCCCGGAGGCUUGCAUGGGCUAAGAGUGGUGAGGGACCAGCCCCUUAGUGGGCUGGUGCGCCUCCCACAAGGGCCCAAGGUGCCCAAGAGGUGGAAAGGGGGCAAACCCUAAUGGGAUAUGGGCCUUAGGGCCCGUAUAGGGGCGCCUCCCCCUUCUCCCCUCCCUUGGCCGCCACCCCUUGGCCCCAUCUAGGGCUGCCGCCCCCCCUAGGGGUGGGAACCCUAGAGGGGGCGCAGCCCUCCCCUUCCCCUAUAUAUAUGAGGCCUUGGGGGCUGCCCAGAACACGCGAUUAAUCUCUCGUUGGUGCAGCCCUGCAUCUCUCUCUCCCUCCUCUUCUGUGGUGCUUGGCGAAGCCCUGCAGGAUAGCCACGCUCCUCCAUCACCACCACGCCGUUGUGCUGCUGCUGGAAGGAGUCUUCCUCAACCUCUCCCUCUCUCCUUGCUGGAUCAAGGCGUGGGAGACGUCACCGGGCUGUACGUGUGUUGAACGCGGAGGUGCCGUGCGUUCGGCACUUGGUCAUCGGUGAUUUGAAUCACGACGAGUACGACUCCAUCAACCCCGUUCACUUGAACGCUUCCGCUUAGCGAUCUACAAGGGUAUGUAGAUGCACUCUCUUUCUACUCGUUGCUAGUCUCUCCAUAGAUAGAUCUUGGUGAUACGUAGGAAAUUUUUUGAAUUUCUACUACGUUCCCCAACAUCAACCGCGUGUGUAACCGUGAUGGUCUCUUUCCGGCGGAGUCCGGGAAGUGAACACGGUUGUUGGAGUUAUGCUUGACGUAGGUUGCUAUAGGAUCACUUCUUGAUCAUACUUUUAUCGACCGUGCUUUGCCUUCUCUUCUCGCUCUCAUUUGCGUAUGUUAGCCACCAUAUAUGCUAGUCGCUUGCUGCAGCUCCACCUCAUACCUUUACCUUACCCAUAAGCUUAAAUAGUCUUGAUCGCGAGGGUGCGAGAUUGUUGAGUCCCUGUGGCUCACAGAUACUUCCAAAACCAGCUUGGAGGUGCCUAUGAGACCGUGCAGAUGACGCAACCAAGCUCAGGAGGAGCUCGAUGAAGACUUUGUCCGUUGUGUUGUUUCGUUCUAGUUGAUCAGUAGUGGAGCCCAGUUGGGGUCGAUCGGGGACCUUUGUCGCAUUUGGGGUUCUUCUUUUAUUUUGGUUCCGUAGUCGGACCUUGAUUGUAUCUGUAUGAUGUAAUGCUUUAUUCAUGUAAUUGUGUGAAGUGGCGAUUGUAAGCCAACUAUGUAUCUCUUUCCCUUAUGUAUUACAUGGGUUGUGUGAAGAUUACCUCACUUGCGACAUAUGCCUUCAAUGCGAUUAUGUAUCUAAGUCGUGCCUCGACACGUGGGAGCUAUAGUCGCAUCGAGGGUGUUACAAGUUGGUAAUCAGAGCCUUCCCCGACCUUAGGAGCCCCACUGAUUGAUCGUUUUAGCGGCCGAGUUGUGUCUAGAAAAAAUGUUUUGAGUCUUCUAGGAAUUAUAUAUAUCGGAGAGUUUAGGAAUUCUUUUUACUCCCAGUCCCUUCGUCACUCUGGUAAGGCAUCCUGACAUAGAGUUUUGACUCUUCUCUUCUCAAAUUUCACUAAAAAAAAA